GAUGGGUGACAGAAGAGAUUGACAAAGAUCCUGGCCUUGCAUACACAGAUCAAUGGGGGAGGAGAAAUUAUGAAUACAUCUCUCUUGGAUGUGACACCCUUCCAGUACUCAAAGGAAGGACACCUUCCAGUGUUAUUCUGACUUUAUGCUGGCUUUCAGAGACAAAUUUGAGCACCUGCUGGGAGAUACCAUUGUGGUAAGCAAAUAAAUUCAACAUUUUUUACAAUUAGAAUAGAUUAAUCUGGAGUGUUGUCUUUGAAUAAGUAGUCAUUGUCUUACCUUUUUAUCUUGUCAUGACAUCAGGAAAUACAGGUUGGAAUGGGUCCUGCUGUGAGCUCCGCUAUCCUUCAUAUCUGAACAGAACGGAACGUGGAAGUUCCCUGGGAUUGGAGCUUUUCAGUGCUAUGACAAGGUAUGUUCCCAUUCAGUUUGGUUCUUGAGUUUACAUCUUACUUGUGCUUAUUGAUUACUUAACUUUAUGUAUCUCUUGCAGUACAUGCUAAGUAGCUUAAAAGCUGCAGCAGAAGCAUAUGGAAAGCCUGAAUGGGGAAGCACUGCCCAACAGAUGCUGGCCAUUAUAACAAACUGGCCAGAUGACACAAACUUCUUCAGAAAGGAAGGUGGUGGCUGGGACAGUGAAUAUGGAGAGUUCUUCCUCACCUGGUAUUCCAAGAUGCUUUUUAGAUCAUGGUGAGAGGAUACUGCAAUCUGCUAAAGCUAUUUUUGAGAAUGGAGGGGUCAAAAUAUCAGUGAAAAUUGCUGGAAUCACUGGCAUUACGGAACAAGGUCCCAUGCCCUGAGCUUACAGCUGGAUAUUACAAUUAACUAGAUUGCGUGAUGGAUCCUUCCCAUUGCUCAGAUGCUGGCGCGCCACGGUGGCAAUAUUCAACUUUACUUGCAUUGAGAUGCGAGACCAUGAGCAGCAAGAUGCACUUUGCGCACCUGAGAAGCUUGUUAGGCAAGUGGCUUUAGCUACACAGCAAGCUCAAGUUCCUCUCGCUGGAGAAAAUGCAUUGCCAAGGUAUGAUGAAUAUGCACAUGAGCAGAUACUAAAGACAGCAGCAUUAAAUAUUGACGGUAACUCGACCAAUAGAGAAAUGUGUGCUUUCACAUACUUGAGGAUGAACCCGGACUUGUUCCACCCUGAUAAUUGGAGAAGGUUUGGCAUUUGUGAAGAAAAUGAAGGAAGGAAAAGACGUCCACCGGUGUUGGGAGCAAGUGAGCGCGAGGCUGAGCAUUUCGUACACGUAACUCAGCCAUUUGUGCAAGAAGCUGCUGUAGCUCUGAGGCACUAGUACUGCAGCAGGUUAAUGCAUGUUUCUGUAUGUAUGAACAAGAAGCAGAGAAUGCCUGAUGGCUGGUUUUGUGGCCAUGGAUCUCUGUUUUGUUGUACGCAUAUGAUUAGGCCUAUUUCAAGAACCAUAUAGGAAUUUCCAAGGUGUUUUAGUAACAAAAUUCCAAAAUGAUGCAAGUAUCAAUGAUGCAUUAAUAAUAGUAGGAGUAUUUCUUUUCAUUUGUUGUGCAUAUAUUAUGAUGUAUGAAUUGUCAGAAUGUUGAACUGUUUUGGUCAUUCAUUCAUAUUCAAAAGAAAAGGUAGAAAAGUAUAAUGGAUUGAAUGCGUCUUAGAGAAGCAAUUAAUAUCCAGUUAUGAAAUAUCUAUGAGAAUUCCCUAGACUGGUAAUCAACAAGAAUUGAGAAUUGUGUUCAUUAGUGAUUAUGAGAAGAACUCUUGUAAGACGUCUAUGUCUGCUGUCUUGCAUCAAGGACUUGGCGUACUUGUAAGAUUUUUAUCUGCCGGCCCGUUUCAAUGGCAAAGCGAUGGAUUUAUGGUCUUUCACGUGAAUCUGCUGAUUGCUUGAAAUUGGGUGCGUAGGAUUUAAACCACUGCCACCUUAUUCCCAUCACAUAAACUUACAGGCACUUCUGCUCUCUCUUGCAAGGUGGGUAAUUGGCAAUUCUGUCCUUUCUUUUGUUUGGGUCUAAAACCCCGGUAUUCGGUGAUGCAUUCGAUUCUGACUAAUUUGAAGUUUAACACUAUAUUGGACUCCUUUUGAGAAGAUUUUGAUAAAAUGUUAUUUUCAUUCACAGACUCAAAAUCGAGGCCUUGAUUAAAGACCACUAAGCUCUUUGUUACUCGACCCAACAACCAUUAAUGGCAAUUCUAUUUGGUUAGUGAAGGUAGAGCACUAACAUGGCUAAACAAAAAGGUGAAGAUUGCAAGAGCUCGACAAACUAUGAGAUUGGGAUUUUUCAUGUAGAUAGCGUAGAGAAAAAAGAGAAUCAGUGGAUCAUUCUUAUAUAUUAACAUUGCAGUCUUGUAGGAAAGAGAAAAAAAGGGCCCGGGGGGGGGGGGGGGUCGAAACAAUAUUCUUAUUUAUUAACACUCCAGUCUAGUCAUAAGCGUAAUUAAUCAAGGAAAAAAAAGGGUGUAAAUGUUAAAGGUUGAGCAUUUUCCCAACAUAUAUCCUCGUGGUUAAACGGUUAUUUCUUGUUUCUUUUUGGGCCUAUUAUCAUGAUACAUUUUUUUUUUAUUAAAUUUUUGGUCUGUAUUUUUUUUUUCAAUCGUCACCAUUUUUAGUCUGUAUUUAAGAUUAGCCUUUUGGGUAUUGUCAUGAUUCAUGGUUAUGUUAGGUGGACUUGUUUGAAUAUUAAUACAUCAUCAUAUUAUUUGAAUGUUAGGUGGACUUGUUUGCAUUACAAAUAUAUUUUUCAAUCACUUUUUUUGUAUUUUAAUUACCUUUCCACUUUAUAUAUAAUAAUCAUCAUAUAAAAUGUUACAUUACUAUUUUAAUAAUCUUCUAUCCAAACCAUACUUUUUGGGCCUAUUUAAACGAGUGAUAACAUAGUUAAACAUAUCUUUGCUAGUCUUGCAAAAAAUAAAUGACAUUAAUCAACUUUUUCUUUUGUUAAUCAAUCAAUUUAUUAGAGGAUACGCCUAAAUGGAUCCUAAAUUAUUCUAUUUAUUGCAUAUUGGUGUGUGUGUGUGUGUUCCUCUAAUUUGCAGCUCAAUUUUCGUUGUUACGUUGGUUUUCACAGCUUCACUUCAUAAUAACUGAAUUGACCAAGUAAUUAACCAAAAAAAACACUGGGAUGGCAAUUUCACAAAACUUGUUCAAGUUCCAUAGCCACAUGAAACAAGCCUAUUGUCCAGGUCAAAUGCAGAUACAUGCAACACCUAACAACUAUUAUUCCUACGUGCCAUUCCUCUAUAGCUCAAAAGGCAAUCAUGUUCUACUAUAAAUUCAAGCCUUAAUUCAAGCAAAUAUGCAAAACUUUCUGUUUCAGUUACAAAGAUAUCAAACGAUUUAGACACUUCAUUUCAUCUUUAAGGAAAUGUCGAGCACUCAGUUUAAUGAGGCGAAACCCAUGGCAAAACUCAGGUGAUUAAACCUCUUCUAUUUAAGUGUUAGCAUUAUCAUUCUUUUCUUGCUGUUGCAGCAAAUUUUAUGGCCUAGUCCUGUUUGUAAUAAUUUUGCUAUCCACAGACAUUGUAGUUGAUAUAUAGCCAGAUCACCAUAUAUAGCUAGAUCAUAUUAUAGCUGAUAUACGUUUCUAUUUUCAAGAUAUAUAUCAUCAUCAAGUAUAGAAAAUGAGAAUUCUUGAUUUGGGACGAAUUCUUGAAGACUCAUUAGUAGGACUCUGCAUCCCAAGAUUAUUACUAACAAGCUUUUAUACGCAGGCCAGAAGAGCAAUUGGUUGAUUCAUGCAAGGAUGCAGCAAUGCAGCCGUGACCGAUCUGCCCAGGCUGCAGAUCAGAGUGCAGGAUUCCUUCAGCAGGUUUUUCAACUUUUACAGUUUUGUCCAAGAAAAUUCGGGUUAAAAUUCCUUUUCUUUAUCUUCUUCUUAUUUAUUAUUAUUCAUUUUUUUUAGACUGGUGAGCAAGUGAAGAGCAUGGCUCAGGGUGCCAUUGAUGGUGUGAAGAACAACUUGGUUGGUGACAACAACACUAAGAAGUGAAAGAAACGUCAGUCUUCGUGCGAAUCAUGACUUAGUUGAUUUGUUUGUUGGUCAUUUCCUAUAAUUAGGAGUUUCCUAUACUCCAAUGGUAUAAGGAAAUCACAAGUAGGGAUUUUUUUAAGGAUUUCUCAGAUGAUGUAAUAAGAGCUUUUAGAAAUUUGUUGAUAAGUGGAGUUUAUACCAUUUUGAUGAUUUUUAGGUUAGCUUAGAAUUUGCUUCAGUUUCUAGCUUAUUUAGAGUUGGGAGCAUGUUAAUUUUGCAUUGAUCUGAAGAGUCUCUUGAUACAGAGAAUCUCUUUCAAGUGUAAUAAGGUAGUAUUGACUAUGAUAAAAGAUACUGAAUUCAUGAAGAAAAUGAGACAACUUGGUCUUUUUUCUGGCUUCUUGUUAAGAUUCCGAAACCCGCUUUCCACAAGAAGACUAGUUACAGAACCGAAGUCCAACGUUUUAAAUUACAGCUAGGUUUGCAAAAUGGAGAUUUGUAGUAGUUAAUAUUGACCACUAAUAUUAUCUCUUUACCCUUUAUUGUCAUUGCUGUAUAAUAUGCUUUCUACCUAACUUGCACGCACCUUAGAAUAAUUAUCUUUUUGAUUCACAGAAUUUGUGUCAAGGACUCAGGACUAGAGCUGUCAAAACCGAACUCGGCCCAGAUUUGGUAAAUUUUUUCGGGUUUGGGUUGAGAAAUAAUUCCGAUACCUGAAUCUGGACCAAUAUCCGUUUACUCUAAAAAAAGCGAGUCGAAUACGAAAUAUAGGAUUCUGACCGAUAUCGAUUCAACCAAAUAAUACAUUAAUAUUAUAAAUAUAAAUAUUCUAAUAUAUUCUUUUACUAAAUUAACAAAAGUAUUCUUUUACCAAAUUAACCAAAUUACUUGUAUCUCAGAUGAAGCAUCUAAGAAAUUAGGAUUUGCAAGACGCAAACUUGUUUGACCAGAAAUGUAUUCAUCACAAGUUGCAUAUAAGUGUUUUUUGCUAAAUACUUUGAGAUCAUGUUAGGCCUUUUUUGCUAACAUGGAUAAAAGAAAAUGAAUGAUACAUGUUGGGCCAUUUUCUUUCUAGAUAGACCCGGACCCGACUUGAGACUCGUCAAAUCUGGUUCUGAAAUCUUAAGUACAAACCCAUCGAUAUACGGGUCGGGUUCGGGUCUAGUACAUUAAAAUGAAUCGUGGUCCGAAAUUUUCAAUUUCGAUCCAAACCGACGACCUGUUGUUGAUAGGGCCUACUCGGACUGAAGAUUUCUGAAAAUAAUUCCCAAAUUCAUUCUCGUUGAACUACCGGUGUACUUGCUAGGAUAGAAAUCAAUACUCCUUGAUCAUGUGUUUGGUUGGGAACUUUUUCUUUUUUUAAAAUACAGUAUUUUAUAAUUGACCUAUACUUGGGAUUGGAAUGGAAUGGACCUAACUAAAUCAUUGAAAUUCAAAAACACUAAACUAUCUUCGAAAAUGUUUUAGAAGUCCUGGAUGGAAAAUGUAGGCAAGGCGUUUUGAAUACCAUACCUAUACCAAGCAGGGAUACUUCAACGUUAGGCUCAAAAUUUCUCCAUUGAGCUUAUUUGCAAACUAAAUAUAAUAAAUAUUGCAUUAAAAAAAAGCAUAAGAAAUAUUGUACCACGGGCCAUAAGAUAGGGAUGGGCAAAAAUACUUGUUAACUCGAAAACUUACCAUAUCCGAUUCAAUUCGAUCGAAAAUUAGAAUAUCCGAUUCGUAUUAUUUCAUCGCAUUAAAAAGAGGGUCAAGUACCUGAGUAGAUUCGGGCAGGUUAGGGUCACAUACUUGAAAAUCCACGAAUACUUGACUCACCCGCACACAUACACACACAUAUAUAUAUUUUUAAUUUUAUACACAUGGUUAAAAUAAUAUUUUUAGAACUAAAUAAGCAAUUUAUUGAGCAAUUGUAUUACAAAUAUGGAAGAUUAUAGUUUGUUUACAAGAUUCAUUUAUAGAGUUCAUGAUCUUAUUUUUUUUUUAAGAAAAGUUUAGUUAAUGUGAAAUAUAUAUCUAAAAAAGGGGCUACUUAUUUCAAAUUUUUAUUGAUUUUGAAUUCUAUUAAUUUUUUUUCCUUUUUCUUCUAUUCUCUUCGCAUGUUUGUUUCUUGGUGGGAUGAUUUUUUUGAGAAAAAUCUUAAUUAAAUUUAAAUUUUAAAUGAAAAUGUAAAAUAUAAAAUUAAAUUAGCAUAGAUAAUUUUUUUAAAAAAAAUUAAAUGAAUAAGUGGGAUGAAACGGGUAUCCGUUGAGACCCGAUCCUAUCUAAUUGGAUACUUGCUGAUAUGUGGGGCAGAUAAAACUCAGAAAAUGAUUGAUUUACUACAUAUGGGAGGCGCCAGUUAAAUGGUGGCACGAGAUAGGUAUUCGACCCAUGCUCACCCUACGACAACCCCAUAAGGUCAUAUAUAUCUCUCUUCAUUGCAUAUACUCAACACUUAUAGACUCCAAGCCAGAUUAAAUACUUUAAAUACUUUAUUAGCAAAAAAAAAAACACUAGAUUAAAAUUAAAUAAUUGUUUCACAAAAAUUCUCCUGGAAUUCUUGCUAGGAUCUUGCCCAUUGCUGAUCUUUAUAAUCUUAUGCCAAUUUUCUAAAAAACUCUCAUAGAAAAUUUCAUAAUUCAUAUCUUUUGUUUUUAACAUCUUUCAACUAGGGAGAAGUGAAAUUUAAAAAACAUUUCUGAUUCAUGGAAUCAAAAUUUUAACCACUAGACUAACGUAUUCUUGACAUCAUAAUUUAUCUUCGAUCCAAUAAUUGUCACUUUAAAGUUUUUUCAACAAAAAACACACCUGUAGUUAUGUUUCUUAGUUGUAUUUAAACACACAACAAAAAAAAAACUUAACUUUCCUCUUAUGAAAUGUUAAAAUUAAUGAAAGACACUGAACCGAAAUUCUCAAGUCCAAAAAUAAAAAAAAAUAAAAAAAUUAGAAACCGAAUAAGAAAUCUAGAAUGAUCGCUAAUGCAAUUGACGUGAUGGCUGUGUCCCGCGGCUUCUCCUACCUUCCCUAUCACCAUCCAAUAAUACGCCACUAAACUUCACCUUCAAUUCUAUUGCCUUCUAAUGGCAAAAUUAUUGAAAAGUGAAAACCCCUUCAUUGAGGAAAAAAGAAGGCGGAAAAAGAAAAUUCUUCAAGUUCCACAGCCACAUGAAACAAGCCCAUUGUCCAGGUCAAAUGCAGCAUAAUAUGCAACACCUAAACAACUUGCUAUUCCUACGUGCCAUUACCUCAUAGCUCAAAUGGCAAUCAUAUUCUACUAUAAAUUCAAGAGCUUAAUUCAACCAAAAAUACAGAACUUUCAGUUUUAGUUACAAAGAUAUCAAACGAUUUAGACACUUCAUUUCAUCUUUAAGAAAAUGUCAAGCACUCAGUUUAAUGCAGGCGAAACCCAUGGCAAAACUCAGGUGAUUGAACCUCUUCCAUUUAAGUGUUAGCAAUUAUCAUUCUUUUCUCGUUGUUAUAGCAAAUUUCAUGGCCUAGUCCUGUUUGUAAUGAUUGGCUAUCCAUAGACAUUGUAGUAUUAUUCUACUUUUUGUUCAUGGCAUAAAACUGCUAUACUAUUCUUCCACUAUUGGAAAAAGAAUUUGUCUUGCUGAUGAUAUAAGAUGCUAGAUGAGUUUUCUAUCCUCUCAAUUACAUGUAUGAGAUGGCUAUUGCAUUAAUAUAAGAUCAUCAUGUAUAGCUGAUAUAUGUUUCUAUUUUCAAGAUAUCUUAUCAAUCAUCAAGUAUAUGAAAACGAGAAUCCUUGAUUUGGGACGAAUUCUUGAAGACUCAUUAGUAGGACUCUUCAUCCCAAGAUUAUUACUAACUAGUUUUCAUACGCAGGCCAAGACAGAGCAGUGGGUUGAUUCAUGCAAGGAUGCAGCAAAUGCAGCCCAUGACCGAUCUGCCCAGGCUGCAGAUCAGAGUGCAGGAUUCCUUCAGCAGGUUUUCAACCUCUACAGUUUUGUCCAAGAAGAAUUUGGGGUUAAAAUUCCUUUUCUUUAUCUUCUUCUUAUUAUUAUUACUUCAUUUUUAUUUCAGACUGGUGAGCAAGUAAAGAGCAUGGCUCAGGGUGCUAUUGAUGGUGUGAAGAACACACUUGGAGUUGGUGACAACAACACUAAGAAGUGAAAGAAACAGAUGUCAUUCAUGAGAAUCAUGACUUAGUUGAUUUAUUUGUUAGUCAUUUCCUAUAAUUAGGAGUUUCCUAUACUCAAAUGGUAUAAGGAAAUUAUAAGUAGGGAUUUCUUUUUAAGGAUUUCUCAGAUGAUGUAAUAAGAGCUUUUAGAAAUUUGUUGCUAAAGUGGAGUUUAUACCAUUUUGAUGAUUUUUAGGUUAGCUUAGGAUUUGCUUCAGUUUCUAGCUUAUUUAGAGUUGGGAGCAUGUUAAUUUUGCGUUGAUCUGAAGAGUCUCUUGAUACAGAGAACUCUCUUUCAAGUGUAAUAAGGUAGUAUUGACCAUAAUAAAAGAUACAUAAUUCAUGAAGAAAAUGAGACAAUUUGGUCUUUUUUCUGACUUCUUGUUAAGAUUCCAAAACAGGUUUUCCACAAGAAGACUAGUUACAAAACCGAAGUCCAACGUUUAGAAAUUACAGCUAGGUUUGCAAAAUGGAGAUUUGUAGUAGUUAAUAUUGACUACUAAUAUUAUCUAUUUACCCUUUUAUUGUCAUUGCUGUAUAAUAUGCUUUCUAUCUAACUUGCACGCAUCUUAGAUUAAUUCAUCUCUUUGAUUCACAGAAUUUGUGUCAAGGACUCGGGACUGAUGAUUUCAGGAAAUAAUUCCAAAUCCGUUCUCGUUGAAGUACCCGAUGUACUUGCGAGGACAGAAAUUCAAUACUACCUUGAUCAUGUGUUUGGUUUGGACAAUUUUUUUUUUAAAUACAACAUUUUGUAACUGGUCGUAUAAUAGGGAAUGUGAAUAUACCUAACUAAAUUAUUGAAAAUUCGAAGAGAACUAAACUAUCUCCGAAAAUGUUUUAGAAGUUUUGGACGGAAAAUGUAGGCAAGGGGUUUUGAUUCCCAUACCUAUACCCACGGAGGGACACUUCGACUUUAGGCUCACAAUUUUCUCCAUUGAGCUUAUUUGCACACUAAAUAUAAGAAAUAUUGCAUUAAAAAAGGGUUAUUAUCACUUUACCCCCAUAAACGUUUGGUGUUACUAUCAAUUUCCCCCUUAACGUUAUCUUUUACCCCCAAGACUAAUGGUCAAACUUAACGGAGUUUGUUAAUUAAAGUAAAAUGACAUGUUUAACCCUUAAAAUUGUUAUCACUUUAUCCCCAUAAAAUAUAGUCUCAUUAUCAAUUUACCCUAUAGAGUUAUUUUUUAGACAAUUUAUCCUACCAUUAAACCAAUUUAGCAAGUUAAAAAACUUUAGAAGAAAAUACUCUUCUCUUUGCAUAAUAAAUAAUAAAAAAUUUAGAGUGACUCUUCUUCUUUUUAAUAUCAAGAAAAAAAGUCAAAGUAUUGAUUUUUUUUCUUCUUGACAAUCUUAUUAAUAUUGAAAAAAAAAUAGAAAGAUGGAGAGGGGGAAGGGAGAGAGAGAACUCAAUUCUUUUUUUAAAAUUACAAAUAAGAAAGAAUUAAAUACUUUUAUUAUUUUAAAAUUAUUUCACUUUUUUGUUUACCACAAAAUUUCAAUUCUAAUCCCGACAACCUUAAAGUAAUAUGAUAAUAUUAGACUUUUCUUUAUUUUAUUUUUUUCAAAAUCUAAUUUUUUGUCUCUUUCUUUCCUAUCUCUUUUUCUUUUCCUAGUAUUAAUAAGUGUGAAAACAGAAAUUUGAGAAAACUCUUUUAUUUUUAUAUUUUUCGAUCUCUUAAAGUGAAAAAAAGAAAGAAUAACCAUUCUAACUUUUUAUUUUUAAUUAUAUAUAAAAAAGGGUAAAUAUAUUUGAAAUUUUUUGACCAUACUAGUUGGAUUAACGAUGAGGUAAAAUACCUAAAAAAUAAUGUUAGGAACUAAAAUGAUUGUAUCACUAUAAUUCAAACGAAUAAAGCGAUAAUAACAACGUAGUAAUGCUAUAAAAUAAAAGGAUAUUUUUGUCCAAAAUUUAUUAACGUGUUGAGUUGAAUUACUUAUAGGGGUAAAGUGAUUAAAAGAUAACGUUAGAGGGUAAACUGAUAGUAGUGAUAUAGUUUAAGGGGGUAAACUGAUAAUAACCCUUAAAAAAAAGCAUAAGAAAUAUUGUACCAUGGGCCACAAGAUAGGGGUGGGCAAAAUACUUGUUAACUUGAAAACUUACCAUAUCUGAUCCAAUUUGAUUCGAAAAUUAGAAUAUCCGAUUCGUAUUAUUUGAUUGCGUUAAAAGAGGGUAAACUACCCGACUAGAUUCCGGACAGGUUAAGGUCACAUAAUUGAAAAUCUACAAAUACUUGACUCACCCCGCAUAUAUGUAUUUAUAUAUUUAUAUAUUUAUUUUUAAUUUUUAUAUACAUACUAUAAAAUAAUAUUUUUAAAGCUAAAUAAACAAUUUCAUUGAGCAAAUUGUAUGCAAAUAUGGGAUAUUAUAGUUUGUUUAUAAGAUUCAUUUGUAGAGAUCAUGAUUUUAUCUUUUUCAGAAAAGAAUUUAGUUAAUGUGGAAUAUAUAUCUAAAAAAAUGUGCUACUUAUUUCAAUUUUUUAUUGAUUUUGAAUUCUUUUAAUUUUUUUUCUUUUUCUUGUAUGCUCUUUGCAUGUUUGUUUCUUGGUGGGAUAAUUUUUUUGAGAAAAAAUCUUUAUUAAAUUUUAGAUGAAUAUGUGAAAUAUAAAAUUAAAUUAGUAUAGAUCAUUUUUUUUUAAAAAUUAAAUGAUAAGCGGGAUGAGACGGGUAUCUGUUGAUAUGAUCCUAUCUAAUUAGGUACUCGCUGAUAUGUAGGGCGGAUAAAACUUAGAAAAUGGUUGAUCCGCAAAAUGCAGGAUGGGUUAGUCAAAUGGUGCACAGGGUAGGUAUUCGACCCAUACCCAUCCCUACGACGACUCCAUAAGGUCCCAUAUAUCGCUCUUCAUUGCAUAUACUUAACAUUUAUAGAUUCCUAGCUAGAUUAAAUACUUUUUUACAAAAAAAAAACACUAGAUUAAAAUUAAAUACUUGUUUCACAAAAAUCUCCUGGAAUUCUUGCUAGGAUCCUGCCCACUGCUGAUCUUCAUAAUCUUAUGCCAACUUCUAAAAACAACUCUCAAUCAAUGUUUUUAAACCCGAACCGGGAAGUGAACCGAAAAACCUCCGGGUUCACGAUUCAACCAAUUCGAUCCGAUUCAAACAUUUAAUAAUUUUUUAUUCAUUUUAGUAUUAAAAAUUUUGAAUAAAACUAAAAUAUUUAUUUUAGAAAAUAAAUAUUUAAUAAAAAUCGGUUGAAUCUCUCGAUUUUACCGGUUCAACCGAUUUAAUUAAUUCUUUGGAUUUUUAAUUGAAUCGGACCGGAGGCAUGGCCAGUUCGCAAUUCAACUGGUUGAACCGGCUGGUCCGGGCCGGUUUUUAAAACCAUUGCACUCAAUAGAAAAUUUCAUUAUUCAUCUCUUUUUUUUUUUAACAUCUUUCAACUGGGGAAAGGUGAAAUUUAACAAACAUUUCUUAUUCAUGAAAUCUCAAUAUUAACCACUAGACUAACGCAUUCUCGACAUCAUAAUUCAUCUCUGAUCCAAUAAUUGUCACUUUCAAGUUUUCCAACAAAAAACACACCUAUAGUUAUGUUUCUUAGUUGUAUUUAUACACCAGAAAAAAAAUCUUAACUUUCUCUUAUGAAAUGUUAAAAUUAAUGAAAGACAUCUGAACCAAAAUUCUCAAGUCCAAAACCAAAAAAUAAAAAUAAAAAAAUUAGAAAACAAAAUAAGAAAUCAAGAAUGACCGUUAAUCAAUUGGCACGACGGCUGUCUCCCGCAGCUUCUCCUAGCUUCCCUACCACCAUCCAAUAAUACGCCACUAAACUCCACCUUCUUGCUCCCAAAUCUCAAGCUAAAUUCUAUUGCCUUCUAACGGCAAAAUUCUUGAAAAGUGAAAACCCCUUCUUUCAGAAAAAAAGAAGUCGGAAAAAGAAAAUUUUUUAAGUUCCACAGCCACAUGAAACAAGCCUAUCGUCCAGGUCAAAUGCAGCAUAAUAUGCAACACCUAACAACCUGCUAUUCCUACGUGCCAUUACCUCAUAGCUCAAAAGGCAAUCAUGUUCUACUAUAUAUUCAAGAGCUUAAUUCAACCAAAAAUGCAGAACUUUGGGUUUUAGUUACAAAGAUAUCAAAUGAUUUAGACACUUCAAUUCAUCUUUAAGAAAAAUGUCGAGCACUCAGUUUAAUGCAGGUGAGACCCAUGGCAGAACUCAGGUGAUUGAACCUCUUCCAUUUAAGUGUUAGCAAUUAUCAUUCUUUUCUUGCUGUUGCAGCAAAUUUCAUGGCCGAGUCCUGUUUGUACUAAUUUGGCUAUCCAUAGACAUUGUAGUUGAUAUAUAGCCAGAUCAUCAUAUAUAGCUGAUAUAAGUUUCUAUUUUCAAGAUAUCAUAUCAAUCAUCAAGUAUAAGAAAAUGAGAAUUCUUGAUUUUGGAUGAAUUCUUGAAGACUCAUUAGUGGGACUCAUUAGCAAGCUCAAGUUCCUCUCGCUGGAGAAAAUGCAUUGCCAAGAUAUGAUGAAUAUCCACAUGAGCUGAUACUAAAGAUAGCAGCAUUAAAUAUUGACGGUAACUCGACCAAUAGAGAAAUGUGUGCUUUCACAUACUUGAGGAUGAACCCAGACUUGUUCCACCCUGAUAACUGGAGAAGGUUUGGGGCAUUUGUGAAGAAAAUGAAGGAAGGAAAAGACGUCCACCGGUGUUGGGAGCAAGCGGAGCGCGAGGCUGAGCAUUUCGUACACGUAACUCAGCCAUUUGUGCAAGAAACUGCUAUAGCUCUGAUGCACUAGUACUACAGCAGGUUAAUGCAUGUUUCUGUAUGUAUGAACAAGAAGCAGAGAAUGCCCUGAUGGCUGGUUUUGUGGCCAUGGAUCUCUGUUUUGUUGUACGCAUAUGAUUAGGCCUAUUUCAAGAACCAUAUAGGAAUUCUCCAAGGUGUUUAGUAUCAAAGUGACAAAAUGAUGCAAGUAUCAAUGAUGCAUUAAUAAUAGUAGUAGCAUUUCUUUUCAUUUGUCGUGCAUAUAUUGUAUUCAUUAGUGAUCUAUAAGAAGAACUCUUGUAAGACGUCUAUGGUCCCUGCUGUCUUGCAUCAAGGACUUGACGUACUUGUAAGAUUUUUAUCUGCCGCCCAUUUCAAUAGCAAAGCGAUGGAUUUAUGGUCUUUCACAUGAAUCUGCUGAUUGCUUGAAAAUUGGGUGCCGUAGGAUUUAAACUACUGUCACCUUAUUCCCCAUCACAUAAACUUACAGGCCACUUCUGCUUUCUCUUGCAAGGUGGGUAAUUGGCAAUUCUAUCCUUUUCUUUUGUUUGGGUCUAAACCCCGGUAUUCGGUGACUGCAUUCGAUUCUGACUACUUUGAAGUUUAACACUAUUGGACUCCUUUUGAGAAGAUUUUGAUAAAAUGUUAUUUUCUUCAUUCACAAGACUCAAAAUCGAGGCCUUGAUUAAAGACCACUAAGCUCUUUGUUACUCGACCCAACAACCAUUAAUGGCAAUUCUAUUUGGUUAGUGAAGGUAGAGCACUAACAUGGCUAAACAACAAAGGUGAAGAUUGCAAGAGCUCGACAAAACUAUGAGAUUGGGAUUUUUCAUGUAGAUAGCGUAGAGAAAAAAGAGAAUCAGUGGAAUCAUUCUUAUAUAUUAACAUUGCAGUCUUGUAGGAAAAGAAAAAAAAGGGGGGUCGAAACAAUAUUCUUAUUUAUUAACAUUCCAGUCUAGUCAUAAGCGUAAUUAAUCAAGGAAAACAAUAGGUGUAAUUAAUCAUCCUUCAUGUUAAAGGUUGAGAAUUUUCCCAACAUAUAUCCUCAUGGUUAAACGGUUAUUUCUUGUUUUCUUUUUGGGUCUAUUAUCAUGAUCACCAUUUUUUUUAUUCAAUUUUUGGUCUGUAUUUUUUUUUUUUUGUCAAUCGUCACCAUUUUUGGUCUGUAUUUAAGAUUAGCCUUUUGGGCCUAUUGUCAUGAUUUAUGGUAAUGAUAGAUGGACUUGUUUGAAUAUGAAUACAUAUUUUUUUGCAAAAAAAAAAAAUUUUGCAUUACAAAUAUAUUUUUUAAUCACUUUUUUGUAUUUGUAAUUACCUUUUCACUUUAUAUAUAUAUCACAUCAUCAUAAAAAAUGUUACAUUAAUAUUUUAAAUAAUCUUCUAUCCAAACACUUACUUUUUGGGCCUAUUUAAAUGAGUGAUAACAUAGUUAAACAUUUCUCUUGCUAGACUUGCAAAAAAUAAAUGACAUUAAUCAACUUUUUCUUUUUGUUAAUCAAUCAAUUUAUUAGAGGAUACGCCUAAAUGGAUCCUAAAAUUAUUCUAUUUAUUGCAUAUUGGUGUGUGUGUGUGUGUUCCUCCUAAUUAGUAGCUCAACUUCCGUUGUUACGUUGGCUUCCACAGCUUCACUUCACUAAUAACCUGAAUUGACCAAGUAUAAUUAACCAAAAAAAACAUUGGGAUGGCAAUUUCACAAAACUUGUUCAAGUUCUACAGCCACAUGAAACAAGCCCAUUGUCCAGGUCAAAUGCAGCAUAACAUGCAACACCUAACAACCUACUAUUCCUACGUGCCAUUACCUCAUAGCUCAAAAGGCAAUCAUGUUCUACUAUAAAUUCAAGAGCUUAAUUCAAGCAAAUAUGCAAAACUUUCUGUUUCAGUUACAAAGAUAUCAAGCGAUUUAGACACUUCAUUUCAUCUUUAAGGAAAAUGUCGAGCACUCAGUUUAAUGCAGGCGAAACCCAUGGCAAAACUCAGGUGAUUAAACCUCUUCUAUUUAAAUGUUAGCAAUUAUCAUUCUUUUCUUGCUGUUGCAGCAAAUUUCAUGGCCUAGUCCUGUUUGUAAUAAUUUGGCUAUCCACAGACAUUGUAGUUGAUAUAUAGCCAAAUCACCAUAUAUAGCUAGAUCAUCAAACAUAGUUGAUAUACGUCUCUAUUUUCAAGAUGUCAUAUCAAUCAUCAAGUAUAAGAAAAUGAGAAUUCUUGAUUUGGGAUGAAUUCUUGAAAACUCAUUAGUAGGACUCUGCAUCCCAAGAUUAUUACUAACAAGUUUUUAUACGCAGGCCAAGACAGAGCAAUUGGUUGAUUCAUGCAAGGAUGCAGCAAAUGCAGCCCGUGACCGAUCUGCCCAGGCUGCAGAUCAGAGUGCAGGAUUCCUUCAGCAGGUUUUCAACUUUUACAGUUUUGUCCAAGAAGAAUUCGGGGUUAAAAUUCCUUUUCUUUAUCUUCUUCUUAUUAUUGUUACUUCAUUUUUAUUUCAGACUGGUGAGCAAGUGAAGAGCAUGGCUCAGGGUGCUAUUGAUGGUGUGAAGAACACACUUGGAGUUGGUGACAACAACACUAAGAAGUGAAAGAAACACGUCAUUCGUGAGAAUCAUGACUUGGUUGAUUUAUUUGUUGGUCAUUUCCUAUAAUUAGGAGUUUCCUAGACUCGAAUGGUAUAAGGAAAUCAUAAGUAGGGGUUUCUUUUUAGGGAUUUCUCAGAUGAUGUAAUAAGAGCUUUUAGCAAUCUGUUGCUGGUGUGGAGUUUAUACCAUUUUGAUGAUUUUUAGGUUAGCUUAGGAUUUGCUUCAGUUUCUAGCUUAUUUAGAGUUGGGAGCAUGUUAAUUUUCCAUUGAUCUGAAGAGUCACUUGAUACAUAGAACUCUCUUUCAAGUGUAACAAGGUAGUAUUGACCAUAAUAAAAGAUAUAUAGAAUUCAUGAAGAAAAUGAGACAAUUUGGUCUUUUUUCUGACUUCUUGUUAAGAUUCGAAAAUAGGUUUUUCACAAGAAAACUAGUUACAGAACCGAAGUCCAACGUUUUGAAAUUACAGCUAGGUUUACAAAAUGGAGAUUUGUAGUAGUUAAUAUUGACUACUAAUAUUAUCUGUUUACCUUUUUAUUGUCAUUGCUAUAUAAUAUGCUUUCUAUCUAACUUGCACGCAUCUUAGAUUAAUUUACCUUUUUGAUUCAUAGAAUUUGUUUCAAGGACUCGGGACUGAUGAUUUCAGGAAAUAAUUCCCAAAUCCAUUCUCGUUGAAGUACCCGAUGUACUUGCUAGGACAGAAAUUCAAUACUACCUUGAUCAUGUGUUUGGUUUGGACAUUUUUUUUUUUAAAUACAACAUUUUAUAGCUGGUCCUAUAAUAGGGAAUGUGAAUUUACCUAACUAAAUUAUUGAAAAUUCGAAGAGAACUAAACUAUCUCUGAAAAUGUUUUAUAAGUUUUGGACGGAAAAUGUAGGCAAGGGGUUUUGAUUCCCAUACCAAUACCCACGGAGGGACACUUCGACUUUAGGCUCACAAUUUUCUCCAUUGAGCUUAUUUGCAUACUAAAUAUAAGAAAUAUUGCAUUAAAAAAAGGGUUAUUAUCAUUUUACCCCCAUAACGUUUGGUGUUACUAUCAAUUUCCCCUUAACGUUAUCUUUUAGUCACUUUACCCCAAGACUAAUCAUCAAACUUAACGGAAUUUGUUAAUUAAAGUAAAAUGAUAUGUUUAAUCCUUAAAAUUAUUAUCACUUUAUCCCCAUAAAAUAUAGUCUCAUUAUCAAUUUACCCUAUAGAGUUAUUUUUUAGACAAUUUAUCCUACCAUUAAACCAAUUUAGCAAGUUAAAAAACUUUAGAAGAAAAUACUCUUCUCUUUGCAUAAUAAAAUAAUAAAAAAUUUGGAGUGACUCUUCUCCUUUUUAAUAUCAAGAAAAAAAAUCAAAGUAUUAAUUUUUUUCUUCUUGACAAUCUUAUUAAUAUUGAAAAAAAAUAGAAAGAUGGAGAGGGAGAGGGGGGGAGAGAGAACUCAAUUCUUUUUUUUAAAAAUUACAAAUAAGAAAGAAUUAAAUACUUUUAUUAUUUUAAAAUUAUUUCAAUUUUUUGUUUACCACCAAAUUUUAAUUCUGAUCCCGACAACCUUAAAGUAAUACGAUAAUGUUAGACUUUUCUUUAUUUUAACUUUUUGCAAAAUCUAAUUUUUUGUCUCCUUCUUUCCUGUCUCUUUUUCUUUUCCUAGUAUUAAUAAGUGUGAAAAAAAGAAAUUGAGAAAACUCUUUUAUUUUUAUGUUUUUCGAUCUCUUAAAGUGAAAAAAAAGAAGAAUAACCAUUCUAACUUUUUAUUUUUAAUUAUAUAUAAAAAAGGGUAAAUAUAUUUAAAAUUUUUUGACCAUACUAGUUAGAUUAAUGAUGAGAUAAAAUGCCUAAAAAAUAAUGUUAGGAACUAAAAUGAUUGUAUCAUUAUAAUUCAAACGAAUAAAGUGAUAAUAACAACGUAGUAAUGCUAUAAAUAAUAGGAUAUUUUUGUCCAAAAUUUGUUAACGUGUUGAGUUGAAUUACUUAUAGCGGUAAAGUGAUUAAAAGAUAACGUUAUGGGGUAAACUGAUAGUAGUGAUAUAAUUUAAGGGGGUAAACUGAUAAUAACCCUUAAAAAAAAGCAUAAGAAAUAUUGUACCCACGGGCCACAAGAUAGGGGUGGGCAAAAAUACUUGUUAACUCGAAAACUUACCAUAUCCGAUCCAAUUUGAUCAGAAAAUUAGGAUAUCCGAUUCGUAUUAUUUGAUUGCAUUAAAAGAGUGUAAGGCACCCGAUUAGAUUCCGGGCAGGUUAGGAUCAUAUAAUUGAAAAUCUACAAAUACUUGACUUACCCCGCAUAUAUGUAUUUAUAUAUAUUUUUUAAUUUUUAUACACAUACAAUAAAAUAAUAUUUUUAGAGCUAAAUAAACAAUUUCAUUGAGCAAAUUGUACGCAAAUAUGGGAGAUUAUAGUUUGUUUACAAGAUUCAUUUGUAAAAAUCAUAAUUUUAUGUUUUUCAGAAAAGAAUUUAAUUAAUGUAGAAUAUAUAUCUAAAAAAGGUGCUACUUAUUUCAAAUUUUUAUUGAAUUCUUUUAAUUUUUUUCCUUUUUCUUGUAUGCUCUUUGCAUGUUUGUUUCUUGGUGGGAUAAUUUUUUGAGAAAAAAUCUUUAUUAAAUAUUAGAUGAAUAUGUGAAAUAUAAAAUUAAAUUAGUAUAGAUCAUUUUUUUAAAAAAAUUAAAUGAUAAGUGGGAUGAGACGGGUAUCCGUUGAUCUGAUCCUAUCUAAUUAGGUACUGUGACGACCCCACCUCCCCCUAAGGCGUACCAAAGGGUUCGGCGGACCGCCUGCCCAGCUCUCGCCAGGACUCACUCACUAUCUUAAUCGAGUCACGUACACACAUCCAUGAACCAUAAAUAACAUUCCCAAUUCAAGCUUAUAAUUUACAUUAAUAGAAAUCGAGGUACAAAGUCUCAACACACCCAACUAGUUCAAUACGUAUACAAUCCAAGUACAACAUGUUCCAUUCGAGGAAUAGCGCGAGUACAAGACCAAAAAGUCAAAAGUCAAAACAAAAGGCUACGCUAGUCUUUUACAAGUCUCACGCGUCACUCGUACCCCUGAAAGGAAAACAAAUGGAGUGGAAUGAGCUAAAAGCCCAGUGAGGUUCCAAAUAGCAAAUUGACCAUUAUUUAGAAGUACAAGUUUUCGGUAUAGCAAAGUAACAAGCAUGAAGAGUUCAUAAAGGUGAGCAAUAACACGUCAAGUAGCAAUCUUAAAAUGAACGAAUGUAGAAAAUUUUUCAAAAGAAACAAUAAUCCAAUAAACAAUAAUUACUCCAAAGUAUAAGGAUACGGAUGACUCUCAGGAGCCAAAUUCCCAUUACAUUACCAGAAGCUUGAUCCCGUAGUAGUUGACACUCCGUCAACUUUCAAGUAAGUAACCAAUCCAGUAGAACACCACUUAAACGACUCUCCGUCCACCGUUCAACCCCCAGCUGGGCCCAAAAUCCUCAAGAACAUGGGUGGUAAAUUUAUUUUUGGUCAAUGCAAAUCUAUAGAGAUUAUUUCAUUGGCAUUCUUUUUUUUUUUUUUCCCUUUCCCGGAAAAGCAUUGGCCUUGUCUUCAGACAUUGCCUUUAACUUUUGUAACUCGUGAUGUACGAAACUCUGAGAUAUUCAAGAUUCAAUUGAAUUCUAAUAAUUUACCUAAUUGUUAUCCACCAAAUUGUUAUUAUCAAGGGUGUUUAAUUAAUGCGGAUCUUGGUCCAACUAAUUUGGAAGGCUAGACCUUAAACAAGACAAUAAGGCAAAAGAUGAGAUUGGCCCUAGUGGGAUUUGGGAUGCCCUCUGAACUCAAUAAAAUAAACUCUGAUUUUGGUUUUCUUGUUUUUGUUUCAAUUUUCUCUUAUCUAUACUAUAUUUUAUCUAUAUCUGUACUACAUUAAAAGCAUCAAUAUGAUUUGGUGACUUAGUUUUCACUUUUCAAUAAUAUCAUUGCCUAAGAUUAAUUGUAAUUGUUCUAUGGUUGCAAAUUAUAAUGCCAUUCUAAUAUUUUUGAGGGUAUUUGUUUAUCUUAGAGUAAAUUUGGAAUUAUAGUUAGAUUCGAAAUAAAAUUACCUUUAUGUCAAUUUGUUAAGAAAAGGACAUUGCUUUGGAAAUACUACUGAAUUUGGAAUUGUAAUCAAGUAAGGCCAAUGCUACUUGGAAUUGGAAUUGGAAUGUUAUUCAGAUUGAGACUAAUUGAAUAGUGGUUUCAUUAGGUUAUGUCUUUCACCAAAACGCCACUUUAAACCUCAAUGUUAUACUCAUAUUACAAACCCCAAGUAAGUGGAAAUUGUCCCUAUUCCACUUUUCUAUUUUCUUCUUUUUCUCCCAAAGAAAUUCGGAAAGGUUUGCAUCAUGGAAAAGUUAAAAAUAUUCUCUUUAGUUAAGGUCUAUUAUGCACUAACGGAUGAUCCAUUGCGAUGUUUCCGAAAUUAUUUUACUUCAAGCAAAUAGUAAAUGUGGUACCUAAAAAAACAGUAAAUGUGGUUUUCCAUUUAAUGUUGAUAUAAAGUUUUACAAGAAAAGAGUUUCUAAUUUUUUUUAGGAAUAAAAUCUUGAAUUGGAAGGAAAUAGUUUUGGAAUUGGAAAAGUUGAAAAAUUCUCUUUAGCUGAGAUCCAUUAGGUGCCAAUUUAUGUUUUGUAGUGAUCUUUCUUGCAAUUAUUUCACUUCAAGCAAACAGUUAAAUGCGGUUUGUAGGUAGUACAGUAUAGUGACAUAAAUUUUUCAGCACAAAUUUAGCUUUUUUAAUUUGUUUUUUGAGGAACAAAAUCUUGAAUUGGAAGGGAUUUGUUGUAUAGGGUGCUAUGUCCAUCGAAAUUGAACAUUGUCUUGUGAUGGCCCAAAAAUUAAAUAGAUAUUAAAGGAAUAUUUAUAACAGGGAGACUUUUUAUUUUGAACUAACUUAGACUUUCAAAGAAAAUUGUUUUUGUUAACUUCGUGAUCUAAGGACAUAUUUGGAUUGGAGUUUUCUAAAAACAAAUUUUUACUUCUCCAUGAAUAUAUUCUCAAUUACCUUUUUAUCUUACAUACAUCAAAUCGUUAUACAUAAUAUAUUUUUCUACAAAAACUCCAGAAAAUAACAAUCCAUACGGAAUUGUUAGAGAAUGAAAAUUGUUAAGAAAAAAAUCUAACCAAAAUACAUUAAUUAAAAAAUUAUACAAAAUAUCUGAAACAAAAGUUACAUAAUUUUCACUCACAAAUGCAUUAGGUGAGAAUAUGUAAAAGACUUUAUUCUUCCAUAUUUAUAGUAAAACCUGUAUUGCUUAGUACGUAUACCAUAAGAGUUGGGAUUAAGGGCAAGAACAAUAAUAAUCUAAGGAGUUGAAACAUAAGUUUGGAUACUAGAAACAUGAAUGAUUUGGAAAACAUCACGCCUGCAAAUAAGAAGAAUGAAAUAUGUACAUUCCUAUUUUGUUAUACAUAUAUCCAGCUUCAUAAGUGAAUGUGCACAUUCAAUAUGCUAAUGCGCAAAUUAAAGUUAGAUAACACUUUUUGUGACACAUUGUAUAGAAUAAUUAGUUAGGUGGUUUAAUGCACAAAAAUGAUACAAAUGAAAUACUUACUUCUUCUUUUUUUUCUUUAUAUUGAAUUGAUAGGAAAUGGUUUUCCUUCUUCACAGGAAUUAGAGUGGAAUUAUUAACAAAAAGUAGGAUAUGAUUCUCACAUGCUACAUUUUGACAGCCAUUUAUAAAAAAAAACCAUACUUUGGGCUUUAUGCACAAGAAAAGAUCUAUUUUCCAAUACAUAUACGUACAUAAAAAGUAAAGUAAUUACAUCGAAAUAGGAGGAAAAGAAACUAAUAUAACUCUUCAAUUUGUAUCUUAGUUUCUUUGAACUUUGUUAUCAAAUUAUCCAUAGAGGUCAAAACCAAGUGUGAUUUCUCAUAGAAUGUUGUCAGACAUGGCUGAUGAUCUUGGAACAAAAUAUUUAAAUAACAUCAUUAGGUAUCAAAUUUAGGAAUCAAAUACUAAUUAAGUUUUUAAAUGGACUACUAGAUUCUUCUGUUAAACAAUUAGAGGCAUACUUGGUAUCCAAUUAGGAUCCAGUUCCUCCAUGGUGAUCCAACCAUUAGAAUCGUCUUCAACUGGUAAAACAUUGAAAAAGAAGGGUCAUGCACAAUAUCUCCAAGGGCUGCAUCAAUAAUAGCUCCACAGCUGCCGGCAAUAUCUGGCUCCUCAUUGUUCAUGUUUGAUGCUGUAGGUGGAGUACUGGUACUUAGUACCAUACUAGUACUCCAAUCAGAGCAAUCGUUAGCACUAGAGUCUGAUAUCAUCAAUUCCUGGACGUCAGGCGAAUCAGUAGGGUUAGUUCUCAAAUUCUUAGUGCUUCCAAAUUGAUCAAUGUCCGAUUUUCUCUUUGCUGAUUUAGUCAACCCCUGAUCAUUGGAUUCGACAAUGCCAUAUCUUGAUCUUGAUACUAGUUUUCUUCCUUUAGAGCUUUUGGAGUCAUCUCUCUUUAUCCGACAAAGUACUAAAGAAGUAUCUAAUUCGUUGUUUAGCCUUUCCAAACAAUCACCAUCAAUAUAGUACUCGUACAUAGUCCAUUGGCCCUGAGUCUCCUCUUUUGACUUAAACGUAAACGUCCUCUUCUUGCCAAUUAGCUCCCCAGUGCCCGCCUUCUUGAUAGGUUCUGCGGCUGUAUUGCCAUGCACGCCAUUGCCCACAACCAGCUGUCCUGUUCUUAUUCUUGUCUCCCUUCUUCUUACCAGUGCUGGAUAGCCCCGUAAACAUGUAAAGUACUUUCUGAUCACGAAAGACUUUGCACAAAGGAUCCACUACUGUCUGCCAAUGAUCAUUGUUGCAGAAUAGAUCCCAUGGCGUCCCUUUCUCACCGUAGAUAUUUCUUUCGAUCAUGACCCUUUUCCAUUCCAAACGCAAUAGCUGAUUCUUUACCAUAUCCUUGAGGUAGUACGUGAUCAACUCUUCAUCGGUAGGACAGAACCGAAUUCCUAACCCGAAACUGGCCAUCCUAUUGCUUUCUUAAUGUUUCUCGGAAUCGAAAGUUAUGAAAUUGGAGGCAUGGCGCAAUGUAUAUAUAGAGGAGUUGGGAGGGGCGUAAAAGUUUAGAAGUUGCCUAACAUUGGUUAUCCUACUAGAUUUGGAAUUUGCUUUCACUCAAAUUCCUAAACAUCGUCGCGCCUUGCAUAACCAAUUGACUUUAUUAUUAUUACUACUAGACAUAGUAUUUAAAAAAAAAAAAAAAGAAGAUCCAAUCACUUAAGAAUUCCACAUGCCCUUGAAAUCUAUUGUAGAAUUUAAAAUAAAAUUAUUUCAGGUGAAAAAAAUCAUAAAACAAUUACAUAAAAUGUAAUUUUAACAAAAAAAUUUUAUUUAAAUAUUUAAAAUUUCACAACAUGAGAGAUAUCUUACAACAUUUGCAUUUUAUCUCCAUUUAUUAAUGUUCAUAAUUUGAGAAGGAACAGUUUUAACAAUAGAAAAGUUUUCAAAUUUAGUUGGUGUAAUAUUUUUUAAUAGAAGUGAAAUAUUUUGGAAACCUAGUUCUUGAUUUUUCCCAAAAAAAAAGUAUUGCAAGACAUGGGUGAUAUGAAAAGCUUGGGCAGGGAGAAAAAAGAAUAGAGAAAAAUGGAGAUAAGUGUAUACUUAUUGAAAAUUUUGACAUGUUUUAAUGUAAAGGCUGAUGUGGCUUAACAGAGGGAGUAAAAUGCAACAAAAAUAACGUUAAAAAGAAAAGUACAAAUAAUAUCAAGCUUUAGCCGUUAGAGAGGGCUGGAAAAUUUUAAGGGUUGCCUAAGCUGGUGUUAUCCUACUAAACUUCGAAUUUGCUCACCGAUUUGCCUAAUAUUGGUUGACUUUUAUUUUUAUUUAUUUUGUUGGUAAAAUGUUAUUCAUUCUGGACUAAUGGUCUAUAUUUUCAGACUCGAACCGGGCAUCGACUCGGUCGAGCUUAGGGGUCAAGAGUCAAUGGAUUCGACCGGAUUCGAUUGAGGUGGAACCGGAUGACGUCAUAAAUAAAAAUUAUUUAAAAUUUAAAAUAUUGUAUGUAAAAUACUUAAGAACAUGUUAAUAUUAAUAAAUGUAUAUUCAUAUAUAUUUGAUAUUUCAAAUAUAUUUAACAAGAAAAUACAAAGAAAUUAGAAUGAUCAAGUAGCAAUUUAUAUUAUUCAAUGAACAUUAACAAGUUUAGAAUUAAAAUUAUAAAUUUGAUUAAAAAAUAACACCAAACUUUAGGAUAAUAUUUAUAAAAUAUGAAAUAUUUGAGAUAUAUUAAUAAUUUUUAACAACCUAGGGGCCGAUACAUAAUAUUGAAAAUGCUUUGUCCUUUCAAAAAAAAAAAUUGGGCGGCAAGGCUAAGGCUGAAGUCUCAGCUGCGCAUGCCAUGUCAGGUAUAUACUUCAAUUAAGAAUGCUGCCAUUAUAUCUUUCCAUCGGGCCCACUAGGAUUCCUACAGCUGGUACUUGCAAGCCGGCCUUGAUUGAAAUGCGAAAUUUCCUCUUAGUGGACUGGAAGCUUUGAUAUCAAACCGGUUCAUCCGGUUUAUCGGUCAAACCCGGUCAAAUUCGAUUUUGACCCGGUUUGACCAAGUUUUAUUCAAUAGUAACUCGGACCGGACACUUGAUCGGUUUUUUGUCCGAUCGGUCAGACCGGUCAAUCCGAUCCGAGUUUGAAAACAUAGCUAAUGGUUAGGGAUGGCAGUGGGGGCGGGGGACACCUCCCCCAACCCCUGCCCCAUUGCAUUUUAAUUCCCCUCGCCCCCGCCCCGCCCCACUUCCCCCGCGGGAGCACCCGUGGGGUUAAAAAAAAUUUAUUAUAUAAUUUUAUUAUAAUUAAAUUUGAGCAAAUAAUCAAGUACUAAAAUAUCAACACAUCACCAAAUUAUUAUUCAUUGUAACUUCACAAUUGAAACUCAUAAAAAUAAUUAAACAAAGGUUAUUUGAAUACAAUCUAAUAUAAUAAAACAAAUAUAACUAAAAUAAUCAAGUUUUCACUUUUGAUACAAAUACUAUCACUAAAUUAUUAUUGUGUUUUUUUUAGAAAAAAGUGUUAUUGUAUUAAGUGUAAUUAGGAAUUUAACAUAAAUAUAUUAAUAAAUUUAGUAUAAAUAAUUAAUAAUUUUAUUAAUAGACAUGUAUAAUUAGUAGUAUAAUUGACGAUAUCAUUAUAUACAUAUAAUUACGUACAUAUAUAUAUAUAUAUAUAUAUAUUUUUUUUUUUCAAACGGGUGGCGUGGCGAGGGGUGGGGCGGAGGAGUAUACCCCCGAACCCGUCCCGUUUCUAAAUGGGGAGAAAAAAUUCCCCCCGCCCCCGCCCCCGCCCCAAUGACCCCCCGCGUGGGCACCCGCCCCCGUCGCCAUCUCUACUAAUGGUACAAACAAGACAGGAGAAAAUAAAUUGUUCACAACAAAAAUUUAGAAAUUUCGGAAUCAACCAAGUGUUAUAUCUUGCAAAUAUCUAAACUAAGAAGGACUAAUUUUUUACUUUUUUUUCUUUUGCAAAUCAGUAAGCAGUUAAAGAUAUAUUUCAGGUGUCAUAUUUUUUAAAUGUAAGAUUAAUUAGAGAAAGUAAAUAAAUACAGGGAGGGUAGGUAAGAUUAAAUAGGAAAAGUAUGUAAAUGUAAGAAAGAGUAAUAAUUAUUAAUAUGUGUAUAUACAUGGCAGAUUAAGGGAUUAUUAAGUGCGAUGACGAGUACCCUAUGGGUAUUCAUUAGAAAAACCCUAGAACAAUUAGUGGGGAAAUGUAUCGCCAUAUCUUUAAUCUUUUUUUUUUUUCAAAAGGUCAUACCAUAUCUUUAAUCUUGCGGGGACCAAACUAACAUUAAGUCAAAUCUUUCGUAGGCAAAUUAGAAAUCUAAGUUAUCCUACUUGAAUUUCCAUUUAAGGGGUCAUUCAAAUCAAAAUUGAUAAUCCCAGAGACUUAAGGGCACCUUAAUGUUCAAGGACUGAAUAAGAAGAUGAAUAAAAUCAUGAGGAACUGUUAGAGUCAAUUUAACGUCUUUUUUUUUUCUUUUUCCUUUUAAGGGAAGACGAUGAUAACUUUUGCAAUUACAUUGUUUGAUAUAUUAUUUUCUGUUCAUUAAGUUCAUGCUUGCGUUAGUUAUGAGCAAAACUUGACCGUCAAAUCUAAGAAUCAUAACUUCAUAAGGGCUCAAUUAUUAUUAUUAUUUUUUAAUGUUCAUGUGAGGCUCCAAAACUUUAUAAGGAAAAUAAGAAAAGGAAAGGUUCAAUCCUUAUUUCAACCAACCUCUAAAAUCCCUACAAAUUCAAGAAUUAUUUUGAGAAAUUUAAACAAACAAAGACGUUUGAUUUCUUCUGACUAGCGACUAAAUUAAACAUAGUUUUAAUGGAUGCCCUUAGGGCACUCAUUAGCACAUUUAAUAUUCAUCUAACCUACCAUAUAUAUACACAUACUAAUAAUUAUUAUUAUCUUUUGUAUUUAUAUACUUUUCUUAUAUAAUCUUAUCUACCAUCCCUUGUAUUUAUUUACUUCCUCUAGUUAAUCUUAUAUGUCCAAAAAUGUACCACCUAAUGUGAUCAUCUAGUUUUUAGGAGAAAAUCAAAGAUCAAGUACAAGGUAAAACUUAAAAGGUGUGAAAGAAAAAAAAAUAAAAAACAAAUAUAUGUUAGUUUACACGAAUAGAUUUCCAAUUUAGAUCCAUGAUACAUUAAUAAAUUUUGAAUUUGAAUUCUAAAUUAUGCACAUAUGGUAUGUAUCUAGAUCAAUUAGUGUAUAUAUAUGUUAUUGUAGAAAUAUUUCAUCAAAUUUUAUUCAUAACCAUUUUUCACAAUAAGGUUUUGUAAAAUUGACGACAAACGACAAUGUGCCCUAUAUGGUUGUUAACCUACCUUCGUGUGAUAUAUAGUAAGAAAAAAAAUGGAAUUAAUUGUAUAAUAAUUUCUUUGGUUAGAGGGGACUUCAAACCUUACGAAGGAAAAAAAAAACUAACAAAGGAAAAGUUAAAAUGGGACAGUUAGAGAGUUAACCCAUAGAUGCUAUGUCAUAUAUAAUUACUAAUUUACAUUAACCAUUAUCAGGAAGGGUUACGGCUGCUAGAAAAGGAAAAUCUUUAUUAAUAAGAAACACCCGAAGUUUAUUUGUUACUACUUCAUCACGCACGGUGUCACGAGGUGUUUAACUCACCCUUAAACCAACCCACGUGAUGGCACUGGUAGUCGCUACCAGUCAGCCUGCGAACUCACUUUGCCCUCAAGUAUUUCGAACCUAGAACACUUAGGCAAACUCAAUGAACACACGCACAGAUUACAGCCAAAGGCCAACCUUGAUUAACACAACAACGGUUACAAGGACUUUCUACAAAUACUUGGCGUGCAGAACAUCUAAAGGUAAUUCUCACUAUCUGUGAAAUCUCUACCCCUUUAGUCUCUGCCUAGCCCAAUAUUUAUAGGCACAUUACGGUUGACAAAAGACCCAACCGUUGGUCUUAACGAAACGUCCAUGAAACUAGGAAUCGGCUAGGAACAAGGCUGAGUUGCUGGUAACCGCCAGCAACUCCCAGCAACCGCUCACAACGGUUGGCAACUGCCCAGCGUCUUUGGCGCGCACCAGCAACCGCCCAGCAGUUCCGCGCGCACGCCCCGUUUCCCGUCCUCGCAACGUUUCGUGCCCAGCUUGCCCCAACACUUAGCAACCUUAGGCACCGUGGUCCCAAGCCAUUGGAACCAUCCGAACAUCCCACCGAGCCAUAGUCAACCCGUGGCCUUGGCCCCUAGCCCUUGGCCAUGACUUGGCUUAGUUACAGUUAUCCCCUCCAUAUAGGUGUCUUAAGGGAAAACUUCCAACCGUUAGUAGAGGCACCCCUCUGUCCCCAACUAACCCAGAGGCAUCUGAUGCCCCUGGAACUUUCCCCAGCCCAUACUUAGGCUAGGAAAAUAUCAUCAAACAUGGGUCCACCCGUUUCUCACAAGCUUCACCUUCGGCCUUCCACCUAGGCCAUGGCUUGGCCGAACUUGGCCAUGGCUUGGCCGAACUUGGCCACGGCCGCGCGCGUUCCGUUUGGACCGCGCCCUAAGGGGCUAACAGACCACCCCCACUUGAAGAGGUUGACGCCCUUGUCAACCUGGCUUGCCUCCGCACCUUGUUCAGAUACUCAGCAACUUUGUCUUCGAACUGCCACAAGGUCACGUCCCGCUCCCAAGUAGUAUCCAACUCGGUCUCGCCCUUCCAUUGGAUCAGAUAGUCUGUCCGUCUGUUCUUUUUGCUCUGCCCCAUUGUCCUGUGGUCCAGCACAGCUUCCACUUCCUUUUGGAAUUGCUUGCGGAUCACUGGUGGAGCUCGUUUCGCCUGCCUCCGUCCUUCAUCCAUCUCGUCCUGGUUGAAGGGUUUCAAGAAGCUUACAUGGAAGGUCGGGUGGAUCUUUAGUCUAUCGGGCAGCUUCAACCGAUAGGCCACACGACCCACCUUCUUUAUUACCUCAAACGGUCCAUCGUACUUCGGGAUGAGCCCGCGAUGGACGGUUUUGCUGCUCACUUUCUUCCAAAUUUGGGGAGUCAACUUCAGCAUUACUUGAUCUCCCACCUGGAACUCCAAGUCCCGUCUACGUUGGUCCGCAUACUUCUUCAUGCGUUGUUGCGCCACCAGCAAGCUAUCCCUUGCUUCGUCCACCAGUUCCUGCUUGCCACGAGCGAACCGGUGUGCGGCCGGGCAACGACUCCCGCCUUGAAGGGCAACUUCAUGCGGAGUCAGCGGUUGUUGCCCGUUCACCAACUCGAACGGACUCAGUUUCGUUGCGGAUGACUUGUGCAGAUUGUAGCAAAACUGCGCAGCAUCCAGCAACUCCACCCAGUUCUUCUGACUGGCCGUCACGUAAUGCCUUAGGUACUCCUCCAACAAGGCAUUGAUCCUCUCCGUCUGUCCGUCGGUCUGAGGAUGGGUUGCAGUAGAGAACUUAAGUUCGGAUCCCAGCAAUCCGAACAACACGGUCCAGAAUCUCCCCGUGAAUCUGGUAUCCCUGUCACUUAUGAUGUCUUCGGGUAAACCGAAGUACUUCACAACAUUUCUGAAAAACAACUCAGAGGCAACAUCAGCCGGGCACGCCUUCGGCGCACCGAUAAAGAUAGCAUACUUAGAGAAUCGAUCUACGAUUACAAAAACAGAGGCCAUACCAUCGACCUUAGGAAAUCCCGAAAUGAAGUCCAUUGAGACCGAUUGCCACGGUCGAUCAGGGAUCGGCAAGGGCUGCAACAAGCCUGGCUCCUUCUUCCUUUCCACCUUGUCUUGUUGGCACACAAGACAUGUUCUCACGUAUGCUUCAAUAUCUCCCUCCAUCUUUGGCCAGUAGAAGCUCCGCGACAGCAAGGCCCUCAUUCGUUCCACCCCUGGAUGACCAGCCCACGGAAUGUCAUGGGUUUCCCGCAGCAACUGUCGCCUCAGUCCCCCUCCUGCCGGGACAUAAGCUCUACCACCUUUGGCAAAAAGUAAGUCGUCCUCAAGCCAGUAACGACGAACUUUGCCUUCACGAACUUGAGCGAUCAGGGUCUGGUACACUGGAUCGUUCGGGGACUCCGCCUUAAUCCUGUCCCGAAAGUCCGUUUCCACAGUGCUAAGGGCCGCAACGUACUCUUCGGCAUGCUUUCGGCUAAGCGCGUCGGCAACCGCGUUCUCCCUUCCUGGCUUGUGCAGCCAGUCAAAGUCGAACUCGGCUAGAAACUCCUGCCAACGAGCCUGCUUCGGGGUCAGCUUCUUCUGCGUCUUGAAGUACGUGUUAGCCACGUUGUCGGUCACCACCACGAACUUGGUUCCCAACAGGUAGUGCUUCCAGAUCUCUAGGCAAUGCACUACAGCCGUCAUCUCUUUCUCGUGCGUGCUGUACCUCUGCUCGCACUCCUUCAGCUUUCGGCUUUCGAACGCAAUUGGGUGCUUGUCCUGCAUCAGCACUCCACCAAUUGCACGGUCGGAAGCGUCGGUGUGCACUUCGAAGGUCUUUGUGAACUCCGGAAGUUGCAACACAGGUUCAGAGGUGACUGCUUCCUUCAACAUCCUGAAUGCAUCCUCGCAUUCGUAAUCCCACAUCCACGGCCUAUCCUUCUUCAGUAAGUCCGUCAAAGGUGCUACGAUCCUGGAGUAUCCCUGGAUGAAGCGCCUGUAGUAGUUCGCCAGACCAAGGAAGGACCUCAGUUCAGCAACCUUCUGGGGUGCGGGCCAGUCGAGAAUCGCCUCGACCUUCCUGCGAUCCAUCUGGAUCCGGCCAUUGCUCACCACAUGGCCAAGAAAAGUGAUCUGCUCCCUGCCAAACUCACACUUUUCCUUCUUGACAUAGAGCUCGUAUUCCCUCAACUUGCGGAAUACGUCUCUCAAGUGCCCUACAUGCUCUUCUAGGGACUCCGAAUACACAACAAUAUCGUCUAAGUACACUACAACAAACUUGUCAAGGUAGUCAUACAAGACAUCGUUCAUCAGCCUACAAAACGUAGCAGGUGCAUUCGUCAAGCCGAACGGCAUGACAAGAAAUUCGAAAGAACCAUACCUUGUCACCACCGUCGUUUUCUCCUCAUCUCCUGGGGCUAUCCGGACUUGCCAGUAUCCCGACCGCAAGUCAAUCUUGGUGAAGAAUCGGCCCCUUGCCAGCCUAUCGAACAAGUCAAAGGUGUUUGGGAUCGGGUACCUGUUCCUGAUCGUGAUCUUGUUCAAGGCACGAUAAUCCACGCAAAAUCUAAGGGUUCCAUCUGCUUUCUUCUGGAACAGCGCUGGGGCACCGUACGGAGCCUUCGACGGCCUCAGCGCCUGGCCCUCGAGCAAAUCGUUCAGUUGGCGUCGCAGUUCCGCCAACUCCAUCGGGGACAUGCGAUAAGGAGCCUGGGCAGGGGGUUGGGCUCCUGGCACCAACUCGAUCCGGUGCUCCACAGCACGUCUAGGAGGUAGCCGUCUGGGCAACUCUGCAGGCAUCAAGUCUGCAAACUCCUCCAAUACAUGAGCCACGGCAUCGGAUACCUCCUGGUACAUGUCGGGCUUCAUCUCUACCAACGCAGCAAUGUACACCACUUCGCCGCGCCUAAGGCUGGACUCGAUCUGUACAGCCGACACCAUGUUAUUUCGGGGUUGCCCUUCUGUUUCGGCAACCUCACCGCAGCAACAAAGCCUGGGUUCUGGUCGUCGUCCACCAUGACGCCAUCCAAGUGUGGAAUUGGGAUAGAUCCGAUUGGCGACCAUAAAGUCCUUGCCAAGGAUCAAGUCAAAGUCAUCCAUCUGACUGGCCAUGAGGCUGCACCAUCCUUUCCACGGCCCCAAUUCUAAUUCCACCGUUGCCACGCCCAACACUGGCUUGGCUUCAGAGUUGACUGCCUUCAACUUGAAGCCCAAGUCCUUCAACUUCAACCGGAACUGCUUAACCACGCGUUCCGUCACGCAACUGUGCGAUGCUCCCGUAUCCACCAUCGCCAGUAUCCGGUUACCAUUCAACGUAACCUGCACAUACAUCAAACCAUUACAAGUAGAACGACCAUUAGUACCUGUGAUGGCAUUCACGAACUGCAUGGGGUUGACCCGUGCAUCCUGCGACUCGUACUGGUAGCCAUCAUCCUCAGCAACCAAGGCACUAACAUUCUGGUCCUUCUUUUUGUUGGGACAAUUGCGGGCCAAGUGUGGUCCUCCGCAAUUAAAGCAGCCAUCCUUCUUCGGAUUUGGGGCCUGCUUCUCCUUAGAAGAAGUAGCACCACCGGCAUCAUUUGUGGCCACCGCUUGCUUCUUUUUCUUCUUCUUCGCGAACGGUCCACCUUUCUGAUCCUUGCCCUUCUCCUUGCCCUUCUCCUUCUUCUUGUCGUUGGAUCCCGUGGACCUGAAGUCUAUCAACUUCUCGGCGGCAGAGAGUGCUUGAGACACGGUCUGAACAUUCUGUCUCCGCAACUCCGUCUGCGCCCACGGCUGCAGUCCACGGAUGAAGGUGUAGAGUCUGUCUUCCUCAGACAUCUCCUUCACGUCCAACAUCAGGGCCUGGAACUCAGCAACAUACUCGUGAACACUCUUGUUCUGCUUCAAGUUCCACAACGCGUCCCGAACUUUCCACGACACAUUCGUGGGAAGGAAUUGCUUCUUCAAUUCCUCCUUCAGCACAUCCCAAGCAUCGAUCCUGGGCCUGGUGGAAUCUGAUUGCAUCGUUCUCCACCACAACUUUGCAUCCCCACUAAGGUACAUGGAUGCAAUGGACACCUUCUCUACUUCUGGAACGUCAACAGCCUUAAAGUACUGUUCGACAUCCCAUAAGAAGUUUUCCAAAUCCUUCGAACUCCGACUCCCUCGAUAUGGUUUCGGCUCAGGAACUUUUACCUUUCCUCUCGAAGAUUUCUGAACGGUCUGUGUGUUGGAAGAGCCAACCGCCUUCUUCAACACACCGAUCUCCGACUGCAAAGUCGUGAUCUCAGCACGGGACGAAGCCACUUCGUUCCUCAACGAGUCAACAUCCCCAACGGAAGAGACCCUAGCCCGGGUUUCCUCCAUCUGCACGGUCAGGGCGUUGAUCGUCUCUCGGGUCUGCAACAAAACAUCCACGACAUUGAAGCCCUCCGGGACGUCUCCCAGACGCUGCAUCAAGUCCUCGAAGGCGGAUUCCUGGCGUUGCAACCGCUCCUGGACAGUGUUUCCGUGUCCAACCAUCAUUCCCUACAAAACAAACACAACAAAAGCACGGUCUAAAUGGAUCAGAGCCGUGCUCUGAUACCACGCUGUCACGAGGUGUUUAACUCACCCUUAAACCAACCCACGUGAUGGCACUGGUAGUCGCUACCAGUCAGCCUGCGAACUCACUUUGCCCUCAAGUAUUUCGAACCUAGAACACUUAGGCAAACUCAAUGAACACACGCACAGAUUACAGCCAAAGGCCAACCUUGAUUAACACAACAACGGUUACAAGGACUUUCUACAAACACUUGGCGUGCAGAACAUCUAAAGGUAAUUCUCACUAUCUGUGAAAUCUCUACCCCUUUAGUCUCUGCCUAACCCAAUAUUUAUAGGCACAUUACGGUUGACAAAAGACCCAACCGUUGGUCUUAACGAAACGUCCAUGAAACUAGGAAUCGGCUAGGAACAAGGCUGAGUUGCUGGUAACCGCCAGCAACUCCCAGCAACCGCUCACAACGGUUGGCAACUGCCCAACGUCGUUGGCGCGCACCAGCAACCGCCCAGCAGUUCCGCGCGCACGCCCCGUUUCCCGUCCUCGCAACGUUUCGUGCCCAGCUUGCCCCAACACUUAGCAACCUUAGGCACCGUGGUCCCAAGCCAUUGGAACCAUCCGAACAUCCCACCGAGCCAUAGUCAACCCGUGGCCUUGGCCCCUAGCCCUUGGCCAUGACUUGGCUUAGUUACAGUUAUCCCCUCCAUAUAGGUGUCUUAAGGGAAAACUUCCAACCGUUAGUAGAGGCACCCCUCUGUCCCCAACUAACCCAGAGGCAUCUGAUGCCCCUGGAACUUUCCCCAGCCCAUACUUAGGCUAGGAAAACAUCAUCAAACAUGGGUCCACCCGUUUCUCACAAGCUUCACCUUCGGCCUUCCACCUAGGCCAUGGCUUGGCCGAACUUGGCCACGGCCGCGCGCGUUCCGUUUGGACCGCGCCCUAAGGGGCUAACACACGGCCAUAAUUGAAUUCAAUUAUGAACCUUUCUUGUUGAAAUGGAAGGCGUGGGUAAUUGGCUUCACGUCUUCAAUAUCUAGGCAAAUACGUGGUUUUCAAUAUAGGUGGCAAAUUGAAAUCUUUCCUCUCAAAAACUCCUAGUACCGCUUAGAAAUGUUGACGAGAGGAUUUAGUGAUGCAUAGACAAACAAGUAGUUUUCUUUUUCUUUUUCUUUUUCUUUUUUUUCCUUUUUUCCCCUCUUUUUUUCUUUUUCUUUUUUUCCCAGUGAAAGUAACAUUGGAGUAUAAUUUCGAGGUUUUCUGUUCAAGUAUUCAAGAAAAAAGCCACAAAGAGUUCAGCCAAACCUGCCACAUUUUAGAUUAUGUAAAUAAACCAUAUUCAUGAGAUAACAUCAAAAUCUAAUAAGUUUAGGAAAAUACUUAUCGCCAUUACAAUGAAAGCAAGGACAUGCAAGGCCUAGUUCGUUGAGGCAAUAUUAUUCCAGCUGCUUGUUAAUUUAUGACGAAAGGGGGAAAUUUUCUAGUAAAAAGAAUAACAAAACCAUGCUUUUCUACUGAAAGAAAAAAAAUUUUGAAUUUCAAAUGGAAGGCGUGGUUUUCGACUCAUAAUUGUCAUGCCUUUUAACGUUCUCUAGAAAAAGCACGAGUUCAUUCUCACGUAUAGGCAGCAAUCAACUAUUUUGCAAAAGGCAUAUGAAAAAGGGGCCUUUUUUCUUGGAUAAACAAUAGAAAUGCGACCUGAAUAACAGGACGAAGCAUGCAUGCAUUUUGUGCAAUCCCAAAAAAGAAAAAGAAAAGAAAUGCAUUUUUUUUUUUUUUUUUUGUGUCAAACAGCAUAUGGAAUAUAAGGAAGUAGCAAAGACGGUACCUAAGGCAGCAAAAUGAGUAAUAUUUUCCACUUGUUAGCUAGCUUCGUUUUAUCAUUAAACUCCAAAGUUGAUGUGAAAAAGAGGAGGCUGCAUCUAAGUUUAUGUAGAUAAUGGUUUGGCAGCGAUUUCAUAGUUUAGGAGCUUGUAAAACGCAAAUUGAACUUAAGUACUUUUUUGUUUCCAAGCUGGAUACAGAACAGCUGUAUACUAUGAAUCAAUACUGAAAAUCAAAGCUUGUGGAGGUCUUGAUUCAAUUACAACUUCUCCUUAAUUUCCAUUUCUUAAAUCUCAUCCCUUGUCUGCUGAAAUAAAAAACAAAUUUAACUUGAGAUUGCGAAAUAUUGUGAAGGAACAAAGAGCUGUGGAAAAAAAAUGAAAUUUUAUCAAUUAUUCAAAAUGGUUGUGUAAAUUUUCUUCUAAAUGUUUCUUUGUUUCAACUUACAGAUCAUGUUUCUAAGAAUCUGGUCAUCAAAACGAAAAACAAAUGAGAAUUGCACUUGUUGGGUGAAACAAAAUGCUGCCAAAAGAUGAACAAGAAUUUCAAAGAAUGCACUUGUUAGAUGAAACUAGCUAGGUCUCUCAAUAUUCCUCUUGGCCGGUGUACUAAUUUAUCUGUUAAUGCAUGGGUUCUUGAAACCUUCAAUUUAGCAUAUAUCGUGAAUUAAUUCUCACUUUUUAGGUGAUAGUAACUGAAACCCAUAUGCAAUUUUCAUUUCAAUUUCAGAGAAUCAUAAACAUCAAGAAACCAACAACCUCAAAAGAUUCUAAAGGAUAAUAAAGAUUGGAAAAAGACAAAUGAAGAGAAAUCAGCCAUCAAAUGGUAUGAGAAAAAAGAAAGUGACAGGAGGAAAACUUAAGAUAUACGCUCUACCUUUUUACUACCCCACUAUCAUUUUCCUUUGGAAAAGAAUUUCUUUUUCUCACUUUAGAAUUUAAAACGCACAUUUGAAAAACUACAAGGUCCCCUACUUUGUGCCAACUACCUAUGCUUACCUUACUUCUAAUCUAAGCACAAAGUUGGGUGGUUCCCUCAUAAUUCAUUCAACUGACCACUUUCCAUAACACAUCAAUGUUUGCUAUAAUCUGAAGAAACAUCAUUAUCCACACACAACAUAUAUGGCCAACAAACCUUUCUUCCUUCCAACUUUUCUUCUCAUAUGUUGUAAAUCCAUUUCUCCAAAGCCAUGAAUCAUUUCCUCUUAGGAUUCCUAAUAUUUUCCCUCCCACUACAUUUGGUGUUUUCUUCUCAUUGCACAACAGUUACUAACGCCAAAACCUUCGAGAAAUGUAUGGCAUUACCUAGCCAAGAUGCCUCUAUAGCUUGGACGUUUCAUGCACACAAUGCCACUCUUGAUCUUGUCUUUUUUGGAACUUUUAUAUCCCCUUCAGGUUGGGUAGGAUGGGGUAUAAACCCUACUUCGGCCGAGAUGACCGGAACACGUGCCCUUAUCGCAUUUCCGGACCCAAACUCCGGCCAGUUGGUCCUUCUACCCUACAUUAUAGACCCCACCGUGAAACUACAAAAAGAUCCGCUCCUUUCGCGGCCUUUGGAUGUUCAUCUCCUCUCUUCUUCUGCCACCCUAUACGGCGGCCGCAUGGCCACGGUACAUAAUGGUGCAACCAUUCAAAUAUAUGCAACAUUAAAACUUGUACCAAAUAAAACCAAAAUACAUCAUGUUUGGAACCGAGGAUUGUACGUCCAAGGUUACUCUCCAACCAUCCAUCCGACGACUGCUAAUGACCUUUCAUCCACAGCCACCAUUGAUGUUUUAUCCGGCAUUGCAGCCAAAGGAAACAACAACAACAUUUACACACUUAAAAUCAUUCAUGGGGUCAUAAAUGCCAUCUCCUGGGGACUUCUGCUACCGAUUGGUGCCAUCACAGCACGAUAUUUUCGACACAUUCAAGCACUGGGGCCUGCAUGGUUUUAUGCUCAUGCAGGGAUACAACUUUUUGCAAUUUUCAUAGGAACUGUUGGAUUUGCCAUUGGUAUUAGGCUUGGGGAACUGUCUCCAGGGAGAGUUUUUGGGCUGCAUCGCAAACUUGGGUUCGCGAUAUUUUGCUUGGGAUGGCUUCAGACUCUUGCUCUGUUGUUUAGGCCUAAAACUACAAAUAAAUUUAGGAAGUAUUGGAAAUCCUAUCACCAUUUUGUAGGAUAUGCCUGUGUGGUUAUAGGGGUGGUUAAUGUUUUUCAAGGAUUUGAUGUCAUGGGUUUAGGUCGAUCUUAUGCUAAGUUGGCCUAUUGUUUAGGCCUCUCUACGUUGAUUGGCGUUUGUAUAGCGUUGGAAGUGAAUUCUUGGGUCAUUUUUUGUAGAAAGGCCAAAGAAGAAAAGUUGAGAAGAGAAGGAUUCAUCAGCGGAUGUUCUGACAAAGCAAGUGGUUCAAGCCGAGGUUAAAUUGAAUCACUACUUUUGGGAGAUUGUACCAUGUGCAUUAGAAGUCAAUACUCUUCGAAAUUGUACAAGUCUCCAUGCACAUGGUACCAGUCAACGUUGUGGUCAACAAAGACUAUAACAUUUGUUGAUCUUAUAUUUGUAAGUCUUCUUCUUUUUUCUUGAAAUCAAAAAGUUGCAAAAGUUUUGUAGAUUUGUUGUGCAAUAUGAGAAAAUUGGUUUUUUGAUGGUAAAAUACCAAAACAAAGUAUUACUUUAUCUUUCCAUGUCUUAGUAGCAUUCUAGCAUAAGCUUAUGUAGGACAUGAUAUUAUUUGUGAAAUCUCUGUCAUUAUCUCUAGCCAAAGCUCUCUCUCAGGUAUGAAAGUCAAAUAAAAUGCAUGUUGAUAGGAUGAGGUUUAAGGCAAAAGCCAGGAUUCCCUGCCUAACUUGUCCAAAUUGAGCUGAGAUUUGUUAAGGAGAUUAAAUGCUUUGGUAAGCAAAACUACUCCAACAAUAUGUCAGGCUUCGGUAUGUACUUCUCAGUAUGUUCAGGAGCUAUAAUUAGUGAUUUCCAAAGUACCUAACUUUCUGUAACUUUUCCUAAUUGAGAGAUUUUCAAAUUGAGAAAAAACUACUCCAACAAUUUGUCAGGCUUCGGUAUAUACUUCUCAGUAUGUUCAGGAGCUAUAUUUAGUGAUUUCCAAAGAACCUAACUUUCUGUAACUUUUCCUAAUUGAGAGAUUUUCAAAUUGAGAAAAUAUGAAUGUCAGAGCCCGAUCUGCAGGAUCAAUAAAAGAUAAUCUAGUGCAGAGCAGAGUUGGGGAAAGCCAAAGGUUUUUUCAUUUCCCUGUUGGUAAAAUACAAUUGAACCAGUGUUUUGGUUCAUUAUCUUAAGCAAUAGCCCUAAAACCAUCAGUGCAGCUGAUCAAUGCAAGAAAUUUUACUCAACUCUGCAUAGAAUGUACUAUACCGUCCAGAACCCUCAUCUUGUCUCCCUCUUGACAAAAGAAUUUUUUUUUCUCUCUUUUAUGUACAGUUGCGUGGAAAAGAUUACAUGCAGAAAAAGUAAAUCUUGAUUUAGACAUUGUGGACUGAGAUUCACCAGGCUUGAUAUAGAAACGGUGUAGUAGUCAUGCUCAGAAAGUAGUAAAUCACCAGCUCAGAAAGCAGUCAAUUUGUAAUAGCAAUUGCUUCCGCUAAGAAGAAUCUGAUAGCCUUUGCCACUCCCCAUUUCUGUCCACCCACACUGCUUCCUCGAAAGGUCUUUCUUCACUUUCAGUUAUCGCUUCACUCACUUCAGACUCAUCCUGUGCGAUCAAGUUAAAGAUUCAGAAGUGGCACUUAAACUGCUCAAGUGGUGAACUAAAUUUGAAUUAACUCCUAAGCAAAGACUUUUCCAGAAAGAACCACAACAGAGAAAAUAACACCAAAAAAGGCCAAUAAAUCCAAGUAAGUACCAAAACAUCAUGUUACAAUGAAAUCAAGAAAGACAAGGAAAGUCCAGAGAUAUUGAAAAAAAAAUUUAUAAACCCUUCGUUUCACAAUCUAUCAGCAAUGAAUAGAAAAAAGCCCGAAAUACAAAUUCACAAGUAAAAGUUAAAUCAAAGUACUACAAAAGUUUCAAGAAAUAAGGGGGGGGGGGGGAAUUCAAAGGAAAUAUGAUCGUUUUUGAUAUCUUUGGAAGAGUAUCAAUAUCUUCGGAGCCACUAUCUUCUUCACCUUCCUUUAUGACUUCAUUCCACCAUGGUAAGAAGCUGGUGACUGCAUGGCUUUCCUUGCCGCUGGAGGCCGUGGUCCACCACCGGGUAAGAAGCUGGAGUAGGAUCAGAUACUGAACGGUAGAGACAGACUGAGAUGGCGAAGUAGCUACAGAAUUGACCGCAUAACUCUCCGGCAACAGGCUAUUCAGGAAAUUGCCCAAUGAUUUUGGAGCUUGAUCAGAGAGGCUGCUUGCUCCAGGAGAGUUGAUUGGAUCAGAAAUAGUCCGGCCAAGAGCAGGGGGCGACGAUGAUGAUAACGCAUUGGCCGGAAGUGGAAGUUUACUGAAGCCAAGAAUGCGGUGGUCUCCGGGAAAAGUAGUGGUGGCGUAAGAUGGAGGUAAAAGAGUGGGCCGUUUUGAAGAGCGUUCUUGGAGGGAAGAUAAAGAUGAAGGGGAUUGUCUCUUGGUUGAGCGGCAUUUGUUGCAGGGGUUCAUGGAGGAGGAGCAGAAAAUUGGGCUGCCGUGGUGGUGGAAUGGUGGUUGCCGGGGUUGAGGGUAGUGGUGCAGUUGAGGUGAAGCAUGGCUAGGAGAUUGAGAACUAUGGCUUCGAUUGCAGUGAUUUCUUGGUGAUGGGAGAAUUCUGGGGAGAAAUCAGAAUCUUGAUCGCUCAUUAAUUUCUUCUGUUGAGCUCUGUUUCUCUUUUUAAAAACUGUCAACCGUUUCUUGAAAGACUUGGCGCGGUAUUAAGCAGAGAGGCAAAUUGGAAAUAACUGCUUCACUUGUUUUAUAAACUUCUUUGAUGAUUUGCAAGAAUGUCUUCUAAUCCCUCUUAUGAUUAAACUAAAAAACAGGCUGCAAAUAUUCUUUAUCUAGACUGAGUGGGGAGUGGGGAAUAUCAAAGUGCUUAUUUUUUAUCAUUAUCAAAAAUAAACAAACUUGAAAUCUAAAAGGACAGUGCUACACGUUAUUUUGUCUACUUACCAACCACUGCUUUUAAAAUCAAACUAAAUUACCUUUUUCUGAUUUCAAAUUACACCGAUCAGAUGCAGUUGGACCAGUGAACCAUUGAGCAUUGAGUUUGCUCAAUGGCGACCAAAAAGGGACUUGGGCUCUCAAUGGCGAUCAAAAAGGGUUUUGGGCUAUAGAUUGGGAGUUCGAAUCUUACCUACAGUAAAAAAAAUUUAAAGAGCAUCCCUUUAGUUUAGUCGGAUCUGUAUACCUACUAGUCCUUACACAGUCUCUUUCGGCUUGGCGGUUGACGUGGACAUGAGGUUGAGAUGGACGGUUGUGAAGAUGAAGAAUUCUUUUUCUUUACUUUCCCCACAUCAACUUUUUAAAAAAAAAUAUUGGUUAUUUCUUUACUUUCCCCACAUCAACUCUUUAACAAAAAAAUAUGGGUAAAUUACAUUUUACCCCCUUUGGUGUAGUGUUUUUGUACAUAACCCUCUUAUAGUUUCAAAAGCUAUACAUAACCCUCUCAUGGUUUGGAUUAAAGUGUCAAAGUGGCGAAAAUAAUCAUUCGUAACGGAAUCUUUGAAAAUGUCAAAAUUACCCUUGUUUAAAAAUUAAAAUGGAUCAAUCGACCAAAAUAUAUAAACAUAAUAUACAUGACGCACUAAUCUCGUAUGAUUUUAUGUUUUAUCAUAUAACCCCUUUAUGGUUUAAUACUUUACCAUAUAACCCCCUUAUAGUGUUCAAAAUAUACACAACUUUCCUGUGGUUAAUAAAUAAUUUUCAACUUUAAAUAAGGGUAUUUUUGACAUUUUAGAUGACUCCAUUAUGGAUUGCAAAUUCCGUUAUUUUGACACUUUAAUCUAAACCACGAGAUAAUUAUGUAUAGCUUUUGAAACUAUAGGAGGGUUAUGUACAAAAAACACUAAACUACAAGGGGAUAAAGUGUAAUUUACCCAAAAAAUAUUGGUUAGCUUGUUGUGAUUGUUAUGGAUCUCAGGGGGCAUUUCAUACUAUCCCAUGCAAUUACUGUAAUUCUACUAUUUCAUCAUAUAUUUUGUCCCAUAUCAUUAUAAGGACGUAGAAAUCCUAAACUUUCUCGAGAUUUUUGGAGUCUAAUGGAAGUUGAAAUUUUGGCAAAUUUUGAUUACCUACUUUUGUUCUUGUAAUUCGACACCAAUUCUAAAAUCGUGCAAAAUUUUAGUCAAAUUGGUGAGGACUAUUAUAACUUCUGCUAUUAUUUUCCCCAAAAAAAACGUAUUAUGAUACUAAUUGAAGAUACGAAUACAAGUUAGACAUAUAUUGGGUUGCUACUUCUGUAUUUCUUAAAUAGUAAGAUGCUAUUUGAUCUAAUCCUAAUGGAGAUGGGCUUGAAUAGUAAGAUGUUAUUUGAUCUAAUCCUAAUAGAGAUAGCAACCCACAAGCUAGACAUAUAUUGGGUUCUUACUUCUGUAUUUCUUGAAUACUAAGAUGCUAUUAUUGCUAUUAGGGAAAUACAAAGAUGCUAUUAGGGCUAUUAGGUAUUAGGUUUAUAUAUAUAUAUAUAGUCAUAGUCAUGUAGCUUGACGCACAUCAAACCCUAAACUUUGGGUUUUUUCUCAUGGCGCCUACUAGAGGUCUACGACAUGAUGAUGGCAGUUUCGAACUGCCAGAACCAAUUAGGCAUCACAUACUUUCUUUCCUGAAACCCAAAGAAUCAGCAAAACUAAGUUUGCUGUCCAAGGCAUGGCUGACCACUUGGCGCACACGCCCCAAUUUGCACUUCGAGUAUGAUGAAGAUGAAUCGGGUUCUGAUGAUAGGCAAGCUCUUGAAAGAAGACGUGAUAGUUUCAUAAAUUGCAUCAACACCACCUUGAUGAGGUACCGUGAGAAUAAGUAUGGUAUUGAUUCUUUGAAGCUUAUGGUUUAUAAUGAAGAUUUUCCCUCGCUGAAGCCUGAUCAUGUUAAAACAUGGCUCGGGAUUGCAGCAGAAAACGGUGUGAAAGGCCUGGAGAUUUCUUUAAAAUGUGACUCUUAUCAUCCUAAAUUGGCUCGGACAAUUUUUGAAGCAACAUCACUCCUGGAGUUAUAUCUUAGUGAAAAAAUCUAUAUGAAGCACAAAGUGAUUAAGAUAAUAAGGUGCCAUGAUCUCCGAAAAUUGUGUCUUAACAAGGUGGGCUUAGACGAAGUGAUGCUGCAGAGAAUAAUGUCGAGCUGCCCUUCAAUUGAAUUCUUGGAAAUUAUUCAAUGUUUAGGCAUUGAGAAUAUUGAGGUGACCAAGCUUCAAAAACUAAAGCAAUGUAGUAUUGUCUUAUGGAAAAUUGGUAAUGUUGAAGUUGAAGCACCAAAUCUUGAAGACUUCUCUUACGGGACUUGUGUGCCAGCUAUGUCAGCUAGCUAUCUACUUAGUGAAGAGGAAGAACAGUCAUUGCCAUGUCUUCAGAUGUCCAGAUGUAAAAAUCUAAGGAAGUUGUCCUUGGAUAACAUUGGCAUCGCUGAUGAGUUUUUCUCAGGCAUUGCAGAAGAUUUUCAGCACCUUGAAGAGUUGAAAAUCCGAUACUGCUAUGGUUUGCAAACUGUGAGGAUUUCGAGCCAGUCUAUUAAACUCAUAAAUUUGGAGUUUCGGAAGGAAGGAGGAUUGAAAGAGGCCCAAAUUGAUGUUCCAAGCAUUGUUCGCUUUGAGUACAGAGGAAAUUUCAUUCCCCUACUUUCUUUUACACCUCCCUCUGGUCCUUGGGUGUCUUACAUUGAAUUGUCAUGGCAGAACAGGAACAUUUUGGAGACUUCUUGUUUCUCCGAACUGAAGGAACUAUUGAUGAAGCUCAAUCUAUCUGAAAUUUCACUCAGAAUCAUCUUUCCCAAAAAUGUCGAGGGCUUUGUUGAGGAUCAGAUAAGAAACAAAGCCAUAUAUCCCCUGCCUCAAGUUCAAACAUUGUCUAUAAGCUUCGACAAGGCAAAUUGUCUAGAUGUUGCAUAUUCAGUACUUGACGGUAUCUUCUGGACGUGUCGUCCUAAAACCAUUGUUCAACAUAGCUGCCAAGAUCUGGACUCAGACAAAGAUGCUAGUGACCUGCUGAACGUAUUCUUUCAGAUGCUUAUGCUCAGAAGAAAUCAUCUGUAUGGCAAUUUUCAGCAAACUAAAUUUUGGCAGGAGGAUCUGAAGGAUGUGAAACUAGGGAUGUUUAAGGAGGGGCAAAGAGUUCAGCUGCCUCGACUUUCAGACUGGGAAGCUUUUUCGAAGGUAAUAACAGCUGAAGGACGCAGUUUGUAUGUUGUCUUUGAGUUAGAAUGGGAAUAUUUCAUGAUUAGGUAGUGCAAAAGAACUUGAUUAUGAGAACUUGGCUUGAAUAACAUAAUAGCUUAGAGAUUCAGCUCUUAGGCACUGAUAUUUCUGUUGUUUAAAACUUGGAAGUAUGAUGAUUUAGUCAACUGAUUAUAUGUUAUGGCAUUUUGUCCAUGUUAAUCAUCAGUAUUGUGGUUGGAUUGAAAAUGCUGGACUUUAUUUGUAGUUCUAUUCUUUUUUCUGGACUGAUGGUCACGAAGAAGGGAAGUAAAGGUAUUCUGGCUGCUUAUAAUGCAUUAUUUCUUGACGUUCUCCAUCCUAUGAACACAGAUCCUAAGAAUCUAACUCGUAUCAGUUGUUUCGUAUACUUCAUUGAUUGAUUUGUCAGAAAUUUUAUGUAGUUCAAACUCUGCCUGUUUGGCAAAUUCGAAACUGAACAGCAGCCCAUGUACAAUGCAAAUUAGGAGGUCAUAGUAAAGUAGAUUUGUGAUGUUCCCAACUAGAGAGGGUAUUACAUCCAGGGGAUAAGAGGUUUCUGACUAUUUCACGGUCACCCUUUAGAUUUUAAAAAUUACACUAAUCACCCUUGAAAUUUAUUGUCUUGUAACAUUUACGUCCAAUAAGUAAUUAAAAAGUAAUAUUAGGAGAGAGAAAAUAGUAUGAUUCUACCAUUGCAAACUGCAAUCAAAACAUUACAAAGAGUGAACUUUAAUAUUAUAAAAAUCUCAGCAAAUAAUCUUAAUAUGCUGACAAAGAUUUUUAUGAUGUUAAAGUUCGCUCUCUAUAAUGUUCCGAUUGCAAAUUUUUUGAUUAUUUGUUAUUGGUCAUGUUUGAUAAUAGGUAUAUAAUUGAAAAGAGUAAUGUAGAUCUUGCAUUAAGUGAAGAAAUAGGGAAUGAUAUACCAUUUUUUUGAUGCUAGAUGUGGUUUGACCCCUAAUAAUAUACAACAAAUCUUAGUAUUUUUCUUUAAUGAGUGUGUUGGUAUUAAAUUAACUAAAUAAUGUAAUAGAUGAGGGGCAAUGAUGGAAUUAUGUUAUCUUUUUUCUCCUAAUAUCACUUUUUAAUUUCUAAUUGGCCCUUAAUAUUACAAGAUAAUUAACCUGAAGGGAAGUCAGUAUAAUUUUCAAAAUCUGAAUGGAGGCUAAUGAAAUAGUCAGAAACGUCAAUGGAGGUUUCUGAAAUUAUCCCUACAUCUAGAGAAAGUAUUCAUGUAUUCAAAUGAAGUGCGACUCUGGAAAUAGCUUGGUUCAAUAGGUCACUGGAGCACAUUUUACAGGAAAUUUGAGUGGAGAAAUCGAAGUGUUGCUGUUAAUACAUCAUUUACGUGGUAAAAUACAAUUGAGAAUGGAAGCUGAGGGCGUCCACCUCAGCCCUUCUAAGUUUCGCGAUUGGGCGAGGUGACCUCCACGAGUCCCGUGCCACCUCGGCUCAUUGCCUCGCCUCCCGGGGUCGGCCCCAGUCUCUUCCGAGGUGAUUUCACCUCAACUUGUCCUCUUAUUUGACAUCUGAUGUACCACUGGGAAAGCUGACUUGUACAUGACGAAAUGACGUUAUAGUGACAUGGCCAGUGUUAUGUCCCUUCCAUCCAUGGUUUAAAGUCACGGUCGCGGGCGUGGUUCGGAACGUUCCACAUCGGUCGCGGUCUCGGUGAGACGCAAAUUUUAAAGUAUUUAAUAUUCUAAAAAUUGUUAAUAAUAUAAAAAAGUAGGCUAAAUAAAAAUAAUUAAAAAAUAGCAAAAGAAAUGGCCAAGUCAAUCCGUCACGGUGUGACUCGGCUGAUUUCUCGUCUUGACUCGGGAUAAUUCGGAGUAACUCGGUGUGACUCGGCCGAAUCAAUCCGUCGUGAUGACGACUCGGCUGAUUUCUCGGCGAGUCAAGUAUUUCGGUAUCGUUUCGUCACAGUAUCGUAUCGGUAGGGGUCGAGACGGUGACGACUCGGCCGAGUCGUCUUGAUCUCAACCGAGACUUCGAACCAUGCUUCCAUCAGGUCUAAGCCUGACACUGUUAGCCUAAGGCCUAUGGGAACUGGAGCCUAUCAUUUUUCCCACUAUAUUGUCUCUUAUAAAUACCCUUCUAUCCGUGGAAAAGGUACAGACACACUCGCUCUCACUCGUAUAAGUACUAGAAAUACUAAAACCGUUGCUUUUUAGUUUUGCAAUUGAGUACCCGAACUGAUUUGAUCAUCAGAGUAGGACCGGGGGACAAAGCCCCGUGCUCUUUGUGCAAAUUUGAUAGGUGAUCCCUUCGAUUAGGUCCAGCCAUCCAGAAUUCACCUCGUCAGAAGCCAACCUGAAGAAACAGCCAGCCCACACACCUGAAUGUGGCUUUGCAUUCACAAUGAAAAUUGACAAAGUUAUCAAGAUCAAUUUCCUAUCUGAAAGAAAUCAUCCAUUGCUGACACUUGACAGAGGGUUGCCGUUUGAGUUUUCUUGCUUUACGUUAUGCAGCUCAAUACUGUUUCACGUUACUGAGUUCAACCGGGUUUUCGUAGUGAUUAACACUUGACUCCUCCUGGGUUUUAGUAGGGAUUACUCAUAUUGAUUGCGCUCCUUGGAAACUGGUUUUUUCUCGCCUGAUCUUUCCUUGGUCAUAAACAUUAAGAAUUUAUUCAGAAACUUAUGAGAUCGUUGGUAAAGAAGUCUGCUAGGAAGGUACUUAGAGGUCUGAAAUGACAUUUACCCAAAAAAAAAGAAAGUGAUCAGGGAUAACAAAAAUCAGUAAUUCAAUUCCUUAACACUAAUGACUAUCCAUAAAUUGGUGUUACAGAUUAAUCCCUUAAUGUUUGUACAUUCUUUUGCUUUUUUUUUUCAUGCUUUGACAUUUGUAUUCAACCUUUAUCUUGCUUAACAAUUGGUUUUUGUAUAUAAAGAAGAUCGUAAUAUAAUGAUUUGAGUGUAGUGACAUUAGAGUAUAAAAUAACUUUGAUAAAAAAAAAUGACAAACUGAAAACCUGAAUAAAUUGAUGAAUUUACAUUCAUAACUUCAAAUUUAAAUAAGUUUUGGAAAUAAUUGGUUAAAGAAAGUGAUAAACAUAUGGCCAUUAGCCGAUCAAGCCUUGACUUAGUAGUUGAAAUUCUAAGAAUUACGAUAUAUAUAUAUAUAUAGAAACACACAUACUGGAGGCAUUGGAGGCAUUGCUUGUAAUAUUAAUAUCGUAAUAUAUUUUGAGAUAAUAUAAUCAGUGCAAAGCAUUGGAGGCAUUGCUAGUUGAUGGAAAUGAAAUUUCGAUGUUAUUUUACACACUGGUUAGUGUACUUGAUGAUUGCUUGGGUUUAAUCACCUUUCCUAUUUGAAGUUAAUUUUCAAAAAACAAAAAAUUCUUAGCACAUGAGACCUCUACUAAGUCGUAAUGACAAAGGAUAACUAAUAGUGUGUAUCAAGUGUAUAUUUACAAGUAAUAUAGAGAACGUCUAUUUAUAGAAUUACAAAGAAUAUUAGAAAAAACACGUAAAAGGAUACUAAAUCCUACUGGUCAAACUUGCCAAUCAACCAGUUAUCUAAGAUUACAACAUUUAGAUAUUAAUUACAAUGAACUGCAUCAACUAUAGAGUCAACUAUAGAGCUUUUAAAUGAAUGAGCAGGCCAUGAACUUAGUUGAACUCAAAUUGUAUAGGCUCGAGUUCGAUUCGUUUAUUUAAUUAAACGAAUCUAGCUCAAACAUUAAAUGAGGCUUGUUUCUAAAAAAGUCGAACAUGGCUCGACUUGCAAAUAGCUCAUUUAAACUCAUCUAAACGCGUUUGUACAUUUAUUCAAGCUAAUAUUGUUAAUUUUUCUCAGUAAUUAUGUAAAUUUAUUUUGUCUUGAUUGUUUAGGAUUUUGUUUUGCUUAAAUAUUGGUAAUAUUCUUAUAUUUGGUGAAAGUUUUCCCGUUCAAUAUAGAAAUUAAAUUGGUUGGAUUUCUUAAAUUGCAAAGUUAUAUAAGAUAUUCAAACACAUUUUAUUUUAUUUUAUUUUAUUUGAACCCAAGCUUAUUCAAGUUUAGCUCGUUUAUGUCAUACGAGUCAAGAUCGAACUCGAAUUCCAAUUCGAGAUAGCUUUGAUAAGUUGAGCACAAACACAAUUUUAGGCUCAUUUAUUAACGAACCGAGCUGCGGCUUGAUAACUUAAUGAGCCAAAAGUUUGGCUUAACUCAACUCGUUUACAACUCUAUUUGAUCACACCCAAAAAUAAAAUUUUUUAACCCUUCCUCGGAAAAAAAAAAUUAAUAGGGCACCAAAUUGAAGAAAUUUCAAGAUUGUAAAGGCGUGGGUAUUGUCAACUUUUGAGCUUUCAAAAUCCAAGCAUCGAGGGUUUUGUCUCCAUGGAGGACACUGGAGUUGUGGGAGAUGAUAGCACAUCCAAACUGCCGGAACCCAUCAGGCAUCACAUUGUUUCUUUCCUCCAACCCAAAGAAGCAGCAAGAACAAGUGUAUUAUCUAAGGCAUGGUCGAGCUCAUGGCGCACCCGCCCCAAUUUGCACUUCGAUUAUGACGAAGUCAGUCCUAUGUUGCGUUAUGCUAAUACGCAAGAUCUCAAGAAACGACGUACUGAUUUCAUUAAUUGCAUCAACACCGCCUUGCAGAGGUACCAUGAGAAUGAGUAUGGCAUUGAUUCUUUGAAGCUAGAGAUUAAUGCUUUCAAGUUUCCCUCUCUUGCCCCUGAUCACGUCAAUGCAUGGCUCCAAAUUGCUGCAGAAACUGGUGUCAAAAGUCUCAACAUUUGUAUAAACGAUUAUUAUUAUUGUUACCCUAUUUUGCCUAAGGCAAUUUUUGAAGCGACAUCACUCGUGGAAUUAUGUCUUAGUGGCCAAUCCGAGUUGGAGCCCGAAGUAAUUAAGAUGAUAAGGUGUCAUAGCCUCCGAAAAUUGUGUCUUGUAGAUGUUAGGUUAGAUGAAAUGAUGCUUGAAAAAAUAAUGUCAAGCUGCCCGUUGAUCGAAGUCUUAGAAAUUUCACUUUGUGUAGGCCUUGCGAAUGUUAAGUUGAGCAAGCUUCAAGAACUUAAAGAAUGUCGUAUUGUCUUGAGGAAUAUUGGUUGUGUUGAAAUUGAAGCACCUGGUCUUAAAGACUUUUAUUGUUGGAAUAGUAUUGUAAGAAGCUAUUUACGGCCAUUGCCUCCUAUUCGUAUGUAUACAUGUAAUAAUCUGAAGAGGUUGUCCUUGAAUGAUAUUGGCAUUAAGGAUGAGUUUUUCUUAGGCAUUGCGGGAAAUUUCCCACACCUUGAGGAGUUGGCGAUCCAGGACUGCUACCAUUUGCAAACCAUCAAGAUUUCAAGCCACUCGAUUAAAAUCAUAAAUUUAGGAUUCGCAGUGGACAGGGGAUUCAAAGAGGCCUGCAUUGAUGUACCAAGCAUCGUUCGAUUCGAGUAUAAAGGAAACUUCAUUCCCUUGUUUUGUUUUACAGCUCCCUCUGGUCCUUGGGUUUCUGACAUUGAAUUAUCGUGGCAUGAUAGGAACAUUUUGGAGACUUCCUUUUUCUCCAAGUUGAAGGAGUUGUUGAAAGAGCUCAAUCGAUCUGAAAUUUCACUCAAACUCAUCUUUUCCCCAAGUUUUGAGGGCUUCAUUGAGGCUGAGACGAGGAACAGUGCCAUACAUCCCCUGCCUCAAGUUCAAGAAUUGUCUAUCAGCUUCAACGCGACAGAUUCUCUAAAUGUUGCACAUUCGAUACUGGAUGGUAUCUUUUGGACUUGUCGUCCUAAAACCAUGGUUCAAUAUUGCUACCAUGAUUUGCACUUCAAUGUAAAUUGCACUAACCGGGCGAAGGUACUCUUUCAGAUGCUAAUGUUCAGAAAAAAUCAGAAGCAUAGCAGUUGGCAGCAGCCAAAGUUUUGGCAGAAGGAUCUUAAGGAUGUCAAGCUUGAGAUGUUUCAAAAGGGCAAAAGAGUUCAGCAGCCUCAACUUUCAGACUGGGAAACUUUCCUGAAGGUAAUAGAAACUGAAAAACGCAGUUAUUAUCUUGUCUUUGAAUUGGAAUGGCAACCAUUUGGCAUGAAUAGGAAGCGCAAAAGAACUCGAUCAUUGGAACUUGGCAAUAACAAAAUAGUGUAGCGGGUCCUUUUGGUAAUAUUAUUCAUUCAGGUAGUUCUGUUUCGGUUAGUCGACUCAUCAUAUGUACUAUAUGGUCAUUAUUGUGAUUGAAUUGAACAUGUUGGAUUUUGUUAUUUCUGCUUUUAUUUUCUUUUGCUUGAUUGGAUUUUGUUAUUUCUGCUUUUGGUAAUAUUAUUCAUUCAGGUAGUUCUGUUUCGGUUAGUCGACUCAUCAUAUGUACUAUAUGGUCAUUAUUGUGAUUGAAUUGAACAUGUUGGAUUUUGUUAUUUCUGCUUUUAUUAUUGUUAGUUCUGUAAUGCAUCAUUUCUUAGCUUUCUCUGUUCUAUAAACACAUCCUGAGGUACUAACCGGCAUCAGUUGUCUGGUAUGCUUCAUUGAUGAUUGACAAGAAAUUUUUAUAUAGUCUAAACUUUAAAAUCAAAACUUAAACAGCAGAUAUUAUAACGCAGACUAGGAGGGUCAUUGUGAAUCAGGUCCUUUCUUCAGACCAUCGGCCAAAAAUGCAGAAUGUCUUCCAAUCAUCACCUGGCUCAGUUAUAACGUUAAAUUCGAAUAUCUGCAGAUUGUAAAAUAAGCAUAUUUUAGAUUUUUCGCAAGUGGACCACCUGAUGAGAGUCUUUCAGUGGCAGCAUACCUUGAAGAACAAAUGAGUAUGGUUCAAAAAAUUUGUUGUUGCUUGAUUCUUGGAAAAGCUUAUCUGAUUUUAGAAGAUCAUAAGUAGAACGGAUGUAUUAAAGUUUUGGGCAGUUGUAGUUAUAAGCCUUUGCCCAAAUCCUGUGUGAAUAUUUAUUAGCAUAACCAGGUAGACGGCAAACAAUCAAAGUUGCAGCACUUUUUCUCUUCCGUCAGUUCAGAUUACAGAUUGUCAAACCUUGUACAAAUUGUCUUUUUCUGUGGGUUGAUCUUGUACUUGUCUCAAAUCAUUCUAAGGGCUAGAAAAUCCUCCUGAACCUGAUUCAGGUGGAAUUUCCAUCCUACGUACUUGAAUUUUAGUCCAUCCUGGUUUGGACUAAAAAAAAUUAGUAUGUUUUCUUUUUUUUACGAGUUAGUAACACUUGAUAAUUAGACCUCGUCUCUUUUGGUUCAGGAAACAUUCUUGAUAGAGUUUUGGAAAAACUAAUGGCAGUUGAAAGUGGCAAAUUUUGGGUAUCUAUUCUUGUAAUUUGCCCCUAUUUUACCAAUUUUAGAAAUACUGGAACACAUCUUGAGAAGAUUACAUGCAGCAAUGGCAAGUCCUUGAACACUUUCUGAACUAGAAAUCCUCUGAUGGCUUCACAGAAUUAGUGGCUUGAUGCUUGUAAGAUAGCGAAUUCCAGGAUUAAAAAGCAGCAGUAAAUUCUUUCCUCUGAGAAGAACUUGAUAGAUUUUGCCACAGGGACACUUGAAAUUCAAAAUGACAAGACACUUCCCAUUUCUGUUCCCCCAUUCACUGCUCCCUCACAAGGUCCUCCUUUACUUUCACUCACCACUUGACUCGCUUCAGAUUCAUCCUGUGUAACUCAAUACUGUUAUGGAAGUUGGGCAAAUAGGGAUUAUAUUAACUAGUUGCCACCAUCUUAAUUCUGUUCUGAGUUGGAUUCAAAAGCUGCUGAUUUUGGUGGCUGUCUAGUGAAUAUUUUAAUAAUGUUUGCCUCAAAUAAUACUUUUAUUUUUGUUUGUUUAAACCCUGUCAAAUAAUCCUUGCAGCACUUUCCUUGAUCAUAAAUUACUUUUGUUUGAUGUACUCUCAAAUACAACUGAUGAAGUCGUUGUUUCUUGUUAACAGAUUACUAGAAUUCUUGUUUUUUCUUUUCUACACCAAAUUAAGGUACACUUCAACUUGGUUGUCCUGACAAGCCAUACAAAUGCAGCCCUCUAAAACCCCCAAACCAAAGUACGUAUAUGACAACUCCUUCCUUGUUUCUGCAGUUUUGCUGCAAUGAAACCUCAUUCACUUGACCUUAUUAGGCAGGACAUAUUCAUGGGAAUCCUGAGUAUCAAUUGCUCUAUGCCCUAUUACCACUUUAUAACCAUCAGUGCAUGAAUCCUAACACAUCCCAGAAUUUGUCACAGCAUAAUCAAGUUUCUGAUUGUCCAAUUCUAGCACAAGGUAGAAGUGUGUUGUCAAUGGAUUCCACAAGUAGAAGGAAGCUCCAAAAAAUUGUAAGCCAAUUGUGAUGGUUCUGCUGAUGGUGGACUCAUAAUUUUAUAGACAUACACAUAGGUCAAUCAGAAGCUAUAUUUGAUCGCCUGUUUCUACCAAUUAGAACUCAGUAGUGUUAAAGAAAAGAAAAAAUCCGUAGGAGAGUUUCUAUGACAUGAAAUUUCUGUGUCAAAGAAAAUAUGCUAAUAUAGACACUACUUUCUGUAUCAAAGAAAAAAAUCCGUAUGCCCCCACCCUCCUCUCUUCCGUAUCUCACCUGCACCAUUUCUAUCAAGUUUAAUCAAGUUUCAUAAAUAAUGGCUUUUAUUGUACUUUUUAACCCAUUUACCUAAGGUGCAGUCGCAUAAUGCAAUAGUCUUUGCAAUUUUGCCCGUCUUCUCAUUCGGCCCUUCAACAUUAACAUUCAUAAGCGCCUUGCAUCCCUGAAAUCAUCAAUUUUGUUUUGAACGAUCCCUUAAACUAAAAUUCAUGUAGGGUCAAUCAUGCAGCAGAUCUUUUGUCACACUACCUUCUAUUCCACUUUUUAUUAUAUUGUUAUUUCUUCUUCAUAAAUAUUAUAUUUUAGUCCUUUUUUAUUUCUUUAAAAUUUAAUAACUAUUAAUUGAGUAAUAUAUAAAUACAUCAGUCUCAAAAAAACAAUGUAUAAUAAAAAAUUUAAAAAUAAAGCAAAAAUUUCAUUAAAAAAUUUCACUUUUUUAUGCAAUUUGAUUUUUUGAGUUGUUAAAUUUUGUGUAUUCUUCGAUUAAUAUUUUUUGGAUCUCAAGGAAACGAAAAAUAAUUAAAAUAUGAUUUUUAUAAAAGAAAAAUAGUAAUAUAAUUAAAAGUGAGAUAGAAAAUGAAACAGUGAGAUAGAAGAUACGUUGCGGGUCAAUUUGAUUACAAAUUCUUAUGACCAAACUUAGCAAAUUUAUCCUGGCAAAUGAGAAAUUACCAGACAAGUUUUACAAUUUAUCUUGGUAAACUCUGACGCAUCAGUGUUCUACUGACGAUAUCAAACACAAAGUCAAUCUCACCACCUCCUCUUUAACUCUGCUAAAUUGAUGCUAGUACGAUAUCUUACAAUAUUUUCUUGAAGAUAGGGUUAAAGGCACCAAACCUCCUAAAGCUUGAUAUUAUUUGUACUUUUCUUUUUAACGUUAUUUUUGUUGCAUUUUACUCCCUCUGUUAAGCCACAGCAGCCUUUACAUUAAAACAUGUCAAAAUUUUCAAUAAGUGUACACUUGUCUCCAUUUUUCUCUAUUCUUUUUUCUCCUUGCCCAAGCUUUUCAUAUCACCCAUGUCUCGCAAUACAUUUUUUUUUUUUUUUUGGGAAAAAUCAAGAACUAGGUUUCCAAAAUAUUUCACUUCUAUUAAAAAAAAUAGGGUAAAUUACAUUUUACCCCCUGUGGUUUACCCUUUUUUUACAUAACCCCCUAUGGUUUCAAAAGCUAUACAUAACCCCCUCAUGGUUUGGAUUAAAGUGUCAAAGUAACGGAAAUAGUCACUCGUAACGGAACUUCUAAAAAUGUCGAAAUUACCCUUAUAAAUACAUGACACAUUAACCCCGUAUAAUUUUUAUAUUUUACCAUAUAACCCCUUGUGGUUUAAUAUUUUACCAUAUAACCCCCUUAUGAUUUUCAAAAUAUACACAUAACCCCCCUUGGUUAAUACAUAUAUUUCAACUUUACAUAAGGGUAAUUUUCACAUUUUAGGUGACGCCGUUAUGAAUAAUCAUUCCUGUCACUUUGACACUUUAAUCCAAACCAUAAGGGGGUUAUGUAUAGCUUUUGAAACCAUAGGGGGGUUAUGUAAAAAAACGCUAAACCACAGGGAGAUAAAGUGGAAUUUGCCCUAAAAAAUAUUACACCAACUAAAUUUGAAAACUUUUCUAUUGUUAAAACUGUUCCUUCUCAAAUUAUGAACAUUAAUAAAUGGAGAUAAAAUGCAAAUGUUGUAAGAUAUCUCUCACGUUGUGAAAUUUUAAAUAUUUAAAUAAUUUUUUUUUUGUUAAAAUUACAUUUUAUGCAAUUGUUUUAUGAUUUUUUCACAUGAAAUAAUUUUAUUUUAAAUUCUACAAUAGAUUUCAAGGGCAUGUGGAAUUCUUAAGUGAUUGGAUCUUUUUUUUUUUUUUUAAAUACUAUGUCUAGUAGUAAUACUAAUAAAGUCAACUUGGUUAUGCAAGGCGCGACGAUGUUUAGGAAUUUGAGUGAAAGCAAAUUCCAAAUCUAGAAGGAUAACCAAUAUUAGGCAACUUCUAAACUUUUACGCCCCUCCCUACUCCUCUAUAUAUACAUUGCGCCAUGCCUCCAAUUUCAUAACUUUUGAUUCCGAGAAACAUUAAGAAAGCAAUAGGAUGGCCAGUUUCGGGUUAGGAAUUCGGUUCUGUCUUACCGAUGAAGAGUUGAUCACGUACUACCUAUGGUAAAGAAUCAGCUAUUGCGUUUGGAAUGGAAAAGGGUCAUGAUCGAAAGAAAUAUCUAGGGUGAGAAAGGGACGCCAUGGGAUCUGUUCUGCAACAAUGAUCCUUGGCAGACAGUAGUGGAUCCUUUGGGCAAAGUCUUUCGUGAUCAGAAAGUACUUUAUGUGUUUACGAGGCGAUCCAGCGUUGGUAAGAAGAAGGGAGACAAGAAUAAGAACGGUGUUGCGGAAGCCCUACCAAAGUUAAGGUAUAACGAGUAAAUUAUUGUACCUAAAAUUGCAAAAAUGGUAAUUCCCAGGAAAUAUUUGGUGAGGCACACUGGCCUGCUUAAGUACCAAUUUCCUAGACAGAAUCACCUAUAUAUGCACUUAAUUGCACAAUAACUCACUACAAAUAUACCUACAAAUAUAGCUACUAAAUAGACAAUAAAAUAGAACACCAGAAUUUAACGAGGUUCGGCUAAUUUGCCUACGUCCUCGGACACUACCGACAAUUUAAUAUUUCACUAGAAGAAAUAUUACAAAGAGAGAGAAGAAAGCAAGUUAUUGGCUCUUGCUUGGUGUGUCUAAUCCUAUCAAAUGAUGCUCCUAUUUAUAGUUUACAAAUGAUAGGAUUCCUAACAAAACUACCGAUGUGGGAUUUAGAAACUUAGGCCAAAGAUUUCAAAGUCCUCAAUUUUGGCUUGAAAAAGUCAUCAAUUGAGGCUUGGCUUUGAAUUCAACAAAUCUCCACCUUGGCAUAAUUUCUAAUCCCACCAAAAAUACAAAUUUUUUUCCCUCAAAUUCGGUGGUGUCUUCAAAUGCGUUGUCAAGCGCCAAUCUUCAAGUUGUGCACAACAUUUAUCAAAUUCAAACAAUGUUGGAAUUUGAUAGUUGUCACAACCUUCGUAAGCAUAUCAGCAGGAUUCUCCUUGGUCUGAAUCUUUUGAAGUAGUAUCGUACUAUCUUCCAAAAUCUUCCUCACAAAAUGAUACCGUACGUCGAUAUGCUUCGUCCUUGCAUGAUAAACUUGGUUCUUUGCUAAAUGAAUAGCACUCUGACUAUCACAAUGAACUUUGAUAGACUUCUGUCCAAUUCCCAAUUCAUCAAGCAAUCCAUGAAGCCAAAUUGCUUCCUUAACAGCUUCCGUAACUGCCAUAUACUCCGCCUCUGUAGUAGACAAAGCAACUGUUGACUGUAAGGUAGACCUCCAACUGACUGGUGCCUUAGCAAGUGUAAAAACAUACCCAGUCGUUGAUCGACGUGUAUCUUGAUCUCCUGCGUAGUCGGAAUCACAAUAUCCAACUACGCCUUGACCAAUCUUCUCAUCCCGCUCAAAUACUAAUCCAACAUCUACGGUGUUCAAAAUAUACCGUAAAAUCCAUUUCACAGCUUGCCAAUGCUCCUUGCCAGGAUCAUGCAUGUACCUGCUCACAACUCCAACUGCUUGUGAAAUGUCGGGCCUUGUACACACCAUAGCAUACAUCAAGCUACCCACCGCAUUUGCAUACGGUACCUUUGCCAUAUAUUCUCGUUCUGCAUCAUUCUUUGGAGAUAACGAUGCACUAAACUUGAAAUGAGGAGCAAGUGGAGUACUAACAGGUUUAGUCUUUUCAUUCAUACCAAACCUCUUUAAUACUUUACUAAGAUACUCUUUCUGUGUCAAAUAAAGCCUCCCCAAUCUUCUAUCUCUACUUAUCUCCAUGCCGAGAAUUUUCUUGGCUUCGUCGAGAUCCUUCAUUUCAAACUCCCGACUCAAAUGAGAUUUCAAUUUUUCAAUCUCACCUUGAUCCUUGGAAGCUAUCAACAUAUCAUCAACAUAACGAAGAAGAUAUAUGUAGGAUCCAUCUCGUAGCUUGCGCAAAUAUACACAAUCAUCAUAUUUGCUUCUUGUGUACCUUUGCCCCAUCAUAAACUUGUCAAAUCGCUUAUACCACUGUCUUGGAGACUGCUUCAAUCCAUACAACGAUUUGUCAAGCUUGCAUGCCAUCUUUUCUUUACCAGCAACUUUGAAUCCUUCUGGCUGAGUCAUGUAGAUUUCCUCUUCCAAGUCACCAUGUAAAAACGCAGUUUUUACAUCUAAUUGGACAAGUUCCAGAUCCAAUUGUGCUACCAAAGCCAAUAAAAUUCUGAUGGAGGAAUGUUUCACGACUGGAGAAAACACUUCGUUGUAAUCAAUUCCCUCCUUCUGAGCGUAGCCUUUAGCCACCAAUCUUGCUUUGUAGCGAACACCAGACUUGUCAGGAAAUCCUUCCUUCUUUGCAUAUACCCACUUGCAUCCGAUUGCCUUCUUUCCCUUUGGAAGACUGGUUAGCCUCCAUGUUUGAUUCUUAUGAAGGGAAUGUACUUCUUCAUCCAUUGCAAUCCUCCACUUUUCUUUAUCCGAACUUUGAGCUGCUUCAUUGAAAGUGGCAGGAAUAUCAACAUUUAUGGUUGGGGAUGCAUAGGCCACUAUAUCAGCAAAACGAGCAGGUUUUCUGAUUGUCCUCUUUGGCCUACUGGUUGCAAUUGAUUCAUGUUGCUGUGAAAGUUCUUCAACUGGAACAUUUUCUUCAGUUGAUUCUUCUUCUACCAUAGGAGUCCUUUCAUCUACUCCGAUAUCCACUGCUGGUCUGAUAAUGCUUCUUUCAAACUCCAUCUGCUUAGGAGUGCUCUCCACCUGUUGGGGAGUACUAUCAUUCUGCUGUACAUCUACCUUUGUUAACAUGGUAGAUUCAUCAAAGAUGACAUCCCUACUGAAAACUAUCUUUUUCGUUUCGGGACACCAAAGGCGAUAACCUUUAAUGCCUGUUGUGAUCCCCAUAAAGAGCGCCUUCUUCGCCCUUGGAUCCAACUUUGAUUCUUUAACAUGAUAAUAUGCAGUAGAACCAAACACAUGUAAGGAAUCAUAAUCUGUAGCAGGUUUUCCCGACCAUUUCUCUAAUGGCGUUUUGCCGCCAAUAGCAGUUGAUGGUAAGCGAUUAACGAGGUGAUUUGCAUAUGCUAAAGCCUCAGCCCAAAAUUGUCUGCCCAACUCAGCAUUGGACAACAUACACCGAACUUUCUCCACCAAUGUCCGGUUCAUACGCUCUGCCACCCCGUUUUGCUGUGGUGUAUCUCUGACUGUGAAGUGCCGAACAAUGCCUUCAUUUUCACAGACCUCCAUGAACGGAUCACUAGUGUAUUCACCUCCGUUGUCUGUUCGAAGGCGUUUGAUCUUUCUUUCUGUUUGAGUUUCCACCAUCUUUUUCCACUUGAUGAAAAUUUCCAAUACUUCACUUUUCGCCUUCAUAGUAUACACCCAUACUCUUCGAGAGAAGUCAUCGACAAAGGUAACAAAAUAAUUCUUGCCUCCCAAAGAAGUUGUUUUGGAAGGUCCCCACACAUCAGAGUGCACAUAAUCCAAAAUACCCUUGGUAUCGUGAAUUGCAGUGCCAAAUUUUACCCUUGUCUGCUUUCCUUUGACACAAUGCUCGCAAAAAUCUAACUUGCAAACACUGGCUCCUUUUAAUAGUCCUUGAUUCAUCAGAAGAUUCAAAGAUUUUUCUCCGGCAUGCCCUAAGCGCAUAUGCCAUAAUCUGGUUACUUUCAAUUCUCGAUCAUCACUGGAAGCCACGGCCGCUACUCCAACAACUGCAUUACCUUGAUAGUAAUACAAGUUAUUAUUUUUUCGGAUUCCUUUCACCAGCACCAAUGCACCUGAAAUGAUUUUCAUCACUCCAUUAUAUGCCGACACCUUGUAGCCCAUUGAUUCUAGUACUCCCACAGAAAUGAGGUUCUUUUUCAAUUCUGGCACAUAUCGGACAUCAGUUAGAAUCUUAAUUGAUCCAUCCUGAUUCCUUAGCCGAAUUGAACCAACCCCAUUUGUUGCUAAUGUGGUCUCAUCUGCCGUGUAGACGACUCCACCUUCUUUUUCCUUGAAAUCAAAGAACCAUUCUCUAUUGGACGUCAUAUGAUGGCUACAACCUGAGUCCAAUAGCCAUGUACUAGAAUGACCAGUAGGCAUGACAGCUAAUGAAAAAUCUGAGUUUUGAUCAAUGCACUCAGAUACAUUUGAAUCCGCAACAGCUUUUUCUUUGUCAGGUCUACCCUUCAGUUUUGGGCAGUCCUUCUUCCAGUGCCCUUUCUCUCUGCAAAAGGCACACUCAUCUUUACUUAGUCUGGCUCUUGACUUGGAUCUUCUUCUCGUCCCCUUUCUCUGGUUUUGUGAGCGUCCUCUAGUUACCAGAGCUUCUGCUGCUCCAUCUCUGCUAUUUUGCUUGUCUUUUCUUCUGAGCUCAUAGCUGUACAGGGCAGAGCUAACUUCACUGAGGGACACCUCAGCUUUCCCAUGGAGUAGAGUUGUUUCAAGAUGCUCAAACUCCUCAGGAAGAGAUCCCAACAACAUGAGAGCCAAAUCUUCGUCUUCAAAUGUCACAUCUAAAUUCAUCAGAUCAGUGAUUAACUGAUUGAAAUUAGUGAUGUGAUCACUUAGAGUUGUGCCAGGAACAUAAGUGAAGCGAAAUAAACGCUUCUUCAUGUUGAGCCUGUUCUGACAAUUUUUCUUCAAGAACUUCUCCUCCAAUCCAGUCCAUAAUUUAUUUGCAGAGGUUUCUUUUGAGAACACAUAUUUUUGUUCCCUUGAAAGACACGAUCGAAUUGUACCACACGCUAAACGAUUUAGCGUCCUCCAUUCCUUCUCUUCAAUCUCUUCUGGUUUCUCUUUUUCGAUGGCAAUGUCUAGACCUUGAUUAAAGAGCGCGUCUAGAAUCUCACUUUGCCACAUGCCGAAAUGACCGGUACCAUCAAAUGUCUCCACAUUUAAUUUUGUAUUCGUCAUAACAUUUCUCGCCAUAAUAGAUAAUGACGAGCUUGUUGAUGCUUGCAUUGUAGAUGAAGAUCUACUUUCGGCCAUCUCUACUAAUUAUAUUUAGUAGCUCCUAAAUGUAGAGUAACAAUAGCCCAAGAAAUCUUUUCUGAUGUGGAAGAUCAGACCAUGCUGCAACCACAGAGCAUACUAAGAAACCUCGAGCUCUGAUACCAAUUGUUGCGGAAGCCCUACCAAAGUUAAGGUAUAACGAGUAAAUUAUUGUACCUAAAAUUGUAAAAAUGGUAAUUCCCAGGAAAUAUUUGGUGAGGCACACUGGCCUGCUUAAGUACCAAUUUCCUAGACAGAAUCACCUAUAUAUGCACUUAAUUGCACAAUAACUCACUACAAAUAUACCUACAAAUAUACCUACUAAAUAGACAAUAAAAUAGAACACCAGAAUUUAACGAGGUUCGGCUAAUUUGCCUACGUCCUCAGACACUACCGACAAUUUAAUAUUUCACUAGAAGAAAUAUUACAAAGAGAGAGAAGAAAACAAGUUAUUGGCUCUUGCUUGGUGUACUUGAAUUGGUUUGUUUGAGAGCUAUUUAUAGUUCUCAAACAACCUCUCAAAUGUUAAACUUAACCGAUGUGGGAUUUAGAAACUUAAGCCAAAGAAUUCAAAGUCCUCAAUUUUGGCUUGAAAAAGUCAUCAAUUGAGGCUUGGCUUUGAAUUCAACAAACGGGACAGCUGGUUUUGGGCAAUGGCAUGGCAAUACAGCCACAUAACCUAUCAAGAAGGCGGGCACUGGGGAGCUAAUUGGCAAGAAGAGGACGUUUACGUUUAAGUCAAAAGAGGAGACUCAGGGCCAAUGGACUAUGUACGAGUACUAUAUUGAUGGUGAUAGUUUGGAAGGGCUAAACAACGAAUUAGAUACUUCUUUAGUACUUUGUCGGAUAAAUAGAGAUGACUCCAAAAGCUCUAAAGGAGGAAAACUAGUAUCAAGAUGAAGAUAUGGCAUUGUCGAAUCCAAUGAUCAGGGGUUGACUAAAUCAGCAAAGAGAAAAUCGGACAUUGAUCAAUUUGGACGCACUAAGAAUUUGAGAUCUAACCCUACUGAUUAGUGCUAACGAUUGCUCUGAUUGGAGUACUAGGAUGGUACUAAGUACCAGUACUCCACCUGCAGCAUCAAACAUGAACAACGAGGAGCCAGAUAUUGCCGGCAGCAGUGGAGCUAUUGUUGAUGCAGCCCUUGGAGAUAUUGUGUAUGACCCUUCUAAUUUCAAUGUUUUACCAGUUGAAGACGAUCCUAAUGGUUGGAUCAUCAUGGAGGAACUGGAUCCUAAUUGGAUACCAGCGAAUGACAGUUCUGCAAUAGAUGGAGAACAAAUUAAUGGACCAAUCCAGGCAAAUUAAUCCUUGAUAGACGUUAAGAAGUGGAAAUCACUGAUAUCUUUCACAGAAUUGGUGUCUUGAUCCUUGUAAGGCAGUGAAUCCCUGGCUCAGAAAGCAGUCAAAUUUGUAGUAACAAUUUGUAGCCUUUGCCAGAGGGACACCUGAAAUGCAAAAUCAGACGCUCCCCAUUUCUCUCCACUCACGCUGCUUCCGGAUAAGGUCCUUCAUCACUUUCAGUCACCACCUGACUCACUUCACAUUCAUCCUGUGAAAAAAUUUUGAACUCUUAACUGUUCCAUUGGUCAAUUAAAUUUCAAUUUACAACUAAAACAAGACUAUCAAAAGAAAAGCCAAGAGAGAAGAUUAAUGAGUGACAUUUAAUUUAAACAUGAAAAAUUAAAUGUGGCAUGGCCGAUUAUAUGUGUAGGUCUCGUAUUUGUCGUUUUCCUUUUUGGAACAAGAGUUCCGCUUCAUAUUGAUGCACUACUCAAUUGUUUCUGUGCCCAUCUCUCCAAUUUCACUUGGUAGGUGAAAAGUGAUGGGCGAUCAUGGAGUAAGAAUAACAUAAAGCCAAUUUGACACACACACACACACACAAUGGUCCAACGAAUAAUAUAUCUAUUAUCUAUUAUCUAUAUAUCUAUCUAUCUAUCUAUCUAUUACUUUACUAUAUAAAAAGCAUGAUGAGUCUUUAUUGCGAGUGUAAGCAAAAAUCAAUCUUAAUUUUUAUGAUACCAAUAUUGCCCUUGACACUAAUAGAUAGACAAGAUUACAUUGCAUUUUCUUAAUAAUUAAUAAGAUUUAUGCUAACAGUUACAAAUAAACAUUUCUUGAAUUGUGGUGAUUUUGGUGCAUUAAACCAAAAAAAGAACAACAAAUUCAUUGCAUUUCAUCUAUAUUAAUAUCAAUUAUGCCAACAAUUACAAGAAUGAAAAACAUUCCCUUGAGUUAUAGUGAAUUAAAUCGAAAAAAGAAGGACAAAUUUUAUUUAUGAAUUAUAAAAUAAUAUGGUGAAUCUUAGUGGUUAAUAGUGUAAUAAAAAAUUAUAUUAGUUUUUGUGAUGCCAAAAUUACAUUCCUCUCUAAUAAAUGGACAAAUUGUGCUGCAUUUUAUCGUUAAUAAAUAAUAUCAAACAUGCUAACAGUUACAAAAAUGAAAGGUUCCUUACUUUUUAAUUUACCAAAAGAAAGAAGAACAAAAAUUUUUUUUUUCAAAAUCCAAGUUUAGAGAGUACUUCAAACAUGAAACAAAAUAUAAUAAAUUGGUACUAUGAGUCUCUUAAAAAGUACCACAAGUCUUUUUAUUUUUUGGAUGCAACUAAAUUAAGCCUUAAGAGCACCAUUUUAAUAUGCGUUUAUCAGUUUUGAGUAAAAAAAAAAAACUUUAAUUCAAAAUAUAAUAGGAAAUAGAGUACCAAGGUAGGCAAAGAGUUUUAUAUUAGGAAUUUAUUUAUUUAAAUUGCAAUAAAGAUUAAAUUUAAUGAACUUUAUCAAUCAUAUUCUUGUAACAACUAACAAUAUUAAACUACAAUUAAUGAAUAUUAUAUCCAUCAAUGGCAAUCAUAAUAAUAAUUACAAAGGUGAAACAUACCUUUGAGUUAUGUUGAAUUAAGCCAAAACAAUAUUUUUUUUAUAAAUAUCAAUUUCAAUGUGAACUUUACAAGUGAAUAAAAAUAUAUCCAUGUUCAGUUUGACUAUUACAUAACAAAUAAUCUUAAAAUCUGACAAAUUUUAAUCAUAUAAACUUUAUAAUCAUAAAGCAUGUCAUCAGUGAGAAAUACAAUAAAUUACAUCAAAUCAAAAUAUUUUUCUUCAAAGUUAAGCUAUUUAAAUUUGAAUUAUGGAAUUUCAAUAUGUUUAUAUACUAUUAUAAUUACAAUAGCAUCAUAGAUUAUUUUACAAUCCACUGUUAGCAAAAAAAAAAAUAAUAAUUAGAAAAUCUUACUGAAACUAAUGAACAAUUCAUAGAAUGACUUAAAGGGAAGCAAUAAAUUAUUCAAAAAAUUUAAAAUUUAAACUCAAAUGGCAUGAAAAAAAAAAGCAUUUAGAUCAUCUGAAUUUAACCAAAAGACAAAAAUAAAACAAAAAAUGUCAAUAUUGUUACAAAAUAAAAGUGCUCUUGGAACAAAGAAUGAUUUAUUGCUUGUACAAUUGUAUUGGUUAGGGCAAACUAAGUUCAAAAAAAUAUAAACUAAUAUAAAUAUUAAAUAUCACAUUUUUUUCCUCAAUUAUCUUUAUUCCUUCAAAAUAAUUGAUUUUCUAAAAGUUUUAAAGGAAAAAAAUAUAAAAGCAUCAUGUUCACGUGCAAAGCACGUGCUCCAUUGCUAGUAUAUAUAUAUAAUUUUUUUCUCAUAUUUGUCCAGACUAUUUUUGGAGUCUUUAGCGAGCUAAUGCCUUUCUAUGGGUCAACCCUAUGGUAAAAUAACUUUCACCAUGCAUAUCUUACCCAUUUCAGGGUUUGAUUUGCUUUAUGUAAGCAAACAUGGGCACUUGCACUGAUAAGAUAUAAGAUUAUGCAUAAUGAAGUCUGGAACAGAAAAAGAAGAAGUAGCAGCAGUAGUCUGAGAAAAGCACGCAGUUCUCAAAUUCACAUUUGAAUUAGUGACUUGCAGCCAACACUCCAAUAAAGAUAAUUAAGCAAAGUUGAACUCCAUUACAUAUAUUUGGUAAAAGCACCAUUUAUUCCAGCGCAAGUCAUAUCCAAAUUCAAGGAAUUAGUGAUAUAAAGCCAUCCAUUUAACUUGGAUUGGAAGUAGUUUCCACUCUUCACUGAGGAUUUGGUGGGCGGCUAUUGGCAGAUGAAACUCUGGAUCCCCAUUCGAGCAACUCUUUGCUUGUGUCAUCUUUGUGAACGAUCACUUCUAUGAAGCACAAACAGUCUUUCUUCUCCCCAGUUGCUGUUUCAAUUGCGUUAACUAGUUCCUCUUCACAGCAUACCUGAAAAUUUGUAUCACCAUAAUAAUAAUCCGUCGCAACAGAAUAUUAAUAUAUUGCAGUCCUAGGCUACUUUUUUCUUUUUUACUCCCCUCUCCUUUGGGCGGGGUUAGCACAAAGCAGGAAUUACCUUUGUGGUCCAGCAAUUGCCUUCACCAUUGCAAAGUGCAUCCACUAAUCCAGUGUAGUUCCAGUUCUUAAUCACAUUGUAUGGACCAUCAUGAAUUUCAACCUCUAUGGUGUAUCCUCCGUUGUUAAUCAAGAAGAUGAUAGUCUUUUGGUUGGAACGAAUCAUUGUACUCACAUCUUGGGCAGUCACCUGCAACACAAAAAUUUUAUUAGCCCCGAAACCUCAUGCUCUUAAAGAUCAAUGAGAUUUCCCCAAUUAAGUGUAAUUAUUUCUCACCUGAAAGCUCCCAUCACCAAUGCAAGCAAUCACCCGCUUUUCAGGUACGGAUUGAGCAUAGCCAAGCGUAGCACCAACGGACCACCCAAUGGAGCCAUAUUGCAUUUGAAACUCAUAUCUGCAGCACCAAUUUUUGCUCGUUAAUUUUUAUAGAAAGAAAAUGGAUGAAAAAGCACUAAAUGACAUCGAUACCUACCCACAUCCUUCUGGUAAUUUGAGCUUCUGGCAGUUGAACCAGGAAUCACCUGUCUCAGCAAUCACAGCUGUUUGGCUAGAAAGCAUCUUCUGGAUGUGCUGGAAUAGUACAUUGACCCUUAAUGGCUCAGUAGGCUCACUUUUCAGGGGAAGCCCUUCAGGGACAAAGAUCCGUCGAUAAUUUUCAUGGGCAGUGUUAUUCUUCUUGAUCUUUUUGGCCAAUUCGUGAAGGAAAUCUUUCAUGAGCACGCAACCAAAAGCAGGUCCGUUGCCAAUGACAACGCGGUCAGGCUGCACAAUGAUGGCUUUUUCCUUCUUGAGCAAGAGUGAAUAUCCAACUGAACUGUAGUCAUUGAAGAUUGGACCGACGAAUAUAUAAGCAUCAGCAGAUUCCACAAUCUCAGAGCAAAAGGCUGUGCUAACUGCACCCCAAUAAGUGCCAAUAAAGUGAGGGUGGUGCUCUGGCACUAGGCCCUUCGCUGAUGGCAUCACGGAAACUGCGUAACCACAGGCGUCAGCCAAUUCAACGAAUGCAUCACAAGCUUUUGCAACUCUCAGCUUUGGGCCUCCAACCAUGACUGGCUUCACUGCUUUGUUCAAGAAGGCUGCUGCUGCUUCUACUGCAGCCUGGAGUCCCCUCUCAUUACUCAAUCUGCAUCCAUGUAAUAGUCUCAGGCAUCAGUUGAUUUCCUAUAAUCCAAGAAUGAAUCUAACAAGCAUUUAAGCUUAUAAUCAAUUUAAUGUACCUUGGUGAGAUUGAAAAUGGAAUGGGCUCUCUGUCGAAAGUUGGAUGAGGGAUGCCUGCCAAGUUGCAACUGACGCUAAUGUAGACUGGCUUGCUUUCUUUCAGAGCAGUGGAGAUGGCUCUAUCAAUUUGUUCAUGUGCAUCUUCUAAGUUAUUAACCACUGCCUAGCACAGAAAAUUCACCCCCAACAAAAAGGGAAAAAAAAAUCACAGCCAUUCUCAAGCCUUCAGGACAAAAAGCAGCAAUCAAAAAAUCCAAAACAUGCAAUGGUGACAAUUGUGGAGGAUUUGACAUCCACCUGAUUUAAAUCAAUAUGUCUCAGUCUUAGUCGGGUCAAGGGUAGGGGUUAUUUGUAUAGUGCAGAUCUGAUCAAAUUGUGUGUGUUGAGCUAAUUGAUGUUUAGUUUUUAAGCAUCAUCAAGUAAAAUUCAGUAAUAGUAGUCCAUUAACAAGAAUACUAAUCAUAAAUGGACAAGUGCAAAGACAAAGGAAUGGAGCUUGAAACGCAAAAAGGUAUUGUCAGCCAUUUACAGGAAAAAAAUAAUUGAAAUAUCAGCCACUAUAAACAAUGAAAAGUUCCUAUGGAUGGGAGCGAAAGAGUUUGCACGAAAUAUGUAAUUGAGCGCUUCAAGCGAUUAAGUCCUUGGAUAAACAAUAGUUCAUGCAGAUUUAGAAGGUAGGAAGUUCUGGGAUUAAAUUGCUUGUAACUGGGGACUUAAAAAAUAGAAGUUCUUACUUUGUAGACAUUUUUCUCAAAAUAGUAGGUACCACAAUGGCUAUGGAUGAACUGAAAAGUGUGCAAAUUACAUUCGAGGAUUUCUCAGAUUCUUUUUUAAUCUGCAAUAUACAUUUUCAAGUAUAGAAUUUGUCUGCAGUGCAAAUUUAUGGCAUAAGAAACCAAAUUAGUUAUAUGCAAAGCAAGGAAGAUUUUUUAAAUAUUACCUUCCACUGCAUAUUGAUAAAUAAAAACUUGGACGAAAAAAUCCAAAUUCAGAAAAAACAAAUAAAUUGACAAAUAAAAAAUUGAUGGAAAAUGAAUCUAGAAUCCAAAUUCAGAAAAAAAAAAAUUUGUGUAUGAAUAGAACUGCACAUCAAAGAGCAAGUGUAAGAAUCCUUAAUUACCUGAUAGCAAGUGACGGUCUGGAAACAUCUCAAUUCCUGGCUAAAAUCAGGAAGGCCAAUAGUAUGAUGAAGAAUCCUAUUAGUCCCAUAAUCAUUCGUGUUAGGCCCUCCAACGAUACAAAUCACUGGAAGAUUCUCACUGUAAGCCCCGGCAAUAGCAUUAAGCACACUGAGUCCACCCACAGUGAAGGUAACGACGCAUGCACCUACCCCGCGAGCCCUGGCAUAGCCAUCAGCAGCAUAGCCCGCAUUCAGCUCAUUACAGCAUCCGAUAUUGUUGAGCCCUGGUUCAGCAAUUAAGUGGUCGAGAAGGGUGAGGUUAAAGUCGCCAGGCACGGAGAAUAUGUCGUUCACGCCAAUCUCAACCAGCCUGUGAGCGAUGUGGCGGCCCAGGGUGGCUUCAGGCCCGACUAUCAUGGAAGGAGGAUGAGAACUGGAGGAGGCUUCGACGGCGGAAACAUUGCCAUUGGUGGCGGAACAGCCCACGUUUUUGUUUUCAGCUGGUUUGCAUGAAUCUAUGGGACUCAAAAUGCUGUCCAUGUUUAAAGAAAUGUGGUUUAGGCGGGGGAAAGAGGUUUACUGCUUAAUUACUACUUGUAGGUUGACGAUGAAUCGUGAGAGAAAAAAAUAUGAACCAAGGUGAGGAAGAAAAUUGGUGAUGGUCGGUGGAGGAGGAAUAUUUAUAGGGGGGAGAGAGAGUUAGUCAAGGGUUUUGAGGAUGGACAAGAGGCACGGACUGUUGUGACAACCGUUUAGAAAAAUUUACGGAUCAAAUUUCGCUAAUAAUGUAAAAAUUAAAAUUGUAAGGUCCAAAAAACAUCUCAUAUAUAACUCUAAAUCAAUUAACAUAUAUGAGCCAACUUGAAUACUAGCCAUUGCCAGUAUAAUCGUUUUUGCCCUUACCCCUUUUAUGACACAAUUUUGGUGACACGUCUUGGAUUCGUCUGUUUUCAUCACGAGUCCUUUUUUACUAUUACACAAAAUUCGGCUGCUAUGACAAUUGUAAGUCAUCGUUACAAAUUACAACUAGUCAUUACUAUUACUAUAUAAAAAGUAUGAUGAGUAUUGACAAUAGGCACUAUAAGCGUAAGUAUAUUUUGAUCUUAGUUUUUAUUAUGUUUAAAUUACCCUCAUAUCUUUUAAUUAGAGUUAUUGUAUUUCAAUCAUGAUACUAAUAAGAAAAAUGAAAAGUUUCAAUAAAUUAUAUCUCAAAAAUAUUGACAAUUAAAAUUAAGAAAUGCCCAAUUACAACUAUAUUCACCAAUCAUUUUAUGUUGUAUAUUAUGAAUUAAAUUUUCACUUUUUGUAAUUGAUUUGUUGUUUACCUUCAUGUGAUUUUAAGAUUGUAUUUUCAAUUUUAGUGGAUUUUUUUUUUACUAUUAAGGAUUGCUCUAAGUGAUUUUUGGCUAUUAAUGUUUGGUGUAAAUGAUUGAUAGUGCUCUUUCAAUUGGUGUUAAUGAUUGAUAAUGGUAUUUCAGUUUAAACUUUUUUGUGAUGUGGGCAUGAUUGAGAUGGAUGUUCAUGAUCUUCAAACUUGAUUUUUUGUUGUUUCUGCAAGAAUAUCAUGAAAAGCUUUAAGGGUCGAAAAAAGUUUUUGAGACUAGAUUAUUAUAAUUCCUAUCGAUAUCUAACUGUUAGUUUCCAGUUGUGCUUGGUUUUCUUAAUAACUUCCUCUAAUUAGUUACCUAUAUUAUGAGUGUUUGGAAUAUUAGAAAAUUUCUUCCUACUUCUUAGGAAAAGCAAAAUAUUUUUAGAUGACAUUUGAAAUUAUUUUAUAAGAAGUUCAGUGUAAUAAAAAAAGUGACUAUCAUGUUCUUAAUAUAUCAAACAUUGAAUGCCGCAUGCACUUUUUGUACUGACUGAAUACUCAACCAUUUUGAUCUCAAUUUUUACUGUGUCUAAAUUACCCUCUUGUCUUUUAAUUAGAAUCGUUGCAUUUCAGUCAUGACACUAAUAAGAAAAAUGAAAAGUUUCAAGAAAUUAUAUCUCAAAAAUGUUGGUAAUUAAAAUUUAAAAAUGCCCAUUUACAACUAUGUUCACCAAUCAUUUUCUCCGUCUCCAAUUAUUAUAUGUGUUAAAAUUAUCUCUAAUUAUUAUAUUCUUAUGCGUAUGUGUGAUAAUUAAAGCUAAGUAUAUUUUAUAUACGUGCUGGUUUAGAAGAAAAUCACUAUUAAUAAGAAAACAAAAGGUUGGCGAGUUUCAAUGUCUACAAGUAGUCUUAACUUCAGAAGCUGGGGGGGUUUGUCUCCAUGGCCGACAGUGGUAGUCUUGGAGAUGAUGGGCAUGUCCAAACUGCCAGAACACAUCACUGGCAUCACGUACCUUCAUUCCUCAAACCCAAAGAACCAGCAAAAAUGAGUGUAUUGUCUAAGGCAUGGUUGAGCACAUGGCUGACGCCCCAAUUAAGUUGUAUUGAUUCUUUGAAGAUUGCAGUUAAACUUUUUGAGUUCCCGGCGCUUACGCCUGAUCAUGUCAAUACAUGGCUCCAAAAUGCUGUGGACAAUGGUGGGAGAAACCUUGAAUUUUUAUACACUCUUGUAAUUCUACGUUGCCUCAAAAACAAUUUUUGAAGCGAAAUUACUCGUCAAAUUGUGUCUUAUGGGCCAAUUCCAGUUAAAGCCCCAAGUAAUCAAGGAUAAUAAGGUGUCAUCAUCUCCAAAAGCCGUAUCUUAGCGUGGAUUUAAGCAAAGAGAUGCUUCAAAACAUAAUGUCGAGCUGCCCAUUGAUUGAAAUCUUGAAUAUUUAUUCCAGUAGAGAUCUUGUGAACGUAAAGGUGAGCAAGCUUCUAAAACUUAAGCAAUGUAGUAUUGUUAUACAGGGAAAUGGUUAUGUUGAAGUCGAAGCACCAGGUCUUGAACCCUUUUACUGUAAUAAUUCAUAAUUGUAUAACAGAUGUUUCUUUUGAAUUAGAUUCAGAAUCAUUCCCUUGCAGGCCUCACAUGCAUAUAUGUGAAAAUCUGAGGUUAACCUUGGAUGACAUUGCCAUCACUGAUGAGUUUUUCUUAGGCGUUGCAGAAAAUUUCCCACACCUUGCAGCGCUGACAAUCCAAGAUUGACUCCAUUUGCAAAUUAUCAAGAUUUCGAGUCACUCGAUUAAACGCAUACAUUUGGAUUCAAAGAGAGAACUGAAAGAGGUCGUUAAGCAUUGUUCGAUUUUGAAUUGAGAGGAUACUUCAUUCCCCCACUCUCUUUUACACAGCUUGCUCCUACCCUAAGGUUUAUGACAUUGAGUUAUAUUUAUGAAGUUAAAUGUUUUGGACACCUCCUUGUUUCCCAGAUUGAAAAACUUUUGACAAUGUUAAAUCAAUCUCAAAGUUUCAUUCCAGAUUUUCUUUACCCCCAACUGUCGAGGGUUUCAAUGACAUGAGAAACAUCGCCUCAUUUCUCUGCCUCGAGUUCAAAAAUUGUCUAUAGGAUUUGGUGAUAGGGAUAGUCUAAAUGCUGCAUGUUUUUGUGGUAUCUUUUGGACUUGUCCUCCAAAAACCAAGUUCUGGACGAAUUCUUUUGGGCUUGAUGUGGGUUUUUGACCUUUGAGUACAAUGACGGGGUGAAUGUGCUAUUUGAGAUGCUAACGCUUAGAAGAGAUCGCAAGCAUAGCAAUUUGCAGCAAAUAGUUUUGGCAAGAGGAUCUUAAGGAUGUAAAACUUGAGGUUUCUGAAAAGGAAGGGCACCAAAGAGUUCAACUGCCUAAGUUUUCAGACUGGGACACCUUUUGAAAGGUAACCUCACUUAUUUGAAAACUUGUUAAACCUGUUUGUGCUGAUAAGUGAGCUUGAUAAACUUGUUAACCGCCAACAUUUAAUAUGAAAACUUGAGGUUUCUACGUCAAGUUAUGCCAAAACACUGAAGUAUGUCUACACAGAAAAUUGAAUCCGCCAGCAUUUUUGAGCAAUCUAGCCAUGAAUUUUUAACAAGUUUUCAAGACAAAAACAAGUUCAAAUUCGAUAUUCAAGUCCCAUUUCCAUGUUAAGUCAUCUUCCAACCUCCAUAGUUGUCAAAAUCAACAAAUUUUAGCUCCCAAAGUCAUGUAAAUACAUAAGCAAUCCUGAAAAUGAAGUGCUAGCUCAAGUCAUUCAUUUCCCUCAACAUUCCUCCUUUUCAUAUUGAUGAUGGGCCUAUACCCAUAUGAAAAUAGAGACCAACACAAACUCUAUACACCAUAGCCAUGGAAACUAAUCAAGGAUUUGAACCAAAUGCCACCCAAUCACCCGGUCAUCAAUUAUUGCAUAGACUCGAUCCAUUAUCUGAAAAUAGAUCCUAUAGACAUAAAUAAGUCGCGUCGCUCUUUUGCUUUACAAUCUUCAAUAAAGAAAUGGCGUGGCGAUAUAUAUGGCCACAUGGUCCACAACCUUAUUGGUGGACCAAGUCUAUUCAAGUAUUUGCCUUUAGUUUCAACGCGUGUACUUAUUCUUUGGAGAUUGUUAAUUUCCUUUUGAACCUCCAUGAGCUCCAACUCGAAUUUAUCAUUUGAAUCAUGGGUUCAUACUUGACAUUUUCUACAUUCCUCACUUCCAAGUUCCACCACUCAACAUGCCUCGUUAAAGAUUACGCCUCUUUGUGUCACCAUGUCAGCCUCUUGAGCUAACAUCUCGUCGACCGUCAACUUGUCGAGGGUCUUCACCAUUUGCACUUCUCGAAUUUAGUUGCACCUCUUGACUGCUCAAUUUCUUUAGUAUGACACCUAAGGGGUGACCAUUUAAACUUUCUCAAAUUUGAUUGCAUCUCUUUCCUUAAUUAAUCUUACAUUUUCAAAAUAUAAUUCCUAAAAUAUACCUUUAACGAGUGCCUAAUAAAACACCUAUUAGACAGAACCUUAAAUUAAAUCAGACGCCAAAUGAUUUCAUUAACUCAUCUGCUCAGGUCUCUGCGAUUCUACUAUCUUGCCUUUUGGUUAGAAGCUCCAGUAGUUCAAUUUCGCUGUUGAAUGGCGGACGGGUAACAUCACCGUCCAACAUAUCUAGUUCUCAUCGUUUUGCUCUAUUGCUCUGAAUUAUAACAGGCAACGGCAACUUAUAUUUGGCACACUGGAGACUCCGAAGGAAAGACCAAAACAAACACUAUGAUGUUUUUAAGGAAAAAACAGAAAACAUAUUACUUUUUCAUAAAAACUUGAGCAAUAUAAUUCAUUUUCUAAUUUACACCAAGGCCAUCUACAACAAGAGGGGCCGGAUACAAUAAUUUUCCUAUCCAUCAUCUAAAAAGUUCAAGGAGCUAAACUCGAUCCAGUACCUCCAUCUUCUUGCUCUCGAAACAGAGAACACGGUAACAUCGCUGAAAGCUUCAUUAGCAGUCCCGUUGUCGAAAUUUCUUGCACCCAUUUUAGCUAUGAGGGAGUUGAAUCUCCUUUCACAAUGGUGCUUCUAGCCGAAGUGAUGUAUACAACAGAAGAUAGAGAGUAUACAAACUUCUUUUGCAUUCCUAACUCUACAUGUAAAGAAGCCUUCAAUCAACACCCAAACACGACCAAAUGCUCAUGUUGACGUCAACAAUCAAACUUAGAGUUGCCACAUCUAAGAUGAACUUCCAAUCUGUAUGGCACUGUCAAACCCUGGCACAACAUGAAGAUACUGUAAAAAAUCUCUGGACCAAUUAGGAAAACUUCAAGAAAGCAUAGCACAAAAAAGUGAGCGGUAUUUCCAAAAGAUACAAGUUCUUGUUUCUUUGUCCUUUAAUACCUUCACUUUUCAUAAUAACCAAAAAAGGUAAAAGGACUGCAUACCAAUUAUUUAAUUGAGAACAUAUAAAUAACUCUUAGUCUCCUAGACACAAAUGAUGGCUUUAAUCAGACAGCUCAAAAUCUGGUUUUUAAUGCUUGAUAAUCUAAUACUACAAGACAAUACACUCUAAUAAGCUAAUACAGAUAGCUAAAUAUGAAACAUCAUGUCAACCUGUUUUUCACAAGCAAUCAUCCUACCUAAAAGGUAUAAAAAAACAAUUAAAAAAGGCUUAUCAAAUGGGAAAAAAAUUAUAUAUCGAGAACAUACAGUGAAAGCAAUAAAUGAUUUAGCAAUCCUGUACCUCUAAUAUGUGGGUUGCAAUUAGCCUUCUAAAGCAUAUGUGGGGACCUGCAAUUAAUAAGCAAGAUAAUGACAAGUAAGCAUUAGCAUUCCAUUUAACCUGAAACCUAUACUGAUUAGAAGCUACUAACACCUAAUCAGAUUGCCUCAAUUUUACACUUGUAAGUUGAUUAACUGACAGAAGAACAAUCCAAAUCAACUUUGUUCCAUCCUCACUUGAAGGCUAAAUAAUGUUUCCUUUUGACAAAUUAACCACCUCAUCUAUCCAAACCAUAAAUGCCUAAUUUUGUAGAAUCUUAAGCAGAAAUGACUAGGGUCAGGAGGAAGGGGAUUAGACACUUGAUAUAGCGUCAUCUUAACUCCAGUUACUGCAUUUUAAUGACAGCAUUGUAACAAUUCAAUCUCAGGUAAACAGAGGUUAAGGUGGUCUGUUCCCUUUUUUUUCCAACCAGCAGUGUGACAAUAUGAUCCUAACAAGUCGUCAAGCUUUGCAUCUUACAUUCAUCUUUGCUUACCUCACCUGGAGCCUCUUUCCGGGUAACUUUUGUGGUAACUUUUGUGCAAUAAACUUCACAUAAAUGGAACAUUAGAGCACAAAAGAGAAUCUUCAAAUUCAAUCCUUUAACAUUACUGUGUCGGGGUGAUUCAUUAUUUAGUUUUGUAGAAAUCCAAAAUACACCAUCAGCUGUUUACUUAAUUCUAAUCAAAUAAAUCACAACUCCUAUGCCUCCCAUACUAUAACAAAUGACUUCCUCCCCAUAUAUGUAUAAUUACUUUCAACCUACAUACAAGAAAUUCUUUUAGACAUUUGUCUUCAAAGAAAAUUUGACCACCAAGAUUGAAUGUAGCGAUGGUUUUCUUCGCAAAACUAAAAUGCAUGAACUGAAAACAUAAGAUCUUUCAAUUUGAAGCACAUGCAAUACAUCUGAUGAAUGUUUUAUUGUGUGCUGAAACACUUCUCACAUUAAAUUUUAAGCCUCUCCACAUAAAGUACAGAAGGACUAAAUAAGACGGUGUUUGAGAGAACACAUCAAGCAAAGAACUGACAUCAAUGACUACCUCUAACAGACUUGUAGCAAGCAAAGAAACGCAUCAAGCAAAGAAACGACACCAAUGCAUACCUCUAACAUGUUUUCAUGAGAAAAAGAUGCUGAUGCAGGAUUUAAACCAUUAGGGUUAUUGAAUUGAAGGAUCCUUAGCUUGCCUUCCUGCGAUUUUGAGGAGAAAGUCAAUACAUGGACAACUUAAUGGGAAACCUGAAACAUAAAUCAUGACAAGUUUCUGCGAACCUUGGUUCCAUACACAAGACCGCCACCAACUGAAGGAUGAAAACAAGCCACAUUGACCUCAUCCUCAGCACUGGGAAGAACUCUUACAAGUUCCAUGUCAGAAACUCUGUAUAUCUGGGCAGCACAAAGCAGAAUUUUGGAUGCAAAUGAACAGCAUCAGUGAAUUAGAAGGCUCCUGGACAGACCUCUACUCAUGGAAACUAAAAAACCAUCAUCUUAUAAAAUUAUUAAAGACUACAAUUAGCUUGUAUCUAAAAUGCUUAAGAGAUCUCCAAAUGGGAAGUAUAAUAACUUCAUUUGAUGGCCAACAACACAUAACGCAUGUGAAAAAUGGUAUACAAUUUGACAACAUCCUCCAGCACUGAGCCACUGCAAAAGAAUGCAAGCCAGUUUGCAUGCCAUAACUUUUCCUAUCAGAGCCCACAAGACUCCAUUUUCAUAGUAUUACUAUGACCAUUGUUAUAUAUGCAUCUGGAAUCUAUGUUUCUGCAAGUGUCUCAUGUCGCUGAUUCCAAAUUUUCAAGAAAUAAUGUAUCUUCUAAUAGUCGUAUUCUAGCUUGCUUUAUAAUUUUCUCAAGACUCAUGGUGCUGGGGGGUGAUUGCCACAAUGAAACAUAGCUGCAUCCGAAUCUUUCCAGUUUAGGAUGCAAAGAAAUCAAACAAGCAAACCAUUUCACUUCAAUUUACAACUCUAACAUUUCAUUAGGAGAAAAUAAAGCUGAUGCAGGAUUCAAACCAUUACAUGUUCUAUGACCCAAAUUCUGUGCAUGGAGAUCAUGCAAAUAAUGAUAUGCAAAGAAGAUACCAAAGAUUUGCAUAAUUUGCUCUUUAAAACUAACAUCUCAAAUCCUUUUUCCUUUUCUUUCAACAUAUUUACUUUUUCUGUUAAGUUGGGAACUGACGGUACUAAUAACAAAUUCAUAAAAAAAAAAAAAAAAAACCAAGCCAAUGAUAUUUAUUUUGAAUGCUUGAUGCCUGUUAAGGGAUCCACCUUUGCCCCAUCCCAGCAAGGUGAUAAUCAAUUAACAAAAUCAAGGAUCUGCCAAAUUAAUAGAAAUUUGUCCUUCCCUAAUCAUAAAAGAUCUGGAUGUACAGCUCAAGACCCUGACAAACGACUCACUAACAAGCAAAUGUCAAUCAUGUAGAAUGGGUCAGGUAAGAAGCAAAUGGGAUGACAGAAAAACAGAGAAUCAUUCAAAGUAGAACUUAAUGUAAUUUGAAAAAAAACAAUGCCAGAAAGCAAGUAUAAUUAGUCUAAUUAUCAAAUAUACCUCCAGAAUUGUAUAAAUUGGUACAGUCAGCUCUCCAUCAAUCACAACACUUUUGAGAAGUGAACUGUGACGACGGCCAUAAGCAAGUAAUAGAUGCUCAGACGUAGGGGAGAACUGCAAUUACAAAAUAUAGAACAUCUUAAAAUAGGAAAUUCUUGCAAUUCCAUUUCUUCCUGCAUUUAACCAGACAAAGAAACAUAUCUUGUAAAAUCUUACAAACUAAAGUAUCUUGCACAUAAAUGAAACAGAAACUUGUUAGAUAAACUACUUAACCACCAUGACACGUAUAGCUUCUCAAUCAUCACAGACUACUGAUUAAUGAUGAUGCUGACUUAUCAUAACAGAUCACCUCUUAUCAUCUGAUAGUUUAAGUCAUUGAACGAGAUGGCAACUCCACAUAUCACAAACAUAGGCAAAGGCCUUGCGUUCAAUUCUCCUCACCACCUAGUAUAAAAUGUGCCCAGGAGUUGUGCUAAUAGAAAAUUUCUGAGUGAGUUUUAUCAGAGUGCAAAGGAAACCAACGUAAUCUCCUUUCCAACAGCUUAGUGUUAAGAGGCUUAAAUCUGGUAAUUAAGCAGUUAAGAAUACAUUCAACUCAAGGCAAAGCAGAAUGUAGGAAAGCAAUGAACUUUGCCAUUUUUUUCUUCUUUUCAUUUGGGCUCUCUAAUCAAUUGCCUUCUCUACGUUCUUAACAGGGAAAACAGAAAAUAUAUCACUCUCUCUUUUAACUUUAUCAGCUUCAAAAUUAAUAUGUUACCCAAAUUCAACUGUAACUCAGCUUUGAGUAUGAACAAUCCAUCUGCUCAAUGCUGAGUACAAUGAACUGCAAUGCAAAUGGAUAGUAGGAUUCAACUUUCCUUCUUUUUUUCUUUUUCUCCUUUGAAGCCCACCCCACGCCCUCUUCCCCCUCCCCCAUUUAGGAGAAGGAAAAGGUAGGGCUAGGAAGACUAAAGUCUUCUUGGCAUUCAAUUUACACAGUGAACUAUUUCAUUUAGGAAGAAAGAAACCAUGUUAUACUGAUAACUUAUUGUAAGUAAUAUUCAAAACUAGUUGUGUCAACAAUAAAAUUCAAUUAUGGAGAAAUCAGCCUGGGAAACAAUUGCUGUUUUACUAAUCCAUUUCCAUUUCUUCCUAAACUCAAUGAAGAUGCACACUACAAUAGGAUGGUAAGAUCACGCACUGUAAAAAUUUCAAACAUUGGCGUGCAUGACAUUAGUUCAUUCAGGGGAUAAUUCUGCUCUAACUAACAGUGUUGUACUAUACCAAAACAAAUAACUUCAGAUAGGUAAAAUUCAAUAGUAUUUGCACGAUCACAUAAAGCCAUGGAGAUAUCGUGCCAACAAUUUCAGCAAUAAUACUGACCUGAAUGGAAGUUAAACAAUGAGCCGCUCUGAUGGCCCGUGAUGCAAGCACCAUCCCAAAUCUACCAAAAAAAAGGGCUCGAGUAAGACAAAAUACUUGCCAAUGUGAUAGGGGUAAAUUACAGAAUGGUUUUUGAGCCAUGUACAGGACUUACGUUGCCUCCUCAAGAGAAUAUACUCGCAGCUCAUACAUUACUUUGUGGGCUGAAAUUGGAUGUCUGGUUGGGGAUGUCGCAACCCCAGUGGCAUCAUGAUGAACUUGCCCCGGGAAACCAGGAUCAGCUUCCAUGUUUGGUAGGACACAAGCGACACAGGCUGCUAAAAAUCUACCACACGGCGAAAAAUGGGCUCCCAUUUCACUGGAAAGAGAAUGUAAAGGACGCUUAAGCAUCAAGAGAAAUAUAGCUCAUAAUUUCACAUUUUAGCAAAAAAGUCAAGAUCUAGGAUAUGCAGACAUGGUCUUAUCACCAUAACGAAGUUUAAAGAUCAGCAAGAAGCAACUUCCAUAUGUAGAAUGCUAAUCUUUCUGCUAAACAGUUGUCAAAGAAACUAGUCAGUUUUUCCAUUUUCUUGUUUUGGUAAAACUAGGCAGCAUUAGGAUAUAACAGUAAACUCUCUAAUGUGUUAACAUGGAUGAAGAUAUACAUACCUACAAAGAACUGCAUGGGGUAUGGUUAAGCGACAUCUUUCUGCAUCAAGAGGUGCACAAGGAUCUUUAACAUCAUGAGACCAUAUCCGAAGUUUCACGGUGCAUGGUAACUCAGCAGUUGCUGCUGCUGCCAUUGAAGUGGCUACCUCAGGCUGAACCUGGCUUAUGAUAGGAUUAGUGUUGCCAUCAUCAUGUACAAUACUGUUAUAAGUAGCACCAUCACCAGAUCCAGCUCCAGGUACACGUGGCCGUGAGGAGCGGUGCCGUGAGCCGGAUCUUCCAGUAACUCUUGAAUGAGCAGCAUCAUUUGACAUAGAGGAACUUAAUGGAGCAGGAUUCUCUAUAUUAUUAAAAGAAGAAAUAUGCUCAUUACCACCACCAUUUUGUGAACGCAUGGCACGGAGGCCAGCUUGGCUUUGUCCAAUCAACCAUCCUUGCAGAAAUGGAAGUUCCCAGUAUGCUGGAUCACUGAAAGGGAAAAAAUGAUUGUUUCUUUCCUCAGGUUGAAUAUCAGUCUCCAUCGCAUCCACCACGGGCUGGGAUACAGCAUUAUCUGUCUCCCCCAUCAAAGAAUUAGGCUGUUGCUCUUCUGUCGAACUAUUCGGUUCCAUAGGAGACAGCAAAACUUCGUACUGACCCGUUGGAGUUGAAUACGUGAGAAGUCGCACAGAGUUAGAUGGAUCCACUCUUUGUUGUGCACUAUCAAGACCCACAUCUGUAUCAGUCUGCUGCAAAGGUAAUCUGCUAUCACUUCUACCAACCAAAGGCCAUAUCAAGAAUGGUAAAGAUAAAAGAGGCAACUCAUUAGGCAGAUUAGACCGCGAAUUUGAAUGAGCAUCUGCCAAAUAAACGGUAGGAGGAGGGUAGCGCAAGUAACCAGGGGAAGUUGCAAGUGUCAUUGAAGAAUCAGUUGAAUCAAGGUCAUUAACCUAGAAAAGAGUAAGACCAGGGUUGAUUCCAGUAAAAAGAUAACUAAAUUAAGAGCAUCUAAAUCUCCAAGAUGUUACCUCAGCAGUGAGAAGAAAUGGAGCAGCAUAAGGGUGGAAAUGCACAGCCCGUAAGGAACGGCGUGUCUUAAGUACAAUUGUUGGUGGGGAUGUCUCUGCCAUCCUAUUGUAGUGCCAUAUGUAAAGCUGCCAGAUGAUUAAGGUCAAUCUAAGGAUCCAACACCUAACUCAAUCAUAUGUUGAUUUAGAAUACAAACCUUGUGGCCUGAAGCCACAGCCAGAAAUUCCCCCCGAGCAUGGAAAGCAAUGGAAGCUAUAGGGCGGUCUGCAAGGAAAAAAUUUUCAGCAAUUGCACACACCAGCAAUAUGUAUAUGAAGCAGGCAAAAAAUUCCUAAAGUUAGAGUAGUAUUAAAGAGACAUACAAAAAUCACGCGAUCCUAUACAUUCUGCAGUUUUUGCAUCCCAUAAUCGAACUUCAUGGUCCAAACUUCCACUGGCUAGAAGAUCAGGAUACAGUGGAUGGAAUCUAACCUACAAAUGUUCCACCAGCAUGUCAGAUAAUCAGGUAAAAAUAGAAAAGCAGAAUACUCAACAAAAUCAGAGGUAAUCAUCUAUAAAAUGCAUCCAGCUAAAUCAUACACAAGAUUCAAGGGCAACUCUUGAAAUGAUGCACAUAUUAGUGUUUCACUUCAUUCAAAUUAACAUUUUCUUCUAUAUAUUUUUCUCAGGAUAGUUAGAAGUUCGUCAGGUAGUCUUUACCAACUACAGUCACUAAAUGAGAUGUAAGCCGUCCCAAAAGAAAGCCUUACCACCCAUGGUGUCCUCCGAUGACCACUCAGCACCUUUAAGCAUUUCCCAGUCUGGCAAUCAAUUAUCUUUACAGUAUGGUCACCACUACCAGCAAGAAAUCAACAAGAAGUCCAUCAAAUUAUAGCUUUCUAGAACAGAAAAGUAAAACAAACCUAUAUUAGCAUUUAGACUGUUCUUCUACAUAUCAUCACAUUCACAAGAGUGCAGCAGCGAGGGGCAUGCACAUUGUGAAUCUGUAUACAAGAGACAUACAGAAACAGGAACAUGCAAAGACACACACACAUGCACACACCCAACCACACACAGAACAAAAGAGGAAGAGAGAUUUAACUGCGUAGAAGCAAGUGUUUUCCCAUCAGGACUGAAGGCUGCUGCAAUAGUUGACCUUGGGGGAGGCAGAAGAGGACAAUAGUCAGCUGUUAAAUGUUGCAAAGACUCCGCCUCCACCCUAGAAACAGUAAGGAAAGGACAUAAAUUUCAAAAACCUAACAGUGGCAGCUUUCGAAACUUUUAAUAUAGUUAUAGAGUAACCGCAAAAGAAGCAUGUUCAAUUAGACACCAUUAAAAAGAGAAGUAAGAUAUUUACCAUGAGAUGAGACCUCGCCUUGCGUCAAUUUCUGCAUCACUUUUUGUACCAAAAGCAUCCACAUGACGUGCAGAAGCCUCUUCCCAAAACUUCUUUGAAGAAUGUUUCAUUCGAGGGGCAACCUCUCUCCGAGCUAAUAACCGAAAUACAUUAUAACAACUGGUACAUGAUGUUCAGCAUAACCAAAUCAGAAACAGUUCAGUACGGCCAAUGCAAAACAAUGUGAUUUAUGAUAACCACAAAAUGAGUCUACUUGUAAUGUUGUGAAAGAAAUCUAUAUGUAGAAGCUUACAAGAAUCUGUUAGCUUAGAAGAUGUAAAUUCAGAACCCCAACGAAAUUUAAAAAUGCAGUCCCUCAUAUGCAAAAACAAGCCCUGAUCAGUCUACAAACCUAGAGCCAUAUAAAUUUGGCAACUGAACCAAAUCAGAACAAACACAAGCCAUAAGAGGCAUCUUAGAUAUUGGCGUCAAACAGCAUUAUGUCUCAUCACAAAAGACCAACACAGUGACAACCAGUGCAUCACAUUUGUGCAUCAAAAACAAAUCUAAAUCACAGGGGAAAAAAACUAAUGCAAAAUCCAAACUAAAAAAUGAACCCCAUCCCAUUAGGACAAAUGUAUAGCUCUUAUAAAAAAAUUAAUACAAGUUUAGGUUCUCUCCUAUAUUAGUAAAACAUGCAGAAACGUAUGCCAUAUGUAUCAAAAUAACCAAAAUGGUACAACUGUUAGCCCCGUGAGCAAUCCACUAAAGGCUAAAUGGUCUAACAUUUUCUGUGUCUUGUUCCCAGCAUGACUACAAUAUCAGCAUUCCAGAUAUCCUAUCACACAGAAUUUUAGCCAAGAAAUCAAAAUUACUCCUUUUUUUGUUUUCAAGGUUCUCCAAUUAAACUUCUUAGGCCAAUACAAAACCAUAAGCAGUGAAGGGAUUGACCUAAAAAUUCAUUACUAUCAGACAAUCAACAUUUUCAUGAACAAAUAAGAGCAAAAAAUAUAUAAUAAAACUCAAUUCACAAGGCCGUGGUCAUAAAUUUCUUCCACAAAAAAUCACUGCCGAGUGCCGUACUUCAUUUCCAUUAAAUAUCAAAGAAUAUGAUUUAUCUGAAUUAUCAAACAAAACUAAAAUUCAUCAAAACCAAACCAAAAAAAAAAAAAUGCAGUCUGACAUGUGGGAUAGAUAUUGAAUUGGCAUUCCAAUAAUCAGGACCACAAUUUGAACAAACACGCAACAAAUACAUCAAUAUCUAACAAUUCAAUCCGAUAGCUCAGAUCAAACAUCAAAAUUUCCCCGAAUUACAAUAUAAUACCCAUCAAAAACUCAAAUUUCAGCUUAAAAACACGAAAAUAACUUCCAGAAGGGAUCAAAACUCAGAUCUACAGAGUAAAACCUAACUCAAUAACCAGAAUUCAGAUGAAAUUAGGGUUCAGAACUGAACCUGCUUUUCGGAUUUGCUGUAGGGGUGGCGCAAGCCGCCGCCUGCAGCAGCGGCUGUUGCAGAUUCAUCGACGACGACGUCGAUGGAGCAGUAUUUGGAUAGGAAUUCGAAUUCUCCGGCCAUAACGCCGACGACGACGACCUCAUUAUUUAUUCUCCUCUCCAGAAGAAAUUUUGCAUGCUCUGAAAAAUUUCAGCGGAUUAAUUUAAAGAGAGAGCUGGGCUUUGGUGAAUUGCCUGAAGUGACCUCAGAAUUUUGAUUCAAUUUCACGGCGAAGGAUGCUGAGGGUUGAGGAACUGAAGAGAGGGGUAGAAUGGGAAGAAAAUUUUGGGGGAGAAAAUAAAACAGGGUGGGGAGGAAGAAGAUGGAGAUGGAGCUAAAUGGGUCCGGACACCGGAGCGUAAGGAACAUUAGGGGGUGUUUGGGAAUUGAGUUAAAAAGUUAUUGAGGGAUGGGACGGGUUGUAUCGGCUGAUCUGGGGAUACAUUAUUGUUAAAUGGCUGUAAACGUCCUUUUACUGGAUUUGAACGUGGACGGUUUUUCCUUCCAAAAAAAAAAAAAAAAAAGUGGACGGUACCUAAGAUUAAUGUGAUGAUUGAUUAUGAUCAAAUUAUGACAACUAGGUUUUGAGAAUAUAUUUGUUAGCUUGAUUUGUUUAUGAUUUUGCUUCUUCAUUAGGAGUACUUUAACCAUUUAUUAAGAAAAAUUAAAUUAUAAACCUACUAAAGUAGUAGUCUAGUUGGUUUAUUGUAUUAUCUGAUGAAAUAAAAUAUACUUGAUGAUGAUGCCGGAGAUUUGAAAGAGGGUUACUCCCACGAAGUAAGAGGGGGAGAAGAUUUGUACCAUACCUAAUUUUGCAAUUUUUAGGUUGUCAAAGAAUUGAAGUUUCUUUCAAGCAAAUUUAAACCCACUUGUUGAGACUAACAAAUCAAAAUCAAGCAUGACAACACUUUGCAAUAAUCUUUGACUAUACAAAUCGCACCAUACAAUAGAUGGCGCGAUCUUUGACUGAAGGAGCUCAAUUUGAUCGAGGACUGGAGUACUUGAGCUUGAGCGAGUUUGUGCGAGAGUUUGAGUUUAAAUAGAUAUUACCAUGUUCAUAUCCAGCAUUUAAUUUAGUAUCCGAUCAAAUUCGAGUUUAAAUUCGAAUACAAAAUUAUUUGAGCUGAGUUCAAAUAGGGCAGUAUACAAGCUCUUAUCAACACAUUUACAUUACACCACCUAAAACUUAAAUAUCUAAAAUUCAGCUCAACUCCUAGGAUGUUUGGUACUCAAAUCCUCCCCUUUCCCCUUCUGCAUUUUAAAGCUUGAAUAAUCUUAGGUCUCGUUUGGAUGAUCACUUUUUGAAUUUUUUGUAAAAAAUUAUAUUAUAAUGAUGUAAUAUAUGUGAGAUAAAAGAGUCAUUUAAAAACACGCGAGGAGAAUAUUUCAAAUUUUUUCCACAGAAAUUAAAAAUCCUAACGGAGCCUUAUGCAGGAGGAAGUGGGGCAACCGUCCCUGAACAAUGUAAUAUUUUUUGAACGUUUUGUAAGUUUAUAUAAAUUUCUUGUACAUUCUUAUAACAGAAGUGUGAUUUUUGAUUACUGUUCAUGUGGGUCCUGUAUAUAAUAAUUGUAUCUCUGUUGUUAUAUUUUAUAAGUAGUUUACGUAGAAUUACACCUUAUUCAAAAAAUGUUACAUCAUUCGGAAUGAUUUUUACUGAUAACCAUUUAUGCCCUUGGUCCUAUUCAAGAUAAUUGACAUGCUUUAGUUCGCAAUUGCCGGUUCUUAUUAUUCCCCACUGCCCAGUACAAGUGCCAGAUGCGGCUCGGAACUUGACAACUAUCAUAUUCUCCUCUCUUGAUGUUCCGCGCCAACUCUACAUUAGUAUUUUCAAUCGUUGUGAGGCAGCACCGGAGGAUGACCAGAGCUGGACUUUGCAGGGUGGUUUUAACUAUUAACCUCUUUCCGCUUCUCAAGCGGUGAGAUUUUCACUUGUGUGGGACAACUAAUAAUCAUAAUUCUAUUGAUCUUGAAGAUCCAGUCAACAUUUGAAAAAAAAUUAGAUACUCCCUCCGUCCCGUUUUGUUAGUCUUGAUUUUUUUUUCACACAGAUUAAGAAAGUGUAAUUAAUUUGGUUGGAAACAUAAAUUUAGAUUAAUAAUUUCCUAAAAUACCCUUACGCUAAUCACGAAGAGUGCCAAUUAAUAUCAGUUACAGCUAAUGGGUUAGUAUUGGAAAAACUCAAUGUAUUCAAUGUAGUGAGUUAAUAUUUAAUAACAAUGUAUUAAUAACAAGAUAUUUAAUAAGGGUAUUUUAGAUAAUUUGAAAGAUUCCUACAUUUCUUAAUGGGAAAGUGGACUACAAUUUGGGACAGACGAAAAAGGAAAAUAAGACUAUCAAAGUGGGACGGUAUUGUUGUGUGGCACGGCACAUUAAUACCAAUAAUCUAUCACUGCUACCAUUAAUGAAUGAUCAAUCAUUAAUACAACCAUACCACUUGCCAUAUCGCGUUCACGUCAAUGAAAACUUUGAAAUCAUGCAGAUCUUGUAUAGAAAAACUAGCUCAAAGACUAAUUAAAAGUUACUAAUUUUGUCAAAGAGAUCUUAUAAAAUUUGUUGAAAAUGAUACCAAUUUAAUGUACAGGAAUAUGACAAAGGUGAAUAAUUUUCUUACUUCAUGUCCUAGAACGUAACUAUCAUUUCCACCUCAUUACUUCUGAAUUAACAACCCCCCUCUGGAAGACACAACGAAUAAAAGGAAAAUGAGAGAAUAUUGCGUCUUAUAUAAUCGUCUUAAUCUUCAUCCUCGCUCUUAAACCCAUUUUUAUUGUGGAUCCUUAUUCUUGACUUAUGAUUUUUAUUUAGGAAUGGCAAUUCUCGACAUGAUUAGAAAAUAUAAUUCGAACCUAACACGAAAUUUGUAGGUAGGGCCUAUAGGUUUACCCUUCAUGAGUUUGGAUCAAAAUCUGGUCUAACCCAAAUAACUCGCCAAGCAAACAAAUUCAAAUCAGUUCAAUCACGGGUCAACCUGUUUGACCUAUUUGAACCAUUUAAUGUGUAAUUUUAUAAUUUAAUAAAUAACUUGGGGACAUAAAGUAAAUAAAAAAAACUAAUCUAGACUAUCAACUAGUAUUAUGAGAAUGCAAUCAUGAAUUGUAUGUGAAAACAAUAGAUUUUAUUUGUGAAAGUGUCAAAGUUUUGUUUUUGUUUAUGUUUUUUUUAUAAAAAAAUAAAAAAAAAGGACUAUAAGCAACAUACAUGAAAUCUAGGAAUAGGGUGAAAUUUUCUAUAAUUUUAUGGAAACUUUAUUAUAGAAAGAGCAAAUUAUCCAAAUGAUCACUGAACUAUUGGAAUCAUCGAAUUUUGACCACUAAACUAUUAAAAUUCUGAUUUUUUGACCACUAAAUUAUUUAAAGUUUAGAUUUCAAAUCAUUCCAUUAUAUUUAAUCGUUAACUAUACCCUUUUCUUUUGUCUAGUGAAUCGUGCAAACACUCAGAUCUAUCAUGUUUAAUGAUUAAAUCAAACGAAAUAACCAAAAUCUAAACUUUAGAUAGUUUAGUAAGCAAAAUCAAACUUUUAAUAGUUCAAUGAUCAAAACUUGAUAAUUCCAAAAGUUUGGUGGGCAUCUAGAUAAUUUACUCUUAUAGAAAAGUCCACCUACUACCACUAAGGUGAGAAGCUCAAAAAAAAAAAAAAAAAACAAAGUUAAGCAAAUAGGUUAUUUAGAUCAGGUAACUCGCAAAAUUAACGGAUCGUGUUUGGAUCAAGAAAAUUGAUCCAUUUAAUUUUGUGGACCACGUUCAAGUUAACGUGUUAUUUAGUAUACUUAAGUAUCAAUCCGACCCACCAACCCACAAUUCGACCUGAUUGUUACCCCUACAUCUAGUUUUCAAUUUCAAAACUAUUACUAUUACUGCCAAACUCAGAGUUGAUUUCUUAUAAGUGGCAGCAAAAUCAAAUCCUUCUGAAUCGAAGUAAUAUGCUUCAACCGUAUGUCCUACAUCUUCCAUGAACACCAAAUUCGAUAAACAAGAACUCGUGUAGCCAUGCUUUUCAAUUCCAAUAGUCACUUCUAGAUGAAACCAUAUCUAAAUUAUUGAUCCCUUGAUGUAGAUAUUCAUUUGCCCAAAGGGUAAAAUCUCCACUAUUUUGAAGGGGACAUCAUUACACCAUCACAUCUUGCAACGUGCCAACACGUUGAAUGGUUAAUUUCGUUCGUAAAUUUUUCUUCUCACGAGACUUCAUCAAGUAUUACGGAAUAUGCUAUCUUUCUUCUCGAAUCUACUGAAUUGUUGGGAAUUUGAGCAGCAGAUUCCUUGAAGUAGCCAACCUCCAAUUAAAAAUAGAAAUCAACUGCCUCGAAUCUGUAGAAUCUCACAACCAAUGAAUCAGUUUUCGGUAAUUCCAGUCCGACAGUUCGUUCCAAUUUCUCCCUCCCUUGCCAUGCAAAGAAACACGAAAGCCAUCAAGUCUCAAUCCUGUGAGAUUCAACGUGAUUAAACUCGAAUAUGCUGGUGUCUAGGAACUGUUUUACGGAUGUGAAAUGUAAGAACAAUUAUAUGCUUCCACAAAGAAAGCAAAAAAACUGAGAUUAGGAUAAAGUUUUGUCGCAUGACUUCUCUUGAAUUCUUGAUUAUGAGGUUUGUUAGGAUGUGGAACAAGCAACUAGAUGUAAUAAAAUUGUUAACUCAAAAGUCUUCAAUUGGCCUUAUUUGGAUUGUAGUUUUGCGCAAACUUUUUUUUAUGUUUUGCACGAGCAUAUUUUUCGAUUAUUUUUUAUUUCACAUACAUCAAAUCGAAAUAAUACAUUUUUUUUUAUAAAAACCAACUCAAGUAUAUUUUCACACCCAUCGACUUGUGUUUGUAUAUCAUUGUCGUUUCGAGGAAAGGGAAUGGGUUAUAAUUUUUCUCCUAUUUCCAAUCAAGUACCAAUAUCAACAUAUACCAAACCUAAUAAGCUAUAGACUGUACGAGGCCAAACCCUAGGUAUUGUAACAAUUUUGAGGGAUCAACAAUUAAGUGAUGAUAAUCAUUCAAAAUUCUUAAAAUUUAUAAUGACCAAGAGUUAUAAAUAUGUAUAUGUUUUCGUGUUCCAUUAAUUCAAAGUUAAUCAAGUACAAGUUUUCCAAAUCAAGAAAAUUAUAACACUAACCACAGAACUAAUACAAUUUAAGGAAAAAGAAAAGAAAAAGAAAAGAGGGGGAUAUAGCUUGGAGGUUUGAGUGGCUAAAAAAUAUCACCUAAGCAAAAUACACCUAGAAUUAAUGUAAAUUAAGGCUUAUGCCUCUUUACUCUCUGUUGUUUCAUAUCUUAACUUUUUCAGCAUAGGAGCACAAAUGAUGUAAAGGUGCCUUUUUUUUUUUUUUAUCUCUAAAGAAUAUAUAUUGUAUCUUAGAUUACUUGGAUUUGGUUCAUCUUUUUCUGGAAUCACAUUCGAAACAGGUGUCACGACAUUAAUUAUUUUAUUAAUCUAACUUCCAAGUGUAAAUCAAACAACUUAAACCAACACAUCCAACAAUAUAUGAAUUUUUCUUCUUCUUCUUUUUUUUUUUUUUUGGGAUAUUGAGACUUGCCCUUAUUGUUGCAAAUUCAGUAUUCUUAUGCCAACACAAAAGUGCAAACUGAUGAUAAUUCAGCAUCAGAUGCAAAAGAAACAUUUGGUUGUUCUUUUUUACAUUCUUUUGGAGUUUUGUACACCAAACAAAUUUUUCUCUUUUUUAAAAAAAAAUUUGUAAUGAAGAAUAUGAUGUUUAUGGACGACUAAAUGCUGAAAAUGGCAUCACGUAAUUUAUAAGCAUGCGAUUUAUUUGUGACCAAAACAAAGAGGUGCCUCUCUGGUUAUGGUUAUGCAGCUACAAUUCAACUAGCUUUUGGCUCGCAAAGUUAUUUCAGUGGAUCACGUUGCCAGCUGCCGCUGGAAGUUUAAUUAUUUUCUUCUUCUCAUUUUAAGUGAAUGUAAAGGUUUUUUUUUUUUUUCGAAACGGAAAGAACACGUACACCCAACUAAUUUAGACAAACGCAGGAGUUAAUCGAGAAAUCGGUCCGAAAGCAAUCUAAGAGAGACCCACAAACAAUCACUGCUCAGCCAAUUGGUGAAUAUAAAGCUUGAAUAUUGAAUAUUUGUCUAUUAUUUCUGACCACGGUCAUGUAGAAUUUUUUUUUUUUUUUUUUUUGGUGGACAACGAUAACUAAUCUACUCCUGCUUCAAAGCCUUCAAUGGGAGGAAACUAAAGAGACUUGUGUAGAGAUUGGGGGUAAAUUUGGAAUAUCAAUUAAGUGUUACUGCACCCUCUUUAUCUUUUAAGAACAAAACGUCCUAUGCUUCUUGUAUUAUAUACCAGGUGAAGUUAGCGCAUUUUGUAUGAUGCACCCGACAGAAUUUGAAAUUAUCAAAAAUUAAACGACUAGUGUAUGAAAGAAUUUUAAAGGGGGUUCUCCCUGCUCGAUGGUCCACGGUCAUGUGGGAGUUGAAAAAAAGAAUCGAAGAGUAGUUACAAGACACAUAUGACAAAGAAAUUGAUUUAUUUAGGCAUAUAUAAUUAGCUUUCUGUCAUCUUUUCCUUUAACUGUAAUUAGAAUUUAUGUCACAAUCAUAUCAUUUAUUUUGUGGCUCCAAAGCCAAUCAAAAGGAAAAUUGCUCUUUCCUCGUGUUUUUCGAGUCCAUCAUUCAAUCACACAAUUAUUUAAUCAAUGUUCUUGUCCAAAAGCUAAAUCUUAACAAUAUUUCACUUCUAUUAUCCACGUAUCCACGAAAAUCAUGAUCCACUACGAGACCUAAAUGUUCUGGAAGUUGUAUAAAUUUUUGGAUUAUUAUUUUCUUCUGAAAAUUUUUUUAAAAUAUUUUUUUCAUGAACAUAUUUUUUGAUUAUUUUUAUCUUACAUACAUCAAAUCAUUAUAGUAUUUUUUUUUAUAAAAACUCAAAAAAAAAAAAAACAAUCCAAAUAAGUUCUUCCAUUCAAGGCUCAAUGUUCACCACCCCUUCUUAGCUUUCUUUAAAAAUGUCCAAGAAAAAAAAAAUGCAUAACUAAAUCCAUAAGCAAGCAAAUGAUGUGGUCUAAAAAUCUCCCCAACUACCUCAAAUUUCCAACCUCCAUUUACGUGUACACAUGCCACAAGACCAGUGACUGACAACCAUCACAGAAAGAUGAUCAAACUUCUUCUCCAAAAUCUACAGAAUUUCCCGGCCAUUUUCCAAAAUCUUGAUAAUCACACGGGCCCACAAGUACACAAGACCUCAAUCAAACUCACCAUUAACAGAACGAUGGCCCACGAGUGAAUCAGACCUGAAUCAGACGCCAUUCACGGAUACUUCAUUCCAUCGAUCAGAAUCUUCAAAGAAACGUCCACACAAAAUCCACUGGACGUCAUCCACACAAGAUUGCUUCAUUAGUCAUUACAUACGUGUCUUAAACUUACUGACUGUGAGCCUGUGAGCGUGUUACCCUUGCACCUUCCUACCAGACACGUGUCACUUCCACCUCCCUCUCUCUCUAUUUCGUGGACGUUAAAACCGCCGUUGAAAGAUAAAGGACACAGCCACCCAAAUUGGCGAAUUGUCCCCCAAGGUGACUUUAACCCGACGUGUGACUCGCCAUUUCCACAUGUCCCACUCCCAUUAGCUCACACCAUGGAACCAACAAUACACUAAUUUUUUAUUUUAUAACGGUAAUAUUCGUACGCUCUUUCUAACAUUCGUUUACAAGGGAUGGUUCCAAGAUUGGCAGCAACUUGCAGCUAGAGGUAUUAUCGAACCGAGUCAAGCUCGAAUUCAAUUAGAAUCAGUGCUACUUGAACUCGAACUCGAACGAGUAAAAGAAUUUGAACUCGAACUCAAUUCAAUAAAAUUAAAUUAAACUCGAGUUCGACUCGUUUGAUCUCGAGUAAAUAUCAAGCACGAUCUAUUCGAGCUCGAGGUUGAGUUUUGAAAUAAACCUAUAAUUUUUAAAAAAUAUAUAUAAUAUAAAUAUAAUAUGAAAACUCGAUUAAACUCGUCGAGCACUCGAGUAUUUAUUUUUUAAACUCGAAUUUGACUCGUUAAAUGUAACGAGUAGCUCGAGCUCGAUUUGAUCGAGUUCAAGCCAAACUUUUUACCAAACCGCUCGCAAGCUACUCAUGACUUGCGAGCGGCUUGACUUGAUUGCAUCCCUACUUGCAAAUUGCGAUAGCAUGCUCGAAUUUGCGUCCGUAUGAAAGGUAUGGUUUUUUAGUUGUUUAUAUAAAAUUUUACUAUAACUUACUAUAAAAUCUGCAGAAAAAGCCUUUGUGUAUUUAAGGGUUUGGAAAAAUUUAAAAAGAUUUCUUUUUUAUUUUUUUUCUUUUCCUUUACUUUUUAUUUUUUUUUGCCCCUCCUCCCUUUCCUUUCUUUUUCUUCUCUUUCUUUGCUCACAUGGCAACAGCUAUGGAGUUUUCGACGGUGAUGCCAUUGUCGACAUUGGUUGGCCGUCCGCCGCUGCCUUCUUCAUUGACCAAAUUUCACACUCCUACAUUCCAUUUUCGUGUAAAUUCCAUUUCCGUUAUUAAUUUUCAGAGAAAACAAAUAAAAAUUGGUCUAAAUUUAAAGAACAAUUGGUAGACAAUGUUUUCUCCCCUUUUCUCCCUCCCUCUCCUCCUCCCUCUCCCCCCUUUCUCCUGCCUUCCACGCUCUCCCUUCCCUUCUCACGACCCUUCCUCCCCUACUUUCAUGUGGACCAAAUCCCUCCCCUACCCUGAUCUGGACUAGAUUUGGUCCGGAAGUGUUGAUAGACUAAGGUGUGGAGAGGAAGAAGAAGAAGGAAAAAAUUUUUUAUGUGUCUUUUGGUAUAUAAGGUAUGUCUUUUAAAAUUUUUGGGGAGUUUUUUAAGGUUAUUAUAGUUAAAAUUGUUAAAAUUUUUGUAGAAGAAAAACUAGGCAAAAAACUUGCCUCCCAAACUGAUAUUUGCAUCAAUUUAUUUGAUUGUAUCAUACAAAUAUUUUAAAUUAUUUUUUAUCUCAAAUAUAUCAUAUUAAAAAUGUGAUAUAAUAUUUUUCUCAAAAAAUUAUUCUAAAUAAUUAACUAUUCCAAACACGAGUGUUUAAUGGUCAAGAUUUAGCUCAUCAAGUACAAUUCAAAAUGUACAACGAUGAUUACAGCACAAAACCUUGACUCAAAUUAUAUGUAUCUUUUUAGCGGGAAAAAUUGAGGAAAAGAAUGAUUAAAAUUCAAGGCCUUUCUAAAUUUUAGAAUUGAAAUUUUAACCUCAACACUGGACUAGAGCCUUUUCAGCAAUGAUAUGUGUCUUUAUGAAUGAAUAGUGUUAGAUUUUUAACAUUAGUAUUACGAAAUUAUGUAAAUUAUUUUUGAUUAAUUGUAACUUAUUGAAAUAUUUGUAAAACCGUUCAUAAAUAGUUGCCUUACCAACAGUUCUCGGCAAAACUCUCGUGGACGUAACUUUUAGAUAUUUUAUCUACCAUACAUACUUUGUUAUUUGAAUUCAAAAGCUUUUUUUAUGGGAUAAAAAAGGAAUAAGAAAGCAUUCAAAAUUUGAAGAGAAAUAUAGGAAAGGGCACGGGUAUAGAUGAAUUGGGUGAUUCGGUGGAGAAAAGGUAAGUGAGAAAUUUCAAAUUUUAGUCGUCCCACUUAUACAAAAAAAAAUAAAAAGAUAGAAAAAGGUAUAUAAAUAUUAUUUCUUUUUUCCAAAUACUCUUAUAGCUGAUAAUUAAAAAUAAGACAUUUGAAUUAAUUAAGUGACACUGAAUUUUUUAAAUAAAAUUUGCUUCAAAAAAUAAAUGUGAUAGUUUAUUCAUUUAUCAUUUAAUAUAAUGUACACUUAAAUGUAUCAAAUUUAAUAUUUAAAAAUUUAAAAAAUUCAAAUUUCAUGUUUUAUUUUUUAGAAUUCAGUUUUAUCCAACGCGCACCCUAAAGUCUUAUUCUUCAAAUUGAUUUUAAGUUUGACACGAUAAAAUCUCAUUCAAUGUGUAUGAUUUUGAUAAAUAUCAUAGCAUUGAAAAAAAAAUUUUGUGACAAAAAAAUCAAUCUACUCUUAAAAUAAAGUUUUCAAAUGCAAUAAAAUCUGCCUGGCUCAGCUCAAAGAAUGACGAAAUCAAACAUAAAAAAAAAAACAUUCAGGAUCAGCUCAAUUCAACUGUUAUACUAGCACACUAGUAAGUAGUAAAAAUAUUUAGGCGGUUCAACUUGAUCACGCGCUUCCACCCCGAACCUUCAUUAGUAACCAGAACCUUCAUUAGUAAAUAAAAAUAUUUAGCGGGUUCAACUUGAUCACGCGCUUCCAACCUGAACCUUCACGCGGAUUCUCCAACCCAUCUCCACCGUCCUUCUCACUUGUCUCUAUAGCCAUCCCAGCCGUCGCCUCCGCGUUCGCUCACAACUCGCCACUUGGCCCCAAAUUAACGGCUUAUCCUUUUCCGGGCCAAAAAAAAAAAAAAUCUUAUCCCAUCUCCCAUCUAAGCCUAUAUAUAUCGCUGUCCCUCCGCCGUUUCCAACACUUCACCAGCUGUGAUUUUCGCUGCAGAGCAAAGCAAAAAACCAGAAGAAAAAGGGAGAAAACCCCAGAAAUCCAAAGGAUAUUAAUUCUUGAUAUUCCACUUUUUUUCAUUUUCCAUUUUUUGAAAUAUUUCUGUGAUUGAUUCUUUCUGUUAUGGCAAUGAGUAUGCCGCAUCAGAUCGGAGCAUUGGCCGGCACGCCGAUAGCAGCGGAGUCCGGAGGACUAACAGGAGAGGGAGCUCAAUCGGCAGCAACAGUUAGCACGUCGGCAGUGUGGAGAUCACCGGUGACGAAUCUCCGGGUUUCAGUGCAGAAACCGGGAGAUGUAGAAAGGGUUUCACCCCUUUCGUCGCCGCCGUUGAGCCCGGUAAGGGCCGGCAUGCGACCAGAUCUCUCGGUUGCAUGCCAAGCAUUUGCGACUGCCGUGGAGACAGAGCCGGCGGUCGAAAAAGUUCAUAGAUUUCCUGAAAGUUCUACCCAGAAGAAGGAAAAAGGGGUGCCGGUUUUCGUGAUGAUGCCGUUGGAUAGUGUGAAAAUGGAUAACACAGUGAAUAGGAGAAAGGCGAUGAAUGCGAGUUUGCAGGCGCUGAAGAGUGCUGGGGUAGAAGGGAUAAUGAUGGAUGUUUGGUGGGGAUUAGUAGAGAGGGAUGAACCAGGGAAGUAUAAUUUCGGUGGCUAUGUUGAGCUCUUGGAAAUGGCGAAAAAACAUGGGUUGAAAGUUCAGGCGGUCAUGUCUUUCCAUCAAUGUGGUGGAAACGUUGGUGAUUCUUGCACGUAUGUUACUUUCAACUUCACUGCAUCAUUUUUUUUUUAUUAUUGGAAAAAGUUUUAAUUUUUUUUAUUUUGGUUGAAUAAUAAGUAGUAUCUAUUGUCUGGAUUGAAAAAGAUGUUGCUUUUAUCUGAGCUCUUAACAUGUGGUGGUAGCGGCUUCAGAGCUGGAAAAGUCAAAUUUAGCUUUCCCUGUUCACUUUUUUAGUGGUCACAAGAAGCUGAUGUAAAAUGGAAAAUUGGUAAUGGGUGAAAAAGACGUGCUAGAGUUUUAAUUGUAAUCGACAACAAAGUAGUAUUUUUUUUUGGGGGCUCAAAAGACAACAAAGUAGUAUCUAAUUAAAGAUUGUAACUUGGAGUUGGUUAUUUUUCCUUUUUUUAGUUUUUGUUACUUUGUAAAAGGGAUAUAUCAAUUGAUAACAAGACGUAAAAUUUUGUCGUACUUAUUUUCCUAUUGAAGUCAAGGCGAGUAGGUUCUGUGUAGUUUCCUGCUGGAUUAGGAUCUUGUCUGUCUAGGGACUAGGAAACCAAAUUGAUAAUUUAAUACCAAAAAUAAAGCCCAGAUACCUAUCUGUUUGAAGAUUGCAUAAGUUAGUUAUGUAAUAAAAACGAGUCAGUAUGGAUAAUAUCUCAUCCUAGGAAAAUUCUCCCCUGUUUCGUGUAAGACUUGCCUUUUCUAGAAGAUAUUAGACUUGAAGCAGGAAAAAAAUGAACAUGGCCAUGAAUGCUUUAUUGCCUCUAUGUGAAACUCAAAUUAACAAUUUUUGGAUUAUGUAGAAGGAAAGGUCAUUCUAGUAUUCAUGUGGAUAAUUUGGAUGAAUAUGGCCAUGAAUGCUUUAUUGCCUUUAUGUGAAACUCAAAUUAACAAUUUUUGCAUUAUGUAGAAGGAAAGGUCAUUCUAAUAUUCAUGUGGGUAAUUUGGAUGAAUAACCUUUGAGUGCUUUGAACUUAUGAAUGGGCAUAUGAGUUUUAGCACAAGUGUUGUCCAUACUUUUGAAAAAUGUUAGUUCCAUGGUCAGUGAUCAAUGGGUGUGUAGCUUCUACCUUUCUUUUCAUGGUAUCAUAAUGUGUCUUUAAUUUUCUGGUGCAUAUUCUUUUUGCUGAUUGUUCCUUUUGGCUUCUCAGUAUCCCUCUCCCAAGAUGGGUGACAGAAGAGAUUGACAAAGAUCCUGGCCUUGCAUACACAGAUCAAUGGGGGAGGAGAAAUUAUGAAUACAUCUCUCUUGGAUGUGACACCCUUCCAGUACUCAAAGGAAGGACACCUGUCCAGUGUUAUUCUGACUUUAUGCUGGCUUUCAGAGACAAAUUUGAGCACCUGCUGGGAGAUACCAUUGUGGUAAGCAAAUAAAUUCAACAUUUUUUACAUUAGAAUAGAUUAAUCUGGA
RNAcentral lists this long non-coding RNA (91017 nucleotides) under Coffea arabica (coffee). RNAcentral describes it as "long non-coding RNA (CARA_LNC002124)". The record is from RNAcentral. Lineage: Eukaryota; Viridiplantae; Streptophyta; Magnoliopsida; Gentianales; Rubiaceae.